CAACAAGAGUGAACUGCUUCUCAAAUACAACCCUGUUCACAAGAAGGUUCCGGUGUUUGUUCACAAUGAGAAGCCCAUAGCAGAGUCUCUUGUGAUUGUUGAAUACAUUGAUGAGACAUGGAAGAACAACCCCAUCUUGCCUUCUGAUCCUUACCAAAGAGCCUUGGCUCGUUUCUGGUCCAAAUUCAUUGAUGACAAGGUGUAUAACUCUUCUUUUCUUUGUUUGUGCUAAUUUAUCACUAAAACAUCAUCUUUCAUGACAUCUAAAUAUGAGAUGUUGUUAUAUGUUAGAGAACUCAAUAGUUAACUGCCAAUUAUCAUGAAUUUCUUUAAUAUUUUUCAUUCACUAUUAAUUGUAUACCAAUUUUGUCUAAAAUUAUAUUAAUGAUUCAUUUAACAACUACCUCCAUUUAUUUUUGGGACGUUUAUUUCAUGCAAUUUUUUUUUCAUUUCUGAGAAUAUCAUUCAUGACUAUUUUUUAAAAAUAUGUUUGAUCACGUUUUUAAUAUUUCUAAAAAUAACUUUAAAAUUCAAAAUAAUUUAAAUAAAAAUAGAUAAAAAAAAGAAUUGAAUGGUAUUUUAGGAAAUAAACGUGUGGAAAACUAUGAUAAAAAAAUGGAAGUUAUUAUAUUUCCUAGAAUCAACAAUAGGUGUGAAUAAUUUUUUAAAAUUUAUAACAAACGUCAGUAUGUAAUAUUUUCAUGCUAAUUCGUGAAACAAACGCACUUUAUGAAUACUAAUAAAUAAUGUGAUUUGUGAAAUUAGAUUGGGGGUGCUGUAUGGAAAUCUGUUUUCACGGUUGAUGAGAAAGAGCGUGAGAAGAAUGUUGAAGAAUCGUUGGAGGCUCUGCAGUUUCUUGAGAGUGAGAUCAAGGGCAAGAAGUUCUUUGGAGGAGAGGAGUUUGGGAUGGUAGAUAUUGCUGCUAUCUUCAUAGCAUUUUGGGUCCCUAUGGUUCAAGAAAUUGCAGGGUUGGAGUUAUUCACAAGUGAGAAAUUUCCUAAGCUCUACAAUUGGAGCCAAGAGUUCAUGAGCCACCCUGUUGUGAAAGAAGUUCUUCCUCCUAGAGACCCACUUUUUGCCUUCUUCAAAGCCCGCUACGAAAGCCUGCUCGCUGAUUCAAAAUAGAUUUAUUUAAGGAUACUUGUGUGAACAACUUGUCUCUCGUUGAGUUAUUGAUGUUUGAAUUUCAUGUCAAUUUGAUACUAUAUGUAAUGUAACUUAGGAUCUUAUUCCCAUUUUGGCCAUUUCAUUUAAUAAAGAAAUUCUUUAUAUAUAUAUAUAUAUAUAUAUAUAUAUAUAUAUAUCUAUAUAUAUCUGUGUAUCUGNNNNNNNNNNNNNNNNNNNNNNNNNNNNNNNNNNNNNNNNNNNNNNNNNNNNNNNNNNNNNNNNNNNNNNNNNNNNNNNNNNNNNNNNNNNNNNNNNNNNAUAUAUAUAUAUAUAUAUAUAUAUAUAUAUAUAUAUAUAUAUAUAUAUAUAUAUAUAUAUAUAUAUAUAUAUAUAUAUUUAUUUAUUGUAGUGAGAAGCUUUGUCUUUCGGUGGAUGCUACAUGGAUCACACCUUUAUAGGUAGUUUGGGGUGCAUCAUCUUUAUCCACCAUUAGAUUAAUUUAUACCUUAAAAUCACACCUUACGCUAAUCACACUAGAUUAUAUCUCCCCAUCAUCUUUCUUAUACCUUUACCCUCCAGCAACUCUUCUUCUGACUACCAUUCUCCGUCGUUAAAGACGAUUUUCGAUGGUUACAUUUCAUUUUUUUCCUCACAACCUCCACACCUUUCCUCCCUCUCUCCACUUCAGAUUAACAAGCGACAUAAAAAAUGGUGAAUUUUGAUGAUAACAAAAAUAUGUUUGAAGUCAUAACCAAUAAUGGUUUAUUCUUUGAUCAUGUGGCAUGUGGUUUGAAAAGAAACCCUAAUCAAAAUAGAGAUCGCUACAUGUGCAUGAAACAACAAAUAAUAGACAAAUUUACCAAAAUUUAGUGGAAUGCAUGUUGGGUUUUUUGGGCUCUCUUCCUAUGUGAAGUAAAGGCCCAAAUGAGAAGACUCAUUUUGUCUUAUUUAAGUGGAGAUGGGUCAGAUUAGAAAGAGACACACAGAGAGAGACUCAUCUGAGAGGAAAAAAUAAUUACAAAUCAUUGAGAGAAAAAGAAGGAGAAGGAAAAUCAGUGAUUUUCACAUACCCACUAAAGAGCAUUCUUCAUAUUGCAACAAUGAAUUCGUUCACCAUUGGAUCGGGCUGAUAUUUGAACAACAAGUUCUACGCAUGUGAUACUUCAAAUUUUCCGGUUGGAUCGGGAGAAAGAUAUCUUUAGAGAGAGAUAAGUGUUUUGCAUUAUCUACUUUAUAUUUUGGGGUUUUAUCUUCUUGUCUCUAUUGUACCAAUUAAGGGUUUGUUUUGAUUUGACUGUUUGUAGCACGUUUUAGUGCACUUGUUGGAGGUUCUCUUGUAUAUUCAUUGAUUAUAGUGAAAUUAUUUCUUUGGUCUGGACGACCUGUGAUUUUUACCCUUGUAUUGAGGGGUUUUCCACGUUAAACAAAUUGUCUAUGUUUUUUUCUUAAUUUCUAUUUUGUGCUUUAUAUUUCAUUGGUACUCCUCACAGAUUCUUGCAAGUUUGGAGGAAUUUAUUUCCGUUGCUUAUUACUCUAUUAUAGAGUUUGUUAUUAUGUUUGCUUAAUUUCCCCCAUCAGAUUUCGAUAAAAUUAUUAGAUUUUUUUUCAAUAUAGAACACUCAUCUCGAUAAAAUGGCUUGAAUCCUAUUUACUUACGACAAGAAAUUGAAAAACGGGUUAAUUUAACCCUCCCUUUUGUACAAUGUGUAAUCGAUGACCUAUGUAUAAAUGAAUAAGAAUUCUUUGGAUUUGAAGAAAAAAAACAACUUUGCUGACAUAUAUUUGUUUGGUCAGAAAAGUCCUCCGAAUAUUCUGGUCUUAUAUUGGUAAUUGUUUUCAAUAUUUUAAAAAUAAAAAAUAAAAAUAGCGAAGAGAGGAUAGGCUCAUUACAUCAGAGCUUUUGGUUAAGGGGCUGUUUUUUCUACUUGCUUGAACAAUGGAGGCACAUAUGAAGGGUGAUAGAGACAAGAGCAAAAGCAAGUUCAGGUCUCGGUAAUAGAAUGCUGAGUGUCAUUAUUGUCACAUAACAGAGCAUAUCCAGAGGAAUUGUUUUCUAUGGAAGAAGGAGAAUAAAGAGAAGAAGGGUAAGCAAAUAGAGAAGGAUCAUGAUGAUGAUUGUGUGACUACUACUACCAGUGAUGAUCUUGUUAUUCUCCAUGACCCUGAUUCGCUUAAUCUUGUAUUUGAUGAAAGCAUGUGGAUAAUUGAUAGUGGUGCUACACUGCAUGUUACAACCAGGAAGGAGUUCUUCACAUCUUACACUCCAGGUGAUUUUAGAAUUUUGAAGAUGGGUAAUGAUGGCAUGUCCAAGGUGAUUGGUGUUGCUGAUGUUUGUUUGCAAACCAACAUGGGAAUGCAAUUGCUACUUAGAGGAGUGAAACAUGCUCUAAAUGUUCACUUUAAUUUGAUCUUUGUGUAGGUACUUGAUGAUGUUCUGGGAAGUGGAAACUCACCAAGGGUAACUUGGUUGUGGCCAAGGGGGAGAAAAUUUCAAAGUUGUAUUGGACAAAAGCUUUGGUUGCUAGAGACAGUGUGAAUGCUAUGGAUAUAAAGGCAUCUUUGAGGCACCGAAGGCUUAGUCAUAUCAGUGAGAAGAGAUUGAAUUGUUUAGCCAAGAAGGAUAUGCUUCAGGGAUUGAAGAAUGCAAAUUUGGAGAAAUGUUCUCAUUGCAUGGUUGGUAAGCAAACCAGAGUAUCCUUUAAGAAGCAUCCUCCCUCUAGAAAAUCUGAGUUUUUUGAAUUGGUGCAUUAUUCAGAUGUUUCUGACCCUUUGAAGGUGAAAUCCUUUAGUGGUGCACCUUAUUUAGUUACCUUCAUUGGUAACUGUUCCAAGAAACUUUGGGUCUAUGUUUUGAAGACAAAAGACCAAGUUCUUGAGAAGUUCAAGGAGUUUCAUGUCUUAGUUGAGAGGAAGUUAAGUAAGAAUCUGAAACGCAUUUAUACUGACAAUGGUGGUGAGUAUUGUGGACCAUUUGAUGUCUACUACAAGCAGCAUGGUAUUGCUCAUGAGAAAACUCCUCCUAAAACUCCUCAACUGAAUGGUUUGGCGGAGAGGAUGAACAAGACAUUGAUCGAGGGAGUGAGAUGUAUGCUCUUCAAAGCAAAGUUACCCAAGCACUUCUAGGGUGAGGCACUGUACACGGCGGUGCAUGUUAUCAAUCUUAGUCCUGUUGUUGUUUUGAAUAGUGAGGUGCUGAGCAAAAUUUGGUUUGGCAAGAAUGUGAAGUAUGAUCAUUUAAGAGUUUUUGGCUGCAAGGCUUUUGUGCAUGUUCCAAAGGAUGAAAGAUCGAAGUUGGAUGUAAAGUCAAGGCAGUGUAUCUUCAUUAGUUAUGGUUAGAAUGAAUUUGGUUACGAGUUUUAUGAUCCUUUUGAGAACAAGCUUUUUAGAAGUCGUGAUGUGAAAUUCAUGGAAGACCAAACCAUUGAAGACAUUGAUAAGGUGGAGAAGUUUACACCCAAGGAAGACAACGGUGUGGCUGAUUUUCAACCAGUUCAACCGUCUAUUCAGAAUCUGAAUACUGAUGUUCAGAAUGAUGUUGGUGUCCAACAACUUAGAGAUGAAGUAGAUGUUCCUACUGAUGAUGAUGAUGAGGAACAUGACAUGUCACAAGAUGAAAAUCUUGGUGAUGCUAUCGAACCACCUCAAGUUCAACUCAGGAGGUCCAACAGGGAGAGGCAACCUUCUAAGAGGUAUUCUCCUAAUGAGUAUGUGAUCCUAACAGAUGAUGGAGAACUUGAGUGCUUUAGAGAGGCUAUGGAAAGUGAAGAAAAGAGAAAGUGGUUGGAUGCAAUGAAGGAUGAGAUGAAAUCCAUACAUGAUAAUCACAUUUUUUAUUUAGUGAAGUUACCUAAGGGUAAAAGGGCCUUGGAUAACAGGUGGAUCUAUAGGGUAAAGCAUGAGAGUAACUCUACAUCUCCAAGGUACAAAGCCAGAUUAAUGGUGAAGGUCUAUAGUCAAAGAAAGGGUGUUGAAUUUAAUGAGAUUUUUUCUCCCGUAGUGAAAAUGUCAUCCAUUAGAACCGUAUUAAGUUUGGCGUCUACUCUUGAUUUGGAGGUAGAACAAAUGGAUGUAAAAACUGUUUUCCUUCAUGGUGAUUUGGAGGAAGAGAACUACAUGAAGCAACCUGUAUGUUUUCAUGUUGAAGGGAAAGAAGACUAUGUGUGUAGGCUGAGAAAGAGCCUAUAUGGUUUGAAGCUGGCUCCGAGGCAGUGGUACAAGAAGUUUGAGUUUGUUAUUUGUGAGUAAGGCUACAGGAAUACAACUUCUGACCAUUGUGUCUUUGUUAGAAAGUUUUCUGAUGAUGACUUCAUUAUCCUGUUAGUGUAUGUUGAUGACAUGCUUAUUGUUGGGAAAAAUGUUUCCAGGAUUGGCAGGUUGAAGAAGCAAUUGGGUGAGUCAUUUGCCAUGAAAGACAUAGGAGCUGCUAAAUAGAUUCUUAGUAUAAGAAUCAUGUGUGACAGAAAAGAGAAGAAGUUGUGGCCGUCACAAGAACACUACAUCAAAAGAGUGUUGUAGAGAUUCCAGAUGGAAAAGGAUAAGGCGGUGAGCACUCCUGUUGCUACUCAUUUUAAGCUGAGUUCUAAACAGAGUCCAUCAAAUGAAGUUGAGAAAUUAGAUAUGCAACAGGUUCCUUAUACAUCUGUGGUGGGAAGUUUGAUGUAUGCAAUGAUAUGCACAAGACCAGAUAUAACACAUGUUGUUGGUACAAUUAGUAGAUUUUUGUCAAACCCAGGUAGAGAGCAUUGGAAUGCUGAGAAAUGGAUUUUGAGGUAUCUUCAUGGUGUUGUUGAUAUGAGGCUUUGUUUUGGUGGUGAUAAGCCUACUUUGGUGGGAUACUCAGACUCAGAUAUGGUUGGAGACAUUGAUUCCAGGAGGUUCACUUCGGGCUAUUUGAUUAAAUUUGCAGGGGGAGCUAUUACUUGGCACUCCAAGCUAUAGAAAUGUGUAGCUUUGUCUACUACAGAGGCAGAAUUCAUUGUCAUUACCAAAGCAUGCAAGGAGUUGCUAUGGGUGAAGAAAUUCUUGCAGGAGCUUGGUUUUGUUCAGGAUAAAUAUCUACUAUUUGUGGAUAGUCAGAGUGUUAUUCAUCUUGGUAAGAACUCAACCUUUCAUUCAAGGUCUAAGCAUAUUGAUGUGAGGUAUCAUUGGAUACGAGAUACUUUGGAUGCUAAGCUAUUGGAGUUGGCCAAAAUCCAUAUUGAUGAUAAUGGUGCUGAUAUGAUGACUAAGGCAUUACUAAGAGGGAAGUUUGAAGUUUGUUGUGAGAUCGCCGGUUUGGCGGUCACCUCCCCAUAGUUGUAAGGGAGAGAUUUGUUGGGUUUUUUGGGCUACCUUCUUAUGUGGAGUAAAAACCCAAAUGAAAAGAUCCAUUUUGUCUCACUUAUUUAAGUGGAGAGAGGUCAGAUUAGAAAGAAACACACACAGAGAGAUAUAGUGAGAGAGACUCAUUUGAGAAGGGAAAAGAGUUACAAAUCAUUGAGAGAGAAAGAAUGAGAGGGAAAAUUAUUGUAAUUUUUGCAUACCCACUAGAGAGCGUUUUUUAGAUUGCAACUGCGAAUUCGUUCACCGUUGGACCCAGUUGAUUUUUGGAAAACAAGUUCUACACGCGUGAUUCUGCAAAUUGUUUGGUUGGAUCGGAAAAAAGAUAUCUUUAGAGAGAGAUAAGUGUUUCGCAUUAUCUACUCUAUAUUUUGGAGUUUUAUCUUUUUGUCUCUGUUGUAUCAAUUGGAGGGUUUAAUUUGAUUUGACUGUUCGUAGCAUGUUUUAAUGCACUUGUUGGAGGUUCUCUUGUAUAUUCAUUGAUUAUAGUAAAGUUAUUUCUUUGAUCUAGAUGACCCGUAAUUUUUAUUCUUACAUUGAGAAGUUUUUCACGCUAAACAAAUUAUGUCUCUGUUUUUUUUCCUUAAUUUCUAUCUUACGCUCUAUAUUUCAUUGGUGUUCCUUAUAGAUUUUUACAAAUUUUGAGAAAUUUAUUUUGACUGCUUAUUACUUAUUAUGUUUGUCUAUUUUCUCCCAUCAAUGUCAUUUAACUUUUGAAUAAUCGGGGAGUCCAAAUUUUUAAUUGUAAUUAAAAGACUAAUUAAGUCAUUAUAGUUUAUUGAGAUAAAAAGGAGUCAUUUUUUUUAUGAUGUGACUCCCGACAUAGCGUUUUAGCUCCUCAUUUCCGACAAACAACAAGUUGAGAUUGUUGACAACUGAAAAAUUUUCAAAAACUCCACGAAAUUGAAGUCAGGAUUCACUAACCAACCAAGCUACAACAUAAUAAAUCAAUUCAAUCUGAAACGAAGAGUAUUAGUAAGUAAUAUCACGUUCUCUGAUACAUUUUAAGACGAGGAAGGUUUCUUCAAUAUUUUUGAAAUCCUCCUUGAAUUUACUAAUUGCGGAACAUAUUCAAUUAGAAAAAUAUUUAUUAGUAAAAUCAUUAAUAUCAUUGAUUGUUUUUUAAAAUUCCUUUAUUGCAUGUUAUUAUAAUUUAUAGAAUAAAUUAUAACACUCCUUAUUCCUUAAGCCUUUAUGAAAUUACAGUUAACUUUCCAUUUUUUUUACACUAAUUCCUUUUUAAGUUUAAAAAUGUUAUAUUAAUACUUUCUUAUAUGUUUAAAAAUAUUAUACUAUGUUAACAUUCCUUUAAGUUUCAAAAUAUUACACUAAUUUUUUUUUAAAAUACUUAAAAUGUUAUACUAACAUUCCUUUAAAUCUUACGGUAACAUUCACUAGAAACAAGGAUGGUCAAAGAUUCAAAGUAAUGAAUUUUUUUUAAAAAAACAGAAAAUAUUUAUAUAAUUACACAAAAUCUUAAAAAAUGUUGUUAUUAUUUACUCUAAUUUAUAAUUUGAAUUUAGGAUCGAGUAUAUUUAAGGAAAUUUCUCUACACGGUUUACGCAAUCUCUUACAUCAUUUAUUUUUCCACAUUUGUUUACUCUGAGGAAUCUUCUUGAUAGGGGAAAGUUUUUUCAUAUUUUUUCUAGAUCCUUCUCAUGUGCAAUGUCUCCGCAUUCAUACGCAGCAAUCAAAAUGGAAUUAAUACACGGUAGCACUUUCCCAUUUUUUUGUUAUCGUCCCCACUAUUGACUAUACCCAUGAUAUGUAUAUAGGUAUAUCUUUUCUAAUUGAUUACGUAUCUGCUGAAUACUAGCUAGUCCUGAUUCCUAGCUCUAUAAAAGGAGAAUACCAUAGGAAUUCAUCACAGACAAACAAACAAUUUACCAGCUAUACUUGUUCCUUUUGAAGGUUAGAAGUGCUACAAUACAAACAAUGGCAGCUACUCAGGAAGAUGUGAAGCUUUUGGGUAUUGUGGGAAGCCCAUUUGUGUGCAGGGUCCAGAUUGCCCUUAAGUUGAAGGGAGUUGAAUACAAAUUUUUGGAAGAAAAUUUGGGCAACAAGAGUGAUUUGCUUCUCAAAUACAACCCUGUUCACAAGAAGGUUCCAGUGUUUGUUCACAAUGAGCAGCCCAUAGCAGAGUCUCUUGUGAUUGUUGAAUACAUUGAUGAGACAUGGAAGAACAACCCCAUCUUACCUUCUGAUCCUUACCAAAGAGCCUUGGCUCGUUUCUGGUCCAAAUUCAUUGAUGAUAAGGUAACUCAACAUUUCAAAAAUCUUCUUAGUUUUCAUGAUUUGUGCUGAUUUGUCAGCAAAACAUCACGAUGAAAUCUAUAUAUGUGAAAUCUUUCUGGUGUGGAAUAUAUAUGUGAAAUCUUUGAAUAUGUUAGAGAACUCAAAAGUCAACAGCCAACCAUGAUUUUUUUUUAAUGUAUCAACUUUUUGUAAAACAAUAUUAGUGAUUUGAAACUUUAUGGAAUCAUAUACUAUGAUUUUGGGAGAAAUUUUAUUUUAUUUUACUAUUUUUAUCUGGGGUGGGGGGAUUCUGUCACGUAUUUGUUUCUAUAUAACUCGAUCUAAAUUCUGUUUGUCCUAAUCACUUUAUGAAAUAAUUACUAAUAAAUAUUGUGAUUUGCGAAAUCAGAUUGUGGGUGCUGUAUCGAAAUCUGUUUUCACGGUUGAUGAGAAAGAGCGUGAGAAGAAUGUUGAAGAAACAUAUGAGGCUCUUCAGUUUCUUGAGAAUGAGCUGAAGGACAAGAAGUUUUUUGGAGGAGAGGAAUUUGGGUUGGUAGAUAUUGCUGCUGUCUUCAUAGCAUUUUGGAUCCCAAUUUUUCAGGAAAUAGCAGGGUUGCAGUUAUUCACCAGUGAGAAAUUUCCUAUACUCUACAAAUGGAGCCAAGAAUUCCUUAACCACCCUUUUGUGCACGAAGUCCUUCCUCCUAGAGACCCACUUUUUGCCUACUUCAAAGCCCGCUAUGAAAGUCUUUCUGCUUCAAAAUAGACUUAUUUAAGGAUAUUUGUUGAACAACUUGUGUCUUGUUGAGUUAUUGCUGUUUGAAUUUCAUGUAAAAUGAUACUAGCUAUAUGUAAAUCCCAGAAAAAAAAAAAAAAGAAUCCUAGGAUCUUGUUUUCGUUUUGGCCAUUUCAGUUAAUAAAGAAAUUAUAUUUUUCGAUAUAAAUUUUGUUGUGAAAAGCUUUAUUCUUCCUUCAUAAAAUCCUUCAAUGUGCAUAAUCUUAUUCGUAGAGAGACUUAGAGCGGCUAGUAGCUACUACCUUGAAAUUUUUUCUUUAAUUCGAAGGACAACGUAUAUAUUAUAUAAUAAUAAUUAUUGCAAGUUGGAAAUCGUGUAAGCAUGUUUCAUGACUAUAUGAGUUAACAAUAUACUGUCUUGCCUCUGCAACCUUCAUGGAUUCUAAAAUUAUUCCCUUGGCUGCAGUUGUUAUUUCAAUGUUGCAACAUGAGUUAACAAUACAUUGCAUUAACAUGAGUGAACAAUACAUUACGCAUGCUGUUUUUAAGGAUUGUUUUAUGAUUUUCUCUGCUGUUUUCUGUGCUGCACAAGUGAUGGCCUUUCAAUUUUCUGAUUUUUUGUUGUUGUUUAUAAACUGCUCUUUACUUUGGAGUACGACUUCACUAUUAAUUCAUGAGACAAUUGCUGAAUUGUUGAAGUCGUGAAAUAUCACUCGACUUCACUAUUAAUUAGUUUUGCAUUUUUAAUAUCACUUAGUUAUUAUUAAUUUAUGGUUUAGUAUUUUAGAAUAUUAGUGUUUAGUUAUUAUUAAUUUACGAUUUAGUUAGAUAAAUUAUUAUACAUGUUAAAUUAAUUUUGUUAAAUUAUUAUUUUGUGUUUUAGAAUAUUAGUGUUUAUUACGGUUUAGUUACAUAAAUUAUUAUAGAUGAUCAAUUAAUUUUGUUAAAUUAUUAUUUUAUGUUUUAGAAUAUUAGUGUUUAGUUAUUAUUAAUUUACGAUUUAGUUAGAUAAAUUAUUAUACAUGUUAAAUUAUUAUUUUGUGUUUUAGAAUAUUAGUGUUUAGUUAUCAUUAAUUUAUGGUUUAGUUACAUAAAUUAUUAUAGAUGAGCAAUUAAUUUUGUUAAAUUAUUAUUUUAUGUUUUAGAAUAAUACCGUUUAGUUAUUAUUAAUUUACAGUUUAGUUAUUAUUUUGUGUUUUAGAAUAUGAGUUAGACAAAUUAUUAUUACACUGUUCACUCCCGUGAAACCUAUAAAAAGAGAGUUCAUUCUCACUUCGAUGCAUCUGUUGCAUCCAAACAAUCACCCUAGUUCUCUGAUUUUGACGUGUUUCUUAGAGUCAUACUGACAUAAUUUUUUUAGUGUUACAUACAUGAAAAAGGUAUUUAAAAAUGUUUUAAUUUUUUACAUUACAUGUAAUCCAAUGAUUCCUUACUAAUCAAUAAUUUUUUUUUACAAAUGGCUACUGAAGAACCCAUAAUAAGAGAUAAUGUUAGUGACUUCAGUGAUGAUGAGCAACAACAUGAUUUUGGUGAACAUGGUGAACCAAGCAAUCAAAGUGAGUCAUCUUCAUAUUUUGAAACUAUUAGUAGCCAAAUUUCUAAAAAUCAAGAGUACUCAAAUCCUUAUCAAAGGACAACGAGUGUUAGUACAAAUGACCUUUAUGAAGGGUUGAUAUUUGAAUCAAAACAAGCCGCUGUGAAUGCCAUUAAACAAUUCCAUUUUAUGCAUUCAUUUAAUUUUGAUGUGGUCAAGAACAAGCGUGACAAGUAUGUUGUCAUGUGUAAUCAAUAUGGUAAUGGAUGUUAUUGGAGGGCGAGAGUAUCGUUCAGCAAAAUACGCAAAAGGUGGGAGCUGAAGAAAUUAAACGGUAUUCACACAUGCACAAAUUCUACCAUAUCACAAGAUCAUGUUAGGUUAGAUUCUUCUGUAAUUGCCCAUAAUAUUGUUCAUUUAGUGAAAACAAAUUCGGAUAUCGAAAUCAAAACCUUGAUUGCAGACAUGCAUCAACGGUUUCAUUACAUUGUUUCAUACAAAAAAGCAUGGACAGUAAACAAAAAGAUCUUGAAAUGGCAUUUGGAAGUUGGGAACAAUCAUAUAGUUACCUGCCUAUAUGGUUCACAGCUGCUCAACACUUUGUACCAGGUACCAUAGUAAAAUACACAACUUCAUCUUCAAUGGAGGAAGGUAACGAUAACCCUCUUAGGGUGAUUCUUAACCGUGUAUUUUAGGCGUUUAAUCCAUGCAUUGAAGGCUUCAAAUAUUGCAAGCCACUUGUGCAAGUAGAUGGGACAUUUUUAACUGGCAAAUACAAUGAUACUUUGUUGACUGCCAUCGGACAAGAUGGUAGUAGGGACAAUUUUCCACUUGCUUUUGCAAUUGUUGAGAGCGAGACUAAAGAAGCUUGGAUAUGGUUCUUGCAUUAUUUGUGAAGAUAUGUUACUCCGCAACCAAAUUUGUGUAUUAUAUCAGACAGGGGAACUGGUUUGCUAGCAACUUUACAAUCCAAACACGUUGGUUGGAAUGGACCAGAUGUUUCGUCUGUGUAUUGCAUUCGUCACAUUGCAUCAAAUUUCAACAAAUAGUUUAAAAAUGUUAACUUAAAAAAACAAGUCAUCAAUAUGGGUAUGUUUCUUCCUAUUUCAUGCAUCAUAUUCUUGCUUUAUUACAUGUUCACUAAAUUUUUUACUCAUUAUUCUAUCUUUUCGCACAGGGUAUGAGAUGAGGAAAUCAUGAUUUGAGGCUAAGUUGCUCGCUAGGCGAGCAGAGUUUCCACAAGCAGCAGAUUGGUUGGAUCAAAUUCGUAAGAGUAAAUUGACUCAGGCCUACGAUGAAGGAAAACGGUAUGGCCAUAUGACUACCAACCUUGUUGAAUGUAUGAAUUCUGUUUUGAAAGGAGCCCGAACAUUACCUAUUACUGCCUUAGUCAAUGAAACAUUUAAUAAAAUAAAUGAUUCAUUUGUCACUAACGACAUCAAAAUCAUGAAUAUGAUAAAGGCAGGGCAUAGGUACUCCGAAGACGUAUAUGUCAUGAUGCAAGAAAAUCAACACAUUGCUACCUCACAUUAUGUUCGCAUGUAUGUUCGAGAAACAAAGGAGUUUGAGGUUCAAGAAAUUGCAAAUACGCGACUUGGUCGACGAGGAAUGGCAUGCACUGUCAAAUUGAAUGAAUGGUUGUGUGAUUAUGGACAAUUUCAAGCACUUCGACUACCUUGCUCACAUGCAAUUGCAGCGUGUGCUUUUUGCAAUUUAAAUUAUGAUGACUUUGUUGACCCUGUAUACAAGUUGGAAAAUAUUUUCAAAGUUUAUCAACAUCAUUUUCAUUCCCUUGGAAGUGAAGACACGUGGCCUCAAUAUUUAGGUCCGCAUUUUAUGUCUGAUCCUUCGAAACGACGACAGAUAUCAGGCAGGCCAGCCACUACUCGGAUACAUAAUGAGAUGGAUGAAUCAAUUCCAAAUAGGCUUAAGAAAUGCUCAUUAUGUAAAACUGAAGGACAUAAUCAGAGUAACUGUCCAUACAAACAAGUACAUAACUAAAAUAACUUGUAAUUUUUAUGUUUUUCUUUCAUUUGUAUUGUGCGUUUUAUAUUAAUGUAUUAAUUAUGUUGUUUUUAAUUUUUAUUGAUAAAUUAUUUAAACUUUAAAUAAAAAACAUUUAAAGUAAACUAUAAUAAAAAUAUAUAUAACAUGUUUUAAAUAAUUAAACAUUAAAAUAAAAUAAUAACAUAUCAAAUAAAAUCACAAAAAAUAUACUAAUGAAAUCAACUUAAUAUUAUUUAUUAUAUAUUUAAAUAUAUAUUUUUUAACUUUUUUAUUUUAAAAAAAUAAAAUUGUUAACAUUAUAAAAUUAAAAAACAAAUUUAUGAAAAAAAAGGUUAACAAAUUAAAAACAAACUACAAAUAGUAAAAUAACGUUUUUAAAAAAAAAAGGAGGUUACGAUCUCAAAAUCGUAUACCUCAUGAAAUUUUUAAAAAAUAAGUAAGACAGUUUUACAACUUUAAAGUAAUAAAACAAAAUACGAGUUUUUUUUUAAUACGACUUUAAAGUCGUAAAAAAAUUAUAUUUACAUUGAAGUUGUAAAUAUUUUUACGAUUUCAGUUAAAAAAAUAAGAAAACUAAAAAGUCGUAAUAGGUGCUAACAACUGUUACAACUUAACCCGUUUUAGAUAAUUUUUUAAAAUAUACCCCAAAUGAAAAAUUGCGGAUUAUUUUAUCCCCAAUUGGUAAAAAAGCACCUGAAUACUAGAAACAAGGGUGGUCAAAGAUUCAAAGUAAUGAAUUUAUAAAAAAAAAAAGAAAAUAUUUAUAUAAUUACACAAAAUCUUAAAAAAUGUUGUUAUUAUUUACUCUAAUUUAUAAUUUGAAUUUAGGAUCGAGUAUAUUUAAGGAAAGUUCUCUACGCGGUUUACGUAAUCUCUUACAUCAUUUAUUUUUCCACGUUUGUUUACUCUGAGGAAUCUUCUUGAUAGGGGAAAGUUUUUUCAUAUUUUUUCUAGAUCCUUCUCAUGUGCAAUGUCUCCGCAUUCAUACGCAGCAAUCAAAAUGGAAUUAAUACACGGUAGCACUUUCCCAUUUUUUUGUUAUCGUCCCCACUAUUGACUAUACCCAUGAUAUGUAUAUAGGUAUAUCUUUUCUAAUUGAUUACGUAUCUGCUGAAUACUAGCUAGUCCUGAUUCCUAGCUCUAUAAAAGGAGAAUACCAUAGGAAUUCAUCACAGACAAACAAACAAUUUACCAGCUAUACUUGUUCCUUUUGAAGGUUAGAAGUGCUACAAUACAAACAAUGGCAGCUACUCAGGAAGAUGUGAAGCUUUUGGGUAUUGUGGGAAGCCCAUUUGUGUGCAGGGUCCAGAUUGCCCUUAAGUUGAAGGGAGUUGAAUACAAAUUUUUGGAAGAAAAUUUGGGCAACAAGAGUGAUUUGCUUCUCAAAUACAACCCUGUUCACAAGAAGGUUCCAGUGUUUGUUCACAAUGAGCAGCCCAUAGCAGAGUCUCUUGUGAUUGUUGAAUACAUUGAUGAGACAUGGAAGAACAACCCCAUCUUACCUUCUGAUCCUUACCAAAGAGCCUUGGCUCGUUUCUGGUCCAAAUUCAUUGAUGAUAAGGUAACUCAACAUUUCAAAAAUCUUCUUAGUUUUCAUGAUUUGUGCUGAUUUGUCAGCAAAACAUCACGAUGAAAUCUAUAUAUGUGAAAUCUUUCUGGUGUGGAAUAUAUAUGUGAAAUCUUUGAAUAUGUUAGAGAACUCAAAAGUCAACAGCCAACCAUGAUUUUUUUUAAUGUAUCAACUUUUUGUAAAACGAUAUUAGUGAUUUGAAACUUUAUGGAAUCAUAUACUAUGACUUUGGGAGAAAUUUUAUUUUAUUUUACUAUUUUUAUUUGGGGUGGGGGGAUUCUGUCAAGUAUUUGUUUCUAUAUAACUCGAUCUAAAUUCUGUUUGUCCUAAUCACUUUAAGAAAUAAUUACUAAUAAAUAAUGUGAUUUGCGAAAUCAGAUUGUGGGUGCAGUAUGGAAAUCUGUUUUCACGGUUGAUGAGAAAGAGCGUGAGAAGAAUGUUGAAGAAACAUAUGAGGCUCUUCAGUUUCUUGAGAAUGAACUGAAGGACAAGAAGUUUUUUGGAGGAGAGGAAUUUGGGUUGGUAGAUAUUGCUGCUGUCUUCAUAGCAUUUUGGAUCCCAAUUUUUCAGGAAAUAGCAGGGUUGCAGUUAUUCACCAGUGAGAAAUUUCCUAUACUCUACAAAUGGAGCGAAGAAUCCCUUAACCACCCUUUAGUGCAAGAAGUCCUUCCUCCUAGAGACCCACUUUUUACCUUCUUCAAAGCCCGCUAUGAAAGUCUUUCUGCUUCAAAAUAGACUUAUUUAAGGAUAUUUGUUGAACAACUUGUGUCUUGUUGAGUUAUUGAUGUUUGAAUUUCAUGUCAAAUGAUACUAGCUAUAUGUAAAUCCCAAAAAAAAAAAAAAAGAAUCCUAGGAUCUUGUUUUCGUUUUGGCCAUUUCAGUUAAUAAAGAAAUUAUAUUUUUCGAUAUAAAUUUUGUUGUGAGAAGCUUUAUUCUUCCUUCAUUAAAUCCUUCAAUGUGCAUAAUCUUAUUCGUAGAGAGACUUAGAGCGGCUAGUAGCUACUACCUUAAAAAUUUUGCUUCAAUUCGAAGGACAACGUAUAUAUUAUGUAAUAUGUAAUUAAAUUUCAGCCAUACAAUUAUUUGUGUCUCUGGUUGACUUAAUGUUGUUCAAAUUUGAUGUCAAAUUGACACUUAAAGUAAUAUGUAAUAUGAUUUCCUAAGUUCUCUUUUGCUUGCCAAGCAGCAACAUGAAAAGCUGUGUGAAACAUAGAAUUUAUAGUUUAUUGAGAUAAAAGAGCCGAGUGAAAAAAAAAUCAUGGUGUGACUCUCAGAUAAACCACAAGUUGAGAUUGUUGACCACUGAAAAUUUUCAAAAACUCCACAAAAAUGGAGUCAGGAAUCAGGAGGAUUCACCAACCAACCAACAACAUAAUAAAUCAAUUGAAUCUAAAAGGAAGAGUAUUAGUAAGUAAUAACACGUUCUCUAAUACAUUUUUAAGACACUUUUUUUUUAUAAAGAAAUCUGUAUAGUAAAUUUUAAAUUAAAUAAUAAAUUGUUAAUAAAAUAUAAAGCACCAUUAAAUUUUUUUUAUUUUUAGAAUUAUUUGUUUACAUGCAGAAAUAAUUAUUAAUUCUUAAGUAUCCCUUAAAAGGAUAUAAGAAAAUUAGUGUUUAUAACACACAUUUAUUGUAGGGGUGUUCAAAUCUAAACAAAUCCAAAAAUAAAUCACAAAAAUUGAUAAAAAAAAAACUUCAAACCAAUAAAAAUUUAUUUGUUUUGGAAUUUUUUAUUACUAUUUUGUAUAAUCAAUCAGGUUUGAAUUUGGAUGAUAUUUUCAAAAUUGAACCAAUUCAAAUCAAACCUCACAUUAUAUUAACAUCAAUCUUACUAGGUAUUGAGCAUUAGGUAAUUGUAUUUUAAACUUUUAAUAGUUAUAAUAUAUAAUUUAUAAUUUAAUUCUUUUUAUAAGAUGUUCAUAAUAUGUGGUUUUUAUUAUUCUAUUAAUAAUAAAUAUUAAAUUAAUUUAUAAUAUUUUUUGCUCUGUAAUUUGAUCUGCAUAAUUUACUUUUACAUGUUACAGAAAGAGCAUAGCAAUAUAGUUGAAGAAUAAUGCUAAAUAUCAAAUAUUAUGCAAGUUACUUUUACAUCACAAGAUGAUGAUGCCAAUAUAAUUAAGAAAAAAUGUUAAACAGUAGUAAAAAGUAUUGUUUUUCAAAUUUUAAAAAGAGAUAGAAAAGAAAAUUUAUAUUUUAGAUCAGUAUAGCAUAAUAAUAAUUAUGUAAAUUUAGUUAUUAAAUUUUAUAUUGUAUUUAUAAAUUUUAAAAAACAUAAAUUCAUCAAACUGAACUGUAAAAAAUUAGUUUGGUUUAAUUUAAAUUUCAUGUUACUUUUAAAUUCAACUAAUCCAAAUCACAUAUUAAUUCUAUGUUUGGUUAUUAUUUUUCUUCUAAAAAUCAAACUAAAUCGCAUUACAUAUACCAUGUGUUUUCAGUUUGAAGAGAAAGAAGUGACGAGAGUUUUAAGGGAAAAGUGAAAAAAAAUGUGGGACUUAUUUAAAAAAAUGAAAUGACUCAUCUGGUUAUCUAUCAUUUUAUUUUGAAAUAUGUAAAUAUAAUAUUAAUACGAAUAAAUACAUAUUUACAACAAACACACAUUUUUCUAUUUCUUCUAUUUAUUUCUACUUGUCUCAAUCCAAGUAACUUAAAAAUCUUCUCAUUAAAUACUCAUUCUCUCUUCUAUUCUCUUCUCUUUUAAAUCUUUUUAAAAUUUUCUCUCAUUUUUUCCAUACGCUUUGGCAUGCACGAGCAUUGCAAUAGGACCUUCUUUGACAUCUCACAAGAAUGUUAGCACCUCAAAUCAUUUAUCAUACAAACAAAACAUUAACGCACUAUAAUUCAUUUGUAUUAAAUAUAAGAUUUAAAUAUAAUUUUAAUAUUAAUCCUUAAAAAAUAAGACCAUUUUGACUUUGGUCUUUUAAAAAAAUUAUUUUAAUUUUAGUCCAUGUAAAAUUUUUUUUUUUAAAUCUUUAUUGUCAAAUAGCAACAUUAACUGAUAUGAUAACUACAAUAUUUCACAUAAUUAUGAAAUCUUAAAGAAUAGGUACAUCUAAUAUGCUUAAAACUGAGUAAGUAUAUCAGACUGGUCGAUAAGAUUUUUUUUUUUUUAUGUAAUUUGAUGAGAUAUAUUAAAACAUAGUUUAUUAAAAAGUAUAUGCAUAAUUGUUUUGUCAUGCUUUUUAAUUACGUGGCAAAGUCAAUAAAAUCUAAAUAUCAUUGUUAUGUCAUCAAAUUGGAUCAUUUGACAGAGACUAAAACUAAACAUAUUAAAUUUUACGUGAACUAAAUCAAAAUAAUAUUAUUUUUCAGAAUAUAAAAAUCAUAUUUAUGCCUAAUAAGAAAUUACAUAAUCUCUUGCAUCAUUUUUUCUCUCUCUUCAUAUAUAGGUGCAUAAAAUUAUUUUGAUGAGGAAGGUUUCUUCAAUAUUUUCAAAAUCCUCCUUCAAUUUAGUGAUUGCGGUAGAUAUUCAAUUAGAAAAAAUAUCUCUUAGUAAAAUCAAUAUCAUUGAUUAUUUUUUUAGAAUUCCUAUAUUGCAUGUUAUGAUAAUUUAUAGAAUAAAUCAUAGCAAUACUCGUUGAACUUUUAUCAAAUUAUACAUAAUUUUAUCCUUUUUUAUUUUCCUAGACUUCUUUUUUUAAGUUUGAAAACAUUAUAUUGACGUCUCUUUAAAUGUUUGAAAACAUUACACUACAAUAAUCUUCCUUUAAUUUUCAAAAUAUUACAUUGACACUUUCUUAUAUGUUUAAAAAUGCUAUUGUAAUAUUCCUUCAAAUCUUACACUAAUAUUUCUUAUAAGAAAUGUCAAAAGUAAUGAUCCUAUAAAAAGAUGUAUAAUUAUAUUAAAUUUUUAUAGAUGUUGUUGUAAUUUACUCUAAUGUAUUCAUCUUUUGUUCUAAAAUAAUUAUUGUGUGAAAAAAAUAUUUAUUCUAAAAUAAGUAUCAUUUUAAAUUUUUAAAGUAACUUUUAUUAUUUUUUCUAUUCAUAUUCCUUAUAAUAUUAAUGAUAUGGGUAACAAAAAUUAAUAUUAAUGAUAUGGGUAACAAAAAUUAAAAGUGAAUUAAUGGUGAUAAAGUUAAAUUUAAAAAAAUGUUAUUUUUUUAUCUAUUUAUUAAUUUUUUUUAUUUGUGUAAAAUAAUCUAGUAUGAUAAUUAUAAAUAAUGAAAUAAGAAAGUAUUUUUUUUUUGUUGACAACAACCAUAAUCACUCCUUUUCAAGGGUGUGUAUUUUAUGGGAUCGAAUAAAACCACGGUGUGUGUUACUAUCUAAGUUUUAUCUAUGGAGUAAAAAGUACAUAUUUGACUAUUCAUUAGGAGAAUAUAUAUAAAAAAAAUUCUAUACGGUUUACGUAAUCUCUUACAUCAUUUAUUUUCCCACAUUCUAUAAAUAUAUAAUACAUCUUAUCUAACUGAUGACGUAUCCGCUGAAUACUAGUCCUGAUUCCCGGCUCAAUAAGAGGAGAAUACCUUAGGAAUCCAUAAGAAACAUUAAUUCACCACUAUAGUUGUUCCUUUUGAAGGUUAGAAGUGCUACAAUGGCUGCUAAUCAGGAAGAUACUCAGGAAGAUGUGAAGCUUUUGGGUAUUGUGGGAAGCCCAUUUGUGUGCAGGGUGAAGAUUGCCCUCAAGUUGAAGGGAGUUCAAUACAAAUUUUUGGAACAAAAUUUGAGGAACAAGAGUGAACUGCUUCUCAAAUCCAACCCAGUUCACAAGAAGGUUCCAGUGUUUAUUCACAAUGAGAAGCCCAUAGCAGAAUCCCUUGUGAUUGUUGAGUACAUUGAUGAGACAUGGAAGAACAACCCCAUCUUACCUUCUGAUCCUUACCAAAGAACCUUGGCUCGUUUCUGGUCCAAAUUCAUUGAUGACAAGGUAACUCAACAUUUCAAAAAUCUUCUUAGUUUUCAUGAUUUGUGCUGAUUUGUCAGCUAAACAUCACGAUGACAUCUAUAUAUGUGAAAUCUUUUUGGUGAGGAAUAUAUAUGUGAAAUCUUUCAAUAUGAUAGAGAACUCAAAAGUCAACAGCCAACCAUGAUUUUUUUUAAUGUAUCAACUUUUUGUAAAACGAUAUUAGUGAUUUGAAACUUUAUGGAAUCAUAUACUAUGAUUUUGGGAGAAAUUUUAUUUUAUUUUACUAUUUUUAUUUCGGGUGGGGGGAUUCUGUCACGUAUUUGUUUCUAUAUAACUCGAUCUAAAUUCUGUUUGUCCUAAUCACUUUAAGAAAUAAUUACUAAUAAAUAAUGUGAUUUGCGAAAUCAGAUUGUGGGUGCUGUAUUGAAAUCUGUUUUCACGGUUGAUGAGAAAGAGCGUGAGAAGAAUGUUGAAGAAACAUAUGAGGCUCUUCAGUUUCUUGAGAAUGAGCUGAAGGACAAGAAGUUUUUUGGAGGAGAGGAAUUUGGGUUGGUAGAUAUUGCUGCUGUCUUCAUAGCAUUUUGGAUCCCAAUUUUUCAGGAAAUAGCAGGGUUGCAGUUAUUCACUAGUGAGAAAUUUCCUAUACUCUACAAAUGGAGCCAAGAAUUCCUUAACCACCCUCUUGUGCAAGAAGUCCUUCCUCCUAGAGACCCACUUUUUACCUUCUUCAAAGCCCGCUAUGAAAGUCUUUCUGCUUCAAAAUAGACUUAUUUAAGGAUUUUUGUUGAAUAACUUGUAACUUGUUGAGUUAUUGCUGUUUGAAUUUCGUGUCAAAUGAUACUAGCUAUAUGUAAAUCCCAGAAAGAAAAAAAAAGAAUCCUAGGAUCUUGUUUUCGUUUUGGCCAUUUCAGUUAAUAAAGAAAUUAUAUUUUUCGAUAAUAUCAAUCUUACUUACACACAUUCAAAUCAAACCACACAUUAUAUUAAUAUCAAUCUUACUUACACACAUUAUAUUAAUAUCAAUCUUACUUACUAGGUAUUGAGCAUUAGGUAAUUGUAUUUCAAACUUUUAAUAGUUAUAAUAUAUAAUUUAUAAUUUAAUUCUUUUUAUAAGAGGUUCAUAAUAUGUGGUUUUUAUUAUUCUAUUAAUAAUAAAUAUUAAAUUAAUUUAUAAUAUUUUUUGCUCUGUAAUUUGAUCUGCAUAAUUUACUUUUACAUGUUACAGAAAGAGCGUAGCAAUAUAGUUGAAGAAUAAUGCUAAAUAUCAAAUAUUAUGCAAGUUACUUUUACAUCCCAAGAUGAUGAUGCCAAUAAUAUAUAAUUAAGAAAUAAUGUUAAACAGUAGUAAAAAGUAUUGUUUUUCAACUAAAAUAUUUUAAAAAGAGAUAGAAAAGAAAAUUUAUAUUUUAGAUCAGUAUAGCAUAAUAAUAAUUAUGUAAAUUUAGUUAUUAAAUUUUAUAUUGUAUUUAUAAAUUUUAAAAAACAAAAAUUCAUCAAACUGGUCUGAAUCAAACUGUAAAAAAUUAAUUUGGUUUAAUUUAAAUUUCAUGUUACUUUUAAAUUCAACUAAACCAAAUCACAUAUUAAUUCUAUGUUUGGUUAUUAUUUUUCUUCUAAAAAUCAAAUUAAAUCGCAUUACAUAUACCAUGCUUGUUUUCAGUUUGAAGAGAAAGAAGUGACGAGAGUUUAAAGGGAAAAGUGAAAAAAAAUGUGGGACUUAUUUAAAAAAAUGAAAUGAAUCAUCUGGUUAUCUAUCAUUUUAUUUUGAACUGUGUAAAUAUAAUAUUAUUAGGAAUAAAUACAUAUUUACAACAAACACACAUUUUUCUAUUUCUUCUAUUUAUUUCUACUUGUCUCAAUCCAAAUAACUUAAAAAUCUUCUCAUUAAAUACUCAUUCUCUAUUCUAUUCUCUUCUCCUCUUUUAAAUCUUUUUAAAAUUUUCUCUCGUUUUUUCCAUAAGCUUUGGCAUGCACGAGCAUUGCAAUAGGACCUUCUUUGACAUCUCACAAGAAUGUUGGCACCUCAAAUCAUUUAUCAUCCAAACAAAACAUUAACGCACUAUAAUUCAUUUGUAUUAAAUAUAAUUUUAAUCCUUAAAAAAUAAGACCAUUUUGAUUUUGUUCUUUUAAAAAAAUUAUUUUAAUUUUAGUCCAUGUAAAAUUUAAUUUUUUUUUCAAUCCUUAUUGUGAAAUAGCAACAUUAACUGAUAUGAUAACUACAAUAUUUCCCAUAAUUAUGAAAUCUUAAAGAAUAGGUACAUCUAAUAUGCUUAAAACUGAGUAAGUAUAUCAGACUGGUCGAUAAGAUAUUUUUUUUUUUAUGUAAUUUGAUGAGAUAUAUAAAAACAUAGUUUAUUAAAAAGUAUAUGCAUAAUCGUUUUGUCAUGCUUUUUAAUUACGUGACUAGUCAAUAAAAUCUAAAUAUCACUGUUAUGUCAUCCUGCAUCAUUUGAGAGAGACUAAAACUAAACAUAUUAAAUUUUACAUGAACUAAAUCAAAAUAAUAUUAUUUUUCAGAAUAUAAAAAUCAUAUUUAUGCCUAAUAAGAAAUUACAUAAUCUCUUGCAUCAUUUUUUCUCUCUCUUCAUAUAUAGGUGCAUAAAAUUAUUUUGAUGAGGAAGGUUUCUUCAAUAUUUUCAAAAUCCUCCUUCAAUUUAGUGAUUGCGGUAGAUAUUCAAUUAGAAAAAAUAUCUCUUAGUAAAAUCAAUAUCAUUGAUUAUUUUUUUAGAAUUCCUUUAUUGCAUGUUAUGAUAAUUUAUAGAAUAAAUCAUAGCAUUACUCGUUGAACUUUUAUCAAACUAUACAUAAUUUUAUCCUUUUUUAUUUUCCUAGACUUCUUUUUUUUAAGUUUGAAAAUAUUAUAUUAACACCUCUUUAAAUGUUUGAAAACAUUACACUACAAUAACCUUCCUUUAAUUUUCAAAAUAUUACAUUGACACUUUCUUAUAUGUUUAAAAAUACUAUUGUGAUACUCCAUCAAAUCUUACACUAAUAUUCCUUAUAGAAAAUGUUAAAAGUAAUGAUAAUAUAAAAAGAUGUAUAAUUAUAUUAAAUGUUUACGGAUGUUGUUGUAAUUUACUCUAAUGUAUUCAUCUUUUGUUCCAAAAUAAUUAUUGUGUGAAAAAAAUAUUUAUUUUAAAAUAAGUAUCAUUUUAAACUUUUAAAGUAACUUUUAUUAUUUUUUUAUUCAUAUUCCUUAUAAUAUUAAUGAUAUGGGUAACAAAAAUUAAAAGUGAAUUAAUGGUGAUAAAGUUAAAUUUAAAAAAAUGUUAUUUUUUUAUCUAUUUAUUAAUUUUUUUUAUUUGUGUAAAAUAAUAUAAUUAUAAAUAAUGAAAUAAGAAAGUAUUUUUUUUUUUGUUGACAACAACCAUAAUCACUCCUUUUCAAGGGUGUGUAUUUUAUGGGAUCGAAUAAAACCACGGUGUGUGUUACUAUCUAAGUUUUAUCUAUGGAGUAAAAAGUAAAUAUUUGACUAUUCAUUAGGAGAAUAUAUAUAAAAAAAAUUCUAUACGGUUUACGUAAUCUCUUACAUCAUUUAUUUUUCCACAUUCUAUAAAUAUAUAAUACAUCUUAUCUAACUGAUGACGUAUCCGCUGAAUACUAGUCCUGAUUCCCGGCUCAAUAAAAGGAGAAUACCUUAGGAAUCCAUAAGAAACAUUAAUUCACCACUAUAGUUGUUCUGUUAAAAGUGCUACAAACAACAAUGGCUGCUAAUCAGGAAGAUGUGAAGCUUUUGGGAGUUGCAGAAAGCCCAUUUGUGUGCAGGGUUCAGAUUGCCCUCAAGUUGAAGGGAGUUCAAUACAAAUUUUUGGAACAAAAUUUGAGGAACAAGAGUGAACUGCUUCUCAAAUCCAACCCAGUUCACAAGAAGGUUCCAGUGUUUAUUCACAAUGAGAAGCCCAUAGCAGAAUCCCUUGUGAUUGUUGAGUACAUUGAUGAGACGUGGAAGAACAACCCCAUCUUGCCUUCUGAUCCUUACCAAAGAGCCUUGGCUCGUUUCUGGUCCAAAUUCAUUGAUGACAAGGUAACUCUACUUUUCUUCUUUUCUUGCUUUGUUACUGAUUUAUCCCCAAAACACCACCUUUCAUUACAUCGAUCUAAAUUAUUUUGCCCUCAUGAUUAUUUAUCAAAAUAUUACUAGUAAAUAAUGUGAUUUGUCAAAUUAGGUUGUGGGUGCUGCAUGGAAAUAUAUUUAUACUGUUGAUGAGAAAGAGCGUGAGAAGAAUGUUGAAGAGUCAUAUGAGGCUCUGCAGUUUCUUGAGAAUGAGCUGAAGGACAAGAAGUUUUUUGGAGGAGAGGAAAUUGGGUUGGUAGAUAUUGCUGCUGUCUUCAUAGCAUUUUGGAUCCCUAUAAUUCAAGAAGUAUUGGGUUUGAAGUUAUUCACAAGUGAGAAAUUUCCUAAGCUCUACAAAUGGAGCCAAGAGUUCAUCAACCACCCUGUUGUCAAACAAGUCCUUCCUCCUAGAGAUCAACUUUUUGCCUUCUACAAAGCCUGCCAUGAAAGUCUUUCUGCUUCAAAAUAGACUUAUUUAAGGAUAGUUGUGUGAACUACUGGUCUCUCAUUUGUGAGUUAUUGCAGUUUGAAUUUCAUGUCAAUUUGGUUUUAUAUGUAAUUUAGUAACCUGGGAUAUCUCCCAUGGAGAAAAUAAUCCUUGGAUCUUGUUUCCAUUUUGGCCAUUUCAGUUAAUAAAGAAAUUCAUUUUUUCCAAAUAAAUUUUAUAGUGAAAAGCCUUUGUCUUCCUUUAUAAAAUCCUUCAAUGUGCAUAAUCUUAAUAUUGGUAGACUUGGAGCGACUAGCCAGCUACUACCUUGAAAGUUUUAUUGCCUCAAUUCGAAGGACAACGUAUAUAAUAUCAUAUGUAAAUUCCAGCCUUAAAACUAUUUGAGUCUCUCGACUUAAUGCUGUUCGAAUUUCAUGAUUGUCACUUACAAUUAUAUGUAAUGUGUGAUCUUUGCUAAUUAAAUUCUCUUUUGCUUGCCAGCAACAUGAAAAGCUGUAUGAAACAGAGAAUUUGUAGUUUCUUUAAACAUGAAAAGAGCCUAGUCAAAUAUGUUUAUUAUUAUUUUUAUUUAUGGUGUGACUCUCUUUAAUUGGCUCCCUAUUCUCCGACAAGCCACCAGGUUGAGAUCGUUGACCACUGAAAAAUUUCCAAAACUCCACAAAAAUGGAGUCAUGGAUUCACCAACCAAACCAUCCAUCCCUAGAACAUUAUAAAUCAAUUCGAUCUAAAAGAAGAGUAUUAGUAAGUAAUAAUACCUUCUCUAAUACAUUUUUAAGGCACUUUUUUAUUAUUAAGUAAUUUGUAGUAAAUUUUAAAUUAAAUAAUCGAUUGUUAUUAAAAAUAUAUAACAUCAUUAAAGAUUUUUAGAAUUAUUUGUUUUCAUGUAGAAAUAAUUAGGUGGCACCAUCUACAUCAAAAUGGAAAUGAUACGUGACAGCACUUUCCCAUUUUUUUCUUAUCGUCCCCACUAUUGACUAUGUCCAUGAUAUGUAUAUGUAAUGGAUAUAAUAUAAUAUAGGUAUAUCUUUUCUAAUUGAUCACGUAUCCUCUGAAUACUAGUCCUGAUUCCUGGCUCUAGAAAAUAAAACCUUAGGACCCAUCACAGACAAAGAAGCAAUUAAUUCACCAGCUACAUAGUUUUUCUGUUUGAAGUGCUACAAACAAUGGCAGCUAAUCAGGAAGAUGUGACGCUUUUGGGAGUUGUUGGAAGCCCGUUUGUGUGCAGGGUCCAGAUUGCCCUCAAAUUGAAGGGAAUUGAAUGCAAAUUUUUGGAAGAAAAUUUGGCAAACAAGAGUGAUCUACUUCUCAAAUCCAACCCCGUUUACAAGAAGGUUCCAGUGUUUAUUCACAAUGAGAAGCCCAUAGCAGAGUCUCUUGUGAUUGUUGAGUACAUUGAUGAGACAUGGAAGAACAACCCCAUCUUGCCUUCUGAUCCUUACCAAAGAUCCUUUGCUCGGUUUUGGUCCAAGUUCAUAGAUGACAAGGUAACUCAAAUUUCAAAAUAAAAUAAAAUUCAUGCUUUGGGCUUAUUUAUCCCCAAAUAAUCACCUUUCGUGACAUCUAACUGUGAAAUGUUAGAAUAUGUUAGAGAACUCAAUACUACCUCAAAUUCAUCUAACAGCUUACCAUGAGCUCUUUUUAAUUUGUACUAUAUUUGUCCUAAUUUGUACUAUCAUAUAAGUGAAUCCAUAACCUGUUUGUCCUCAUUACUUUAUAAAAUACUAAUUACUAAAAAUUAAUCUUAUUUGUGAAAUCAGAUUGUGGGUGCUUCAUGGAAAUCUGUUUUCACGGUUGAUGAGAAAGAGCGUGAGAAGAAUGUUGAAGAAUCGUUGGAGGCUCUGCAGUUUCUUGAGAAUGAACUACAAGACAAAAGGUUCUUUGGAGGAGAUGAAUUUGGAUUUGUAGAUAUUGCUGGUGUCUUCAUUGCAUUUUCAAUCCCAAUUUUCCAAGAAGUAGCAGGGUUGCAAUUAUUCACCAGUGAGAAAUUUCCUAAGCUCUUCAAAUGGAGCCAAGAGUUGAUCAACCACCCUGUUGUCAAAGAUGUCCUUCCUCCUAGAGAACCACUUUUUGCCUUCUUCAAAUCCCUCUAUGAAAGCCUUUCUGCUUCAAAAUAGAUUGUUUAAGAAUGAUUGUGUGAACUACUUGUCGCUCAUUGAAUUAUUGUUGUUUGAAUUUCAUGUCAAUUUGAUACUAUAUGUAAUUUAGUAACCUGGGAUAUUAGGAUAUCCCCAAGGAACAAAGAAUCCUAGGAUUUUGUUUCCAUUUUGGCCAUUUCAGUUAAUAAUUAAAGAAACUCUAUUUUUUCUUGAUACAAAUUUUAUAGCGAAAGCUUUUGUCUUCCUUUGUUAAUUAAGACGAAAGCUGGCAUGUAUAAGGCUACUAGCAUAUCAAGCACCGUGUGAAAGAAUUUACGACAGUAAGAUAUAGUUAUUACAAUAACAGAAUUAAGACAUUUCAUUCAUGAUAAUUUGAUAAAUACAAGAAGGGAUAUAAUGAAAAUCUUGUCUUCAUUUUCGUGAUUUUAGUUAAUUUUAUUUUUCUAUUCUCUCUUAUAUUUUGUGCUUCUUAUGUAAAACUCUCUUUUUUACCCAAGUAAAAUAAUUUUAUUGGGAAAGAUAUCAAACUUAGCACAAGUGAUGACAAAAACUUGCCAGCUGUAAGGACAAUUACAAGUUGGGUUGGGCAGAGUGAGCUAAAAUAGUUUGAGCUUAAAUUUUUAUAAUAUAGACCGAUCAAUCAUUGGGCUAAUGGGACCAACCCCUUUUAAGACCCCUACCUUCAGGCAAUUGCUUCCUACACCGUUAGAUUUUUUCUACACCCAACAAUAUAAUUGAAUUGUUGAUUUUGCUCUUACACCCCUACACGCAUCCCCUUCCUCCUCUGCCGCUUCUGUUUUUACUCUCCCUUCUCCCUUCUUGCGCAGUGAUCUCCCCUCUUUCACUCCUCUGUUUAACUUCACUUGUUGGUGUUUCCUUCUACCGCUUUUACGUCACCGUCACCGUCAUUAUUAUUGUAAGUAGUUUUCUUCCAAUUUUUCUACAUUAAAGAAUCGGUAUCAUUCAUACGGAUGGUCAUUCAUACAGAUGGUCAAUCAGUAUGAACUAUUUUAAAAAAAUAAUUAAAAAUAGAUAUUUUAAUGUUUUUUUAAUAAAUUUAAUUAUAACUUUUUAUAAUUAUUACAUUAAAUUGAUUCUUUAUUUUUGACUUUAUUACAAUUAAUUUUGAUUUAAUAAUAAUUUUUUAAAAUAUAUAAAUUUUAAAUAAAAAUCAUAUAUUUAAUAAAAAUUUAUAUAUGUAAAAUAUAUAUUAUUAGAUCAAAAUUUAUUAUAUAGAUUUAUAUGUGUAUUAAAUAUACAUUAGAAAUUUUAUUAUUAUAUAUAAUAAAAUUACUUAUUUUAUAACAUAAUUAAUCUAUUAACUUAGUUGAUUAAAAUAUUGUGAUAAUAACAUAAAAAUUACAUUUUCGAAUUUUGGGAUAAUAACCUUACAUAUUAACUAUUCAUAUGAACUUUACACAAGAAUAAUGUUAAAAUUCUAAAAAAUCUACCCGAUAUAAAAGAAAAAGGAUGAGUGGAGGAAGAAAACGUCCUACCUUCAAGGGAAAAAUGUCCUACCUUCAAGGGAAAAAAUCUUGUUCUUGAUGCAUUCCCAAACUAACAGAGGGAUUUACUCCAUUGAGAAAUUUUAUUAAAUGCAUCUUACCCAUCCAUAUGUUUGAUUUUAUUUUUUUUACCGCUCACCACUUUUCAUCAAAUAACAUGAAACCAAUUGAGCUUAUAAUUAUGGAUUGGGGAGAGGUGGCGUGAAACUAAGCAGGGGCCGACGAAUAGAUAAUUACGGAAAGAUGGAGGGAAGAAGACAAGUAAGAAAAGGAAAAAGAGAAAAAGAGAAAAAGAAAAGAAAAGACAGAAAAAUGAGCAGGACCAAAAGAAAAGACAAACAAAGAGAUGAUACUCUCUGCAUAAAUGACGUUUAAUGGUUCUUUAUAGAAAUAACGAAAAUCUUUAGAACUGAUUUUAUGGUAUUAAUUAUUUAUUAGAGUAAAAUUAUAAUAAAAAACUAUAUUUUAUCAGAAACCUAAAGCGUCGUUUAAUGAAUUCUUUUAGGAAAAAUAUGUUUUAUUUUUCAUACUUUUAUAAAAUCUUAUUUUUAGUUGUUGAAAUUUCAUACCAUCUAAUUUAACCCAUGUAUUUUAUAAAAAAAAUUGUUUUUAAAUUCUUUUUACAAAAUUCUUACAAACAACGUUGUUAACGUCUAUUUAACGUGACAAAUAAGCAAAGUAUAUUUUUUUUUAUUUUUUAAAUUAAUUAAAAUGAUAUGUAAUUUUUUUUUUGAAAAAUAAUUAUUAAUAUGUCUCUACGAUAUACAUCAAACAGUAACUUUUAAUGGUUCUAUUUUGUUUUUAUUUCCAUUCUAUGAAUUGGCAUGAUAGGUAAAUAGUGUAAUUUAUGUAUCAUGUAAGAAAUGACGUUAACAAUAGAGGUCCUCAUAAUUGGAUAUUUAUGCAACUAUAACCAUACCUAAUAAAUAAUUAGAUUAUAAGUAGGUAUUAUAAUUAUAACUAGUUUUUUAAAUAUGGGUAUAAUUUAAUAUAACUAGUUAUUAUUUUUAAAAUAGAGGUAUAUAACUAGUUAUGAAUAAACUAGUUAUAUAUGGAUAAAAAUAAGUUGUUUGAAAUAUUCAUUUCUAUAAAACUAAUUAUAUUUUUAUAAUUAUAAUUAUUUUUUAAAUAAAAAUAAAUUAUUUAAAAUACCUACUUUUAUAUAACUAAUUAUAUAAAAAUAUUUAUAGUUAUAGGUAUUUUCUAAAACUAGUUUUUUUAGUAGUCUUAGUCAACAUAAUUUAUGACUAGAGACUAAAAAUAAGAUUUUUGUAAAGAGAGACUAAAUUAAAUCAUAUGAAACUUUAAUAACUAAAAACAAGAUUUUAUGAGAAAUAAUAACUAAAGAUAUAUAUUUUUUCUAAUUCUUUUUAUAUUAAAAUAUCAUUUAUUUUAAAAUAAAAAAUUAAUGCCACGUUUAUUAUCUUGGAAUUACUAUUUCGUAUAAAAAAAAACAGCUUAGACGAAUUCAUAUAAAGACCACUGUUUUUAUUUGACCGAAUAAAAGUUAAAUAAAAAAUUGUGACACAAUAAGUUGUUUGACAGGAAUACGCAUGCAUGUACCUGGUAACAUGGUAUUAUGGAUUUCGUGUUACACGAAUUGGUAAUUGGUAAAGUAAAGCAUUUUCCGUUUUUUAUACGAUAAAAUUUGAGCAAGUUUCAUGUAAAACUUGUGGUUUUUCUUAUUUUGAGUUUUUCAUUUUCAUUUGAAUGUAAUUUAUACGUUUUAGAGUACUUGUCUAAUUAUUUUGUUUAAAAAUAACUGUUUUUUUUAUAAAUAAAGAUCAUGUCUAAAAAGGUUUAUGAUAAUUAUAUAUUUUUAAAAUUAAAACAAUUCAACUCUAAUUUAUUUUUGAAAAAAAAAAGGCAAUGCUUAAAGAUUAAGGAUCGAUUAAAAAAACGUUUUCAAAGCAUAUUAACGUCAACUGGUUUUGUCUUAUUCAUUUAUGUUUUUUUAGGUUUGCUUCAUCUGAGAAUUCGUUUUCUGUCCUGUUUUUCUUUGCUCUUUAUUAAUAAUCACAAAAUAACCACAUCAAUUUUACUUUAUUUUAUAAUUCUAAGGAAUUGUGAAGAAAAUAAUGAAUUUACGUAUACAUAUUUAAAAAGAACAAAAUAAAAAUAUUAUAUAUAGUUAUUAAUAAAAACUAAAUAAAACUCAACAUAAAAAAGAGUUUACCCGUUAUUUUCUUUUUAUUUUUAAAAUGCCGUAUAUUCAAGAUUAGUGACAUGAAUUAUUUAUAAUUUUUUUUUUUACUUUUAUAGUAUUCAAAUAUUAUUUAAAUUAAUCUUACUUAUUUUAUGUAAUAUUGUAAAAAAAAUAUUUAUAUUUUCUAGAUCUAGACACAAGGGCUUUCUAAUUAGUUUUGUCAUCUUGUACCACUCUAUAUAAUAAUUUAAUUGCUGAAGAGUGAAGACCACAUAGGAUUCAUCAUUUUCCAAACGAGCAUCUUCGUAGUUUCUUAAGUCAAGAGAAGAAGUGAAGUGCUGCUUCAAUGGCUUCAAGUCAGGAAGAGGUGAUCCUUUUGGGGGUUAUUGGAAGCCCAUUUCUGCACAGGGUGCAGAUUGCUCUCAAAUUGAAGGGAGUUGAAUACAAAUAUUUGGAAGAUGAUUUGAACAACAAGAGUGAUUUGCUCCUCAAGUAUAACCCAGUUUAUAAAAUGAUUCCAGUGUUUGUUCACAAUGAAAAGCCCAUAUCCGAGUCCCUUGUGAUUGUUGAGUACAUCGAUGACACAUGGAAAAACAACCCCAUCUUGCCUGAUCCUUACCAUAGAGCCUUGGCUCGUUUCUGGGCCAAGUUCAUUGAUGACAAGGUAACUCUCAAUUAGAUCCCUUCCUUUUAUUCUUUCCUUUUCUUAAAAUAAAUCGCUUAUAUAUAUAUAUAUAUAUAUAUAUAUAAUAUGGAUCAAACUUCUUUAAGAACUGUCUUGAAUUAUUGUUAUGAUUUGUAAUUAUAGGAUUAUGGUAGAAUUUUCAACUUGGGGAAGAAAUAUUUGUGUUAUGUAUUCUAAAUUUCUAACCGUAAAUAAUAUAGAAAUUAGAAGCUUCUACUACUCACUGACAAGGGGGAGAGGUGCAGGGUUGUUACGGUGAGGCAUUGCCGCACACGAUUGGAUCUACUACUCACUCCGUUAUGCUAUGCUUUCACUUUAGAACUCAUAUCCCUCACACGCGAAAUGCUUUUGAGGAACCGAAACGACAAUGACAGAGAAGAUGAACCAGCUCGAUUUGAACGCGCGCGUAGAUAAUUAGGGUAACUUAAACAAAGACGGUCCUUCACCCAAACCCGUCUUUGUUCAAGUUUUUCAUAUUUACAAAAAUGCCAUGAACUAGCAUUCUAAGACGGUUCUCUACGACCGUCUUAGAAUGCACGACGUAAAAACAAAAAAUAUUACUUCUAAUUAUAAAAAUGUCACCGUCUUACAUUUUAAGACGGUUAUUAAUAACCGUCUUAGAAUACGCAUCGUAAAAUCAACCUCUUUUAGUAGUGAAGGCAUUAUCAAAAAUUAAAUUUUAAGGAGCAAAAAGGUAUUUAAAUCCAAAUUUUAUUUACUUUUACAUAAGUCAAUCAUAUUUCUGAUUGAUGUAAUGUAACUUGGUAGGAAGACUGCAUCCUAGCUUUUAGAUUUCUCCAAGGAGAUUAGCAUCUAUGAAUGAUGAUUGGAGACAUUGGUUGCUAUUAUAUAUGUAUCCAAGAAAAAUCAUAGUUGUUUUUAUAUAUUCCAAUUAUUUACUAACAUACAAGUAAUGUAACUUGGGAAAUCAGUGCGUGGCUCCAGCAGCGAAAUCUGUUUUUAUUGUUGAUGAGAAAGAGAAAGAGAAGGCAAAAGAAGAAUUAUUUGAGGCUCUGAAUUAUCUUGAGAAUGAGUUGAAGGGAAAGUUUUUUGGUGGAGAUGAGUUUGGCUUUGUGGAUAUUGCUGCUGUGAUCAUACCUAUAAUUCAAGAGAUAGCAGGGUUGCAAUUGUUCCCAAGUGAGAAAUUCCCAAAGCUCUCCAAAUGGAGCCAAGACUUUUACAACCAUCCACUUGUUAACCAAGUUAUGCCUCCUAAGGACCAACUUUUUGCCUAUUUCAAGGCUCGGGCUCAAAGCCUCGCUGCUAAAACAAAGAAUUAACAAAGACUCAGAAUUCCCAAGGAGAUUUUAAUAUUGUAGGAAGUGAAAGCUACUUACUAUCUAUGUUUAGUUUUCGUUUUGUUCAACAAUCUAUGUUUAGUUUUCGUUUUGUUCAACAAUCUAUGUUUAGUUAUUGCGGUUAUAUUUUCAUUUCAAAAUGAAUUAAGCGAUAUAGGAUUUCGCCAUGUAAAAAAAAUAAAAAUCCAAGGUUGUUGACAUUUUCGCUAUUUCAAAUGAGUUGUGUUAAUUAUUGGUUUAAACUAUUUAGUAAAGGGACCAAUGAGAUUUAGCUUAAAUCAAAUGAGUAUCCAAUGAUUUUUUAUUUUAUUUUUUUACUUUUUAAAUCAAUGCCUUCUCCUUUGGGUCUUGGUCUUGUUGACAUUUUCGCUACUGCAAUCAAUAAAAGGAAAAAAAAUAUAUCCUCCCUUCCCCACACCAUAUAAAUCUUUUGGUGGAUAUGCUUUUUAGGGAUACGGGUGUCGGAAGAGAUAAGGAUUUGAUGCAAAGAUACAACGAUUCUUGAAAGAUAUGAUAUGCCACAUGUGAAAAUAUCAACAUGCUGUAAGUUGAUAGAUAGUCAAUUAAAAUUUGUUUAGAUAGCACUUUAGAAGAAAAAAAACAAAAUUUUAAAUUUAUCAGAUCAACAACAACAGCAAAAAUUAAGAUAAAAAACAAAAUUUAAUCAUUUAUCAAAAUCAAAACCAAAAGUAUAUUUAAAUUUUUUUAUUUAUUUUCUAGAAAAAAUUCUUGCGAUGAAUUUUUUAUUUCUAGAUUUUGAUUUUGGGCUCGAUUUUUAUAAUCACUCAUUUCACCACUUGAAUAUAUGAUUAUUUUUUUUUAUUGUUUUAGUCGAUUUUGAUUUUGGAUUCUUCUAUAAGAAUGAUUCCCUACGCAGUACACCACACUAAAUGAUAAAAAUUCUCCAACAAUAAAACUUGUUAAGAAAUAUAUAGUUCUUCCACAUAAGAACUAAGUUAGUUAAGAACAUGCAUUGAAGAUGUGGUAAAAGCAUAUUCAAUAAAUCAAUGGUGUUUAUUUAAGCAAUUCAUUUGGAAUUUUUAGUUGAGUCCAAAACGGGUUCCACUAUAUGUAUCAUUAUAUUUAAGCAACUAACCAGCAUUUAUUAUAUUUCAAUGCUACAACCCUUUAAAAACUUAUAAUAUUAUUCUUUUUAUUUGCAUUUGAUUUUUUUUCCAUUAAAAUAUUAAUUUCAAACCACUUUUUUCAUAAACAACUACUUUUUAUAUAAGUAACCAUGCUUAAAUUUAAGCAAUCCAUUCUACCAAUCACAUCAACUCCAAUAAUGAAAAUAAAUAAAGAAUGAUUUCAAAAUUUACACAAUCCAGUAAAAAAACUCCAUUAAAAUUACUCUAAAUUUAAGAAAGAUUUAUUAUGUUUUUGAUAGUUAAACUUUUCCGGACUUCUUUUAGUCUAAAUCUAAAUUUUGAGCUAAGAAAAUCCCUAAACAUUUCUUUCUUACAAUUUUUAGUUUGUAUUAUCAAAUAAUAACAUUAAUUGAUAUUAUAAUAAUAUGGUUGAUAACUCAAUGACUUAUUAUGUCAUUAAGGAGUUGAUGACAUUAGAUUAUCUGAUAAAUAAUUUAAAGUACAUUUUACUAAAAAAAAAUAUGUGACUAUUUUAUCACAUUUUUUGGUAAUGUGAUAAGUUAUUAGAUCAUUAAUGUUGUUAGGUCAUUGAUUAAUAUUUUAUUUAAAAAUUACUAAAGUGAUAAUAGAGAACAAAUUUAGAAACUUUAAGUGAUCAAAAUUUAAAUUAAGAAUAAGCCCACCCCAAAAAAAUUACAAACUAAAAAAUAGCAAGCCCAUGUACAAAUCUCAUAAAUAAACUAUUCUAGUAAAAGAUAUUUCAUUAUUUUUUUUGUCUCCAUCUUUCAAUUAAUUAAAAAAAAAGAUUAUAACUAAUCUAGAGUUGGACAGAGAUAAGUAAAAUAUGAUUUAGAAUUCUUUUUAUUAAAUAUCAAACUCAUAUAUGAUCCGACAAUUUAAUCUUAAGUAUAACAUAUUAAAUUUUUGGAGUGAGUCACUUACUUGCUUAGAUACUUCAUCGUAUAAUAUAAAAUGCUAAACACGUGCUCCCACGUAGAGGUGACGUAACUCUUGUAUCAUUUCUAAGUCAUUGACUAUAUGACAAUGGAGUUUUCUUCACUUCAUGCAAAAACAACUUUUUUAUUUGAUUUAAUUACAUUUUUUCAUCUUAUUGUUUAAUUAGUUUUUGACAAAUUUUAUUUUUAAUAAAUUAAUUGAACACAUUUUAUCUCUUAUUUUUUUUAAAAAAAAGAUUGCAAAUUUUUUCUUUUUUUUAUUUUACUCAUAAUAUAAUUAUAAAUUUACCCCUAAAAAAGUUGGGCAUUUGAGGAGAGUUCUAUGUUGGAUUUGAUGUGGAAGAUAUAUUUUUUGUUUAAAUUGAUUCUGUUGGUUUUUAAACUGCCGAAAUUAUAAUUUAACUUUUUAAAAUGAAUAUUGGUGUUUUCAAAAUGGUCACAAAUCAUAUUUUGAAAUUUUUAACCAACAUGUUGUCACAAUUUAAUUAACGACAUAUAUAUAAAAUAAAAAUUUUCAUGUAUUGCGGAACUAAUACAAAAGAAAAAAAAAAUUAGAAACUCAAAAUAAAAUCCGAUUAUUUAUGACGGAGUUAAAACAUAUUUAACCAAUAUUUUAUAAAGUGAUUUGAAACCUAUAUUGCAAAGUCUAGAAAAAAAGUUUUUAAAAAUCGACUAUAUUUCACAUAAAAUAAAAAUAUCUAAACCUUAUGUCAUCUAUCAUGCACCUUUGAUAACCUUUGUAAUUGAUCUCGUGUCCAUGAAUACUAGUCCUGGCUCCAUAAAAGGAGAACACCGUAGGAAUCCAUCAUAGACAGAGAAACAAGACCAGAGAUAGUUGUUUGAGUGAAGGUUUGAAGUGCUACGUACAAACAAUGGCCAACAAUCAGGAAGAGGUGAUACUUUUAGGAGCUGUGGGAAGCCCAUAUGUGUGCAGGGUGAAAAUUGCCCUCAAGUUGAAGGAAGUUCAAUACAAAUUUUUGGAAGAAAAUUUGGCAAAUAAGAGUGAACUGCUUCUCAAAUCCAACCCAGUUCACAAGAAGGUUCCAGUGUUUAUUCACAAUGAGAAGCCCAUAGCAGAAUCCCUUGUGAUUGUUGAGUACAUUGAUGAGACAUGGAAGAACAACCCCAUCUUGCCUUCUGAUCCUUACCAAAGAUCCUUGGCUUGUUUCUGAUCCAAAUUCAUAGAUGACAAGGUAACUCUACUUUUCUUCUUUUCUUGCUUUGUGCUUAUUAUAUUUGUCCCUAAAACAUCACCUUUCAUGACAUCUAAAUGUUAAAUCUUUGAAUAAGUCAGAGAAGUUGAAGAAACUUCAUUCACUAAGUGUACCAAAUUUGUCUAAAAUCAUAUUAAUGAUAGAUCAAAUUCAUUUAAGAACUACCUCCAAUUAUUAUGAUUUGUUUGGAAUCUUGGGAGAAUUUUGUUUUUUUGGGGUGUCACAUUUGUUUCUAUAUAUAACUAAAUCUAAAUUCUGUUAUCCUAAUUACUUUAUUAACUAAUUACUAAUAAAUACUCUGAUUUAUGAAAUCAGGUGGCGGAUGCUGCAUGGAAAGCUGUUUUCACUGCUGAUGAGAAAGAGCGUGAGAAGAAUGUUGAUCAAUCAUUUGAGGCUCUUCAGUUUCUUGAGAAUGAGCUAAAGGACAAGAAGUUCUUUAGAGAAGAGGAGUUUGGCUUGGUAGAUAUUUCUGGUAUCUUCGUAGCAUUUUGGAUCCCUAUAGUUCAAGAAGUACUGGGUUUGAAGUUAUUAAACAGUGAGAAAUUUCCUAAGCUCAACAAAUGGUGCGAAGAAUUCACCAACCACCCUGUUGUCAAAGAAGUUCUUCCUCCUAGAGACACACUUUUUGCCUUCUUCAAAACUAUCUUUGAAAGACUCAGAAUUUCUAAAAUAGGCUCGUGAAGUAACUAGUGAGAGACUCAGAAUUUCUAAGGAAAAUUGUGUUGACUACUUGUUUGUUAUUGUUGUUAUGAUUUCGUUUCAAAAUGUUGUUUGUAAGUGUUAGGUAAUUCUAUUCCACUGAUAAGGAACAAAUUGUAAAGAUAAUUUUUCUGCCCAUUCUUAUUGAAACUUUAGAUAUUUAAAGAGUAACAUAAUACUGCAAAGCACAAAACUACAAAGCUGAUAAUGGGCAUAACAGAAAUGCCACCUAAGGAAUAACAGAAUUCCAAUAACAGCCUAAUGAUUGUCUAUCAGAGGGAGAGGGAAUUCUUUAGCGGUAUCAGACAUAAUCCUCCAAAUGAGUGGGCCUUCUGGUUAUCCAUUUGGGUUUUUAAUCUCCCUAGUUUGAAUUGCUAACAAAACCCUCCCUAGGAAACUCGACAUCAUCCUCGAGGUCGUACGCAUUGUGCAAGGUGGUCCAUUCUUCCCAAGAGGCAUCCUCUGGAGUGAGGCCGUUCCACUGCACCAAAACCAUACAUGAAGGUGUUGUUGUUAAAUGAUCCCAUUUCCAAUCUAAGAAUGACAAAGGUUCAACCACCGGAUGGUUCUCUGUUUGGAUGGGUGGGAGAGUAGCGGUUUGAGUGGGUGAAGGUCCUUUGUGCGCUUUCAAGAGUGAAAUAUGGAAUACAUGAUGGAUUUUAGAAUCCAUCGGGAGUUCAAAGUGGUAUGCUACAGGGCCUACUUUAUCUGUUAUUGGGAAGGGUCCGUAGAACCUCUUUGAAAUUUUGGUGUAAUAGGGACACACAUAGGUUUGGCGAUAAGGCAGUGGGCAGACGUAUACCAAGUCUCCAACAUCAAAUUAUAUAUGACAAUGAUGUUUGUCAGAAUAGUGUUUCAUGGCCUCUUGUGCUUUCCGUAAGCGUCUCUGUAACUGAAUAUGAGUAGCUUGGCGUGACAUUACCAUAGAAGUCAUGACUUCCAUCGGAGAAGAGUCGAGCAAUGAUGAUGGAGGGGACGGGGGAGGUUUGUUGUAUGUAUCUUCGAAUGGUGAUAGCCCUGUACUAGAAUGAGUGGAAGUCUUGUAACACCAUUCUGUCAAUGUCAGGAAGUUGUACAAUAGGGAUGGACGAUCAUGCACGAAUGAACGUAGAUACUGUUCCAGAAUGCGAUUAAGGACUUCCGUUUAUCCAUCGGUCUCUGGAUGGUACACGGUGCUAAAUCGCAACUCGGUGCCACUGAGUCGAAAAAGUUCUCGCCAAAACAAGCUAAUGAAGAUUGGCUCUCGAUCUGAAAUGAUACUCCUGGGGAAACCAUGCAACUUGCAGAAGAUGUCCAUAAAUAGGGUGGCGACCUUGUAUGCGGAAUGGUGUGGGGGUAAAGCACCAAAAUGGGCCCCUUUAGAGAAACGGUCGACCACCACCAAAAUUGUGGUAAAGCCAUGGGACUGGGGAAGUCCCAUGAUGAAGUCCAUUGAAAUGUCCACCCAAAUUCCAUUUGGUAUAGACAGAGGUUGAAGGAGGCCUGCUACUUCCUUGGUCUCUUACUUUGUUUGUUGGAACGUAGGGCACUGAGACACAAAACGGUGGACUAAAUUGCACAUUCCUUCCCAAUUAAAAUUAUCUUGAAUGCAACACAAUGUUUUCAUGAUUCUGAAAUGUCCCCCCAGGGCUAUAGAAUGGUAUUCAUGCAGUAAUAAAGGAAUGAAGGAGCAAUCAAGAGGAAGCCAAAUUUUGCUAUGAUAAUGAAGGAGGUCCCGUCAAAUGGAAUAUUCCGGGUGGGCAUUUGGAUGAAGCCCAACCUUGUUCCAUAAGUCCAAAAAAACAGGGGACUGCUAAAGUGACCUUUGUAGGUCUACCAAGAAAUCGAAUGCUGAAGUGAGAUGGUGAGAAGUUGGCCUUGGUGUGGCAUACGGGACAAUACAUCCACGUCGACAUUGCCGGAGUCGGACCUAUAUUCAAUUGUGUAAUUGUGGCCCUGUAAUUUGGACAAAUAAGUUUGCUGCUUGGGUGUUUGUAUUACUUGUGUCAUAAGUUCUUUUAAGCUUUGAUGAUCCGUGAGAAUGACAAAUGGGUGUCCCAGUAGGUAAUGUUGCCAUUUGUGCACCAUGAUGGUUAUAAUGUGCAGUUCCCUGACAUAGGUUGAGCUGUGUUGUAAGCGGGGGUAGAAGAGUUUGCUGAAAAAGGAUAUUAGAUGAUGUUGUUGAGCCAGCACUGCACCCAUUGUGAAACCAGAGGCAUCGAUUUCUAGUGUGAAAGGGAUGGAGAAAUCAAGAGGAACCAAAAUAGAGGCAGUGGUCAUGGCGUGUUUCAGUUGGUCAAAAGCAGCUUAUGAGUCUGAGUGCCAAUGGAAUUGGUCCUUGUGUAGAAAUUGGUUAAGUGGUGUUGCGGUCAGUGCGUGGUGCAGGCCAAUCAACCAUGGCGCUAAUUUUAGAUGGUCAAAGGCCACCCCUUCUGCAGACACUACAUGGCCUGGGUAUUGAAGAAAUCAUUUGGCAAACAGGCACUUGGAUUGACGAAGGUGAAAAGAUCCCUGAGACAACAUUGCGAAUACUUCCUCCAAAGGGAGCAUGUGGUAGUGAUGAAUUGUAGAUGAGUAUAUCAUCAAAGAAAACAACAACAAACUUACACAAAAAUGGUUUAAGCAAUUCAUUCAUUAUCUCCUGAAAAGUUGUCAGCGCGUUACACAACCAAAAGGGCAUUAUGCGAUAUUUGUAAUGACCUUGAUGUGUUUGGAACGCCAUUUUAGGGAUGUCUUCGUCCGCCAUGUGUAUUUGAUGGAAACCUUGACUAAGGUCAAGCUUAGAGAACCACGAAGCUGAGUCUCAAUUCAUCUAGUAGCUCUUCGAUAGUGGGCACUGGGAACCUAUCCUUCUUCUUCAUGAGAAGGAUUGGAGAAGAAAAGGGAUUGUGGCUAAGUUGAAUGAAUCCGACUUCAAGCAACAAUUGAAUUUGUUUCUCCAAUUCAACUUUCUGGCUGUGGGGGUAAUGGUAUGAUUUUACAUUAAUGGGUUUGGAAUUUGAUGGAAGGUGAAUGUGAUGGGAGAUAGGGCGGGGUGGAGGGAGCUAGGUGGCCUCGAUGAAAAUUUUUAGCAUAUCGGAAAAGGAGUGUGCUGAGUUCUGGUGGUUCUGUGUGUUGGUCAAGGCUCAGGGAAGGUGAUAUGGGGUGAUCUUGGGUUGGAUCUGGUAUGGGUGUGAGUAUGAAAAGGGCGAAAAAUGCUUGUGUUUUGAAACAUGUGCUUCAAUUGGUGAGCUGAAGCAAAAACUAGGCGAACGGGAAUAUCAACAACUAAUUGGACCGGCUGGCCCAAAUAGGUGAAAGACAUUGAAAGUGUGGUGUAGUCAGUGGUAAUCGGGCCCAAUUGGCGAAGCCAGUGUACCCCGAGAACAAUGUCGGCUCCACUGAUGGGUAGGGCAUAUAAAUCAAUGGUAAAGGAAUGACCCUGGAUGCUUAUCGGCACCUGAGGGUGGUAGUGGUUGUAGACCAUGACCCCGUCGUUACCCACCAUGACAUUGAGGGGCUCUAUCGCAGAGGAGGUUAAGUCCAAAAACUUAGCUACCCUCAUUUGUAUAAAGUUAUGCGUACUGCCCCCUAUCAAUGAGUAUGGUUAGCUGGUGAUCAUUAAUGGUGUCGUAAAGACAAAAAAUUUUGGAGCUGGCAUAUCAGCCAUUGCGUUGAGGCUAAGGUGGGGAGUAUUGGUCUGGUAAAGGCAAAAGGCAUUAGCUUGGAGGGCAUGUGGGUCAUCCGGCACCAAAAGAGGGUAAGGGUAUUCAAUAUCAUCCUCGACUAUGAGGAGAUGGAAAUGGGGCUAACAACGGUGGAUGGAAGUCCAUUUAUCAUCACAAUGAUAACAAAGACCUUUAUCGCGUCACACAACCAUCUCCUCCGGGGAUAAUCUUUUGAAGGGUAUUUUAGGUAGUGGUUUUGUUGGGAGCACAAGUGGGGAAAGAGAACAGUGUUGUUGAGUAGCACAUCGACAGUCAAUAAUUUUUUCCGCCUUGCGAAUCGCAUUGUCAGGUUACCACCAGCGAAGGAUAAGGAGACAAGCUGAAAGGCUUGGACCUCGCAGCACAAUUCCAGGUUGAGACUGGAAAUAAAACAACUAAGGAGGGACGUCGGUGGUAACCGAUAACUGUGAAAUAUGAGCUAAUUUAAUAGUCAAUUUUGGCUAAUAAAUGGGUGUAAUUUCUUUACUUUAUUAUUGUUUUUAAGGAAAUAAUGAAGAAAUUAACAUCUUUGCAAUUUUUUAUUAGCAAAAUUCAAAAGAAGAUUUCAAGUGCUUUAGAAGAAAAAUUGGUGCAAAAACUGGAAGAAAAAACCUUGAUGAAAAAUUGAAGAAUUGUACAGCUCGCUCAACACACACUCUCACAUAGUGGGCAAAGUCAGACUCAAUGCGCAAUCUCGCUCAGCGUGCAACUCGGGCUUAAUGUGCAGUCUCGCUCAACGCACAUGUCAGACUUAGCCUGAGAAGGUCCAUGAGGAAAGCCCAAGGUGCACUUAGCGCGCAAAUGCGUGCUUAGCACGAAGUCAGCGUGAAAAGUAAGCUACCUCAUGCCUAUAAAAGGAGUAGGAGGCAGAAGGAAAACACACACUGAAUCUCAGAGCUAUCCAAAAAUUGGGCCUAUCCUUUAGGGGAAACCUUCUUUCUUAAUCAUUCCCCAUUUUCUUGUUAUUAAACUCCCUUGUAAUGUAACUGUUUUUCUUAUCUAUUAAUGCAAUUUCAAUUUUCUAUUCUCUUUUUUCUACUUUUCAUCUCUAUUGUGUGGUUUCACUACUAAAAAAGUGAUUUUUUAUGACGUCAAUUUUACAUCAGUUGGAAAAAACUGUCUUAGAAAGAACACGGUGGCAUUUCCAUAAAUAAUUAUAAUAAUUCUACGACGGUUAUGCAAAACCCUCCUUAGAAAAUUGUUAUUCUAAGACGGUUUUAUAAAAAUCACCUUAGAAAAUUGUGUGCUAUUUUUAAUAUUUAUUGUGUCCCUCUAGCUACUCUUUGUGCUCCCUCAUUCUCGAAAGAGCAAGCGCCGCUUCCACUCCCUCGUCCCGCAGGUCGAAAAUGUCGUUGUCCGCGUCGACUACUUGAUCUCUGACUACGACUGUUCCUCCUCUUCUACCGCCUCCAACGGAGGCCCUUUCUAGAACCUCCUCCGCCUCGUCUUCGACAGAAUCAUGAAACCCAUUCAAACCCUCAACCAAUUCCUGAGUCCCAAACGCCUUUCUUCCUCUGUCACCGCUACCGCUGCCACAUUCCCUUCCUCCACCUCCUCCCUCGCCGUCGAUUCCGACGAAGACUUUGACGACGGCGUCACCCACCACUCCCCAACCCAAGUCCUCAAGAACUUCAACGAGAUUUUCCUCCUCCGGAUCGAGUUCCCUAGCAGCGACAAUCAAAGCAUCACUGACUCCUUCUACACCAACGGGGACCUCAAACUGCGCAUUGUUUGGACCAUAAGCUCCCUCAACACUGCCUCCGCCAGACAUUACUUGGUUCAACUGAUAAUCUCUGAGCACGCCACCCUCGACAAUUUGUUGCUCACGAACGCCGAUGCCCAAGGGGUGUUUUACAUGAACCGGGAGCAGCUGGAGGAGCUGAGGGUGAAGCCGCUAUCGGCGUCGUCGGCGUAUUCUUACAUGUUAUUCUUAGCGGGCAUAUGCUUGCAGCACUACAUGUUUUUUUUUACGGUAAGGUGUGCAUUUCUUUCUUCUUCUUCUUUAAAUUUCAAAUUAUCCUUGAUGGGAGCAAAAAAUGGCAGCUUUCUUGAUGAAUCUUGGUCUGACAUGGUGGAUUUGAUUGGAAAUAGAAGAUUUGAUUGAGUGUUUUGUCUGAUUUUUGUGGAUCAAUCUUGCUUGGUUUCCUUUUUCAUAGUAAUGUUCUUUCUGCUUUGAGCUCUGAUUCAUUUAUUCACUACUGUUUCAAAGCUAUGUCUAUUUUUGGCAUUGCUUGCCAUUUUAAAGGUUCCAAUUCUAGAUUUUGGGUUCACAAUGCUUUGUCAAUGCACUGUUUACAAAUGAAUUUGGAAUUGUAGUCCUUGAUUGAGUUUUGUGCUGUCUUGUGUUUUAAUUUAUGUGUGGCUAAUGAAUUUGAGCCGUCUUAGUUGUUUUUACUUUGGUACCAAUUAUUUUGAUCUUGUAUGGGUUGUUUGCUUUUGUUUGGAAAUUAAUAUCACCAACAUAUGACCUUAAGUUGAUGAUUUUUUUUUUCUUUUUUGCAUUGUUAGACUAGCAAUAUUUUCCUUAUUUGUUCUCUCGAUGGAAACUGAGCUUUCCUUCCCACAAGCUUUGUUUGAUUCAACUUGCUGCUAAGUUGUUCUGUAUUUCCUUUCCUCUAUUUAUUGCAUCAAUCCAUAAAUAGGGCUGCUUUUUCUCCUUAGGUGCACUUCUUAAAAUGCUUUAUCAUUUUCGUGUAGUCCAUGAAUUUCAACACACUCAUAUCUUACCAAGAGGCUUCCUGUCUUUCUCUCUCUCAUAAAAUGUUUUCCAUAAAAUAAAGUAAUUAGCAUAACAAUGAUUUCUAAUUUUCUAUGAUUUUUUUAUGCUCCAUGAAACACUUAGGGUCUUAAAACAAUCAUUUGAUUCUAUGGUUAUAUAAGAGCGAAUAUUUGUUUGAUAUAGGGUGCUAUUGUGAAUUCCAACAAAUAUUUAUUUAUUUAGAUGAUGCUUUUUCCUCUUUCUUUUCAUUCUUUACAUGUUACAGUGUUGGAUCGGAUGUAGUAUGUGUCGUUAUUGUGGUGUGGGCUUGUCAGAAUCAAAUUUUGACAACAAGCAACAGGGACAUGAGAGUAGUCUAAAGUUGAAUGUUAAAGUUUCCAUUAGGCCUUGCAAAUCUUGUGGAGAGAAGCUAGAGCGAGCAAAUGUGAAAUGGCAUAGUACAAGUCCUUAUGCAACACCACUUAUCAGUUCGACUACAUGUAUAACUAAGUACUGAUAGUUGUGUCUCCACUUGCAGUAAUUACUAUCCCCUUGUCCUCAUUUUAUAAUGUUGAUGAUAUUAGUCUUAUAUGACAAGAUGGUCUUUAUAUAACCAAGUCUUUCUUCAAUAUAUGAUAUUUCUUCAAUAUCUAACUGCCUCCUUGUUUCUAUGUUUUUGCUUUGCAAUAUGUGAAACGGAUUUUCAAACACAUACUAAAUAUAUAGAUAUUUAUUUGAAUUUGUGUUUGAUGAGUCAUGAUUUUGAAUUGUACGUGUAGGUAUGGAGAUAUAUUCAAGACAAACAUAUUAGGGUGUCCUUGUGUGAUGAUAUCAAGCCCUGAGGCAGCUAGAAUUGUGCCUGUGACUCACGCACAUCUCUUCAAGCCAACGUACCCUCCAAGCAAAGAGAAGUUGAUAGGGCCAGAGGCUGUGUUCUUUCAACAAGGUGCCUAUCACUCCAUGCUCAAGAGGUUGGUUCAAGCCUCAUUUUUACCCUCCACAAUUAAGCACUCAGUCUUUGAGGUCGAGCGAAUUGUCAUCAAAAUGGUGCCAACUUGGACCAACAAAACUAUCAACACCUUUGCAAGAGAUGAAAAAGGUAUCACACAUGACAUAACUUAACUACAUCUACACAUAUGUCGAUCAAAACUUUUAGAAUUAACCAUAUCUUAUCAUAUUAAGAGCAUGCUACUUAGUCGGCUUAAUGGUGGAAAUUUGAAUAAUAUGCAUGAGCUUAUAAAUUGUAAUCUUAGUUUGACUUUUGUGUACCAAAAAAUAUUAAGAAUCACGAUAAAUAUUAACUUCAUUUUGGUUGGAUUAUAGUAGAAAGAGGAAUAACAAGAAAACGAAAAUGUGAUAAGUAAUGUGAUAAAAAUUAUUUAUUUCAUUAUAUGGAUUUAGAAUCUCAAGAAAUUUUCUUGGUUUUAUUUAAUUAGUAUGCAUUUGAAGUAGCUGCAAUCUCAGCCUUUGGGGAAAUAUAGGAGCUUGAAAUGGAAGAAAUCAGGGAGCUCUAUCGUUGCUUGGAGAAGGGAUACAACUCUUAUCCAUUACAUGUUCCUGGAACUUCCUAUUGGAAGGCAAUGAAGGUAUGUAAAAUGUAUUUCUUAUUAUCCUGUUUUGUAUUUCUUGCCCUAUUUUUGCAUAGUUUGUGCAUUUUUUUUUUGGAAAAAUGUAAAUUAUAUUAAACCCAAAAUGAUACAACAAUAAACGGGGCAUACCCCAUAGCUAGAGAAAAUCAAAAGUCUCCCUAAUACAAGAAGGCCUAUAUCAAGAUGUUAAAACAAAUGCAACAGGUGCGCUUAUCUAUACAUAAUAAACUUAAUCUUGCUAAUAACCUCUAUUAUAGAAAAUUGGUAAUCUUCAAAAAUCAGCUUGUUCCUAGACAGCCAGAUGCAGUAGACUGUAAUUGUUAUAGUUAGACAACAAAAUUUUCCUUGAACACCUGAUGUGGAUCGGCCCCUAAUUAAAGAGUCAGUAAUACGCUGCAAAGAAGUGAAACGCCUGCGGAAAGGAGCCAAAUCACGAAUGUGAGCCCAAACUUGGAGAGAUUUCCUGCAAGAAAAUAACAAAUGAACAUUUGACUCAGCCUCAUUUGAACAUAAAGGGUUGAGGGAACCCUUGUUCAAAAAAGCAGCUUUGUCAAGAGUAAGCAGCCGGUUCCUUUUAGCAAACCAUAGAAUGAAAGACAUCUUAGGGGGGAUUGCUGGGUUCCAUAUAACAGAACACCAACUAACAGUAGGCUUGGCACCUCUAAUGUAUUCAUAGACUUUGCCAACAAGCAAUUGUUCAUUGGUGCUCCAAGAUUGAAUCCUCUUUUUGGCCUCUUCCGUACUUAGCUCUUUGGAGAUAAUAAAGUCCCUUAUUUGAAUGAUUUUCUUUAUCAAAAUUGAAUCUGAUGAAGAAGUAUUGUAAUUCCACACAUCGCUCCCUUUGAAAUAGUAAUGGUGAAACCCAUAGAACCCAUAGAGAAUCUUUCUUACAAUGAAAGUCCCACAGGAUACGGGAAAGAAGCGCAAUGUUCCAGUCCUUGAGAUUAAAAAGGCCUAAACCCCCUUCUUUUUUCAAAGAACAAACUACUGACCAAGCAACCAAGGGCUUGUUUUUGCCAAUAUCUGCUUUGCCCCACAGAAAAUUACGACACGAAGCGUUGAUCCGGUCCAAAACAGAUUGAGGCAAAGGAAAAAUCCCCAUCCAGAAAUUCAUAAUUCCUUGAAUAACUGCUCUGAUCAACUCUGGCUUACCUGCAUAAGAUAAAGACUUCUUGCUCCAUCCCUGAAUCAGGCCAGUAAUCUUGGAAAGCAAGGGAGCAUAAUGGCAUACAUUUAAUCUAGAUGAUAAAAGGGAACACCCAAGUAUCUAAAAGGGAAGCCACCCAAGCUAAAUCCAGUAAGCUGUUGAAUAUGAGAAAGCUCAUAAGGCCUAAUACUGACUGAAUAUAUGGAAGAUUUAUCAGAGCUGAUGGAAAGCCCUGAAACCCUAUAGAAGUGCUGAAGCUUGACAAACAUAGUUGACACAGAAGGGAUAUCUCCUCUAGAUAGAAGCAUAAUAUCAUCUGCAAAAGCCAAAUGAGAUAGUUGAAUACCUGCACAGUUGGGAUGAAAUUUAAAAUUGGCAUCAUCCUUGAGGCUGCUCAUAUCUCUGGAAAAGUACUAUAAACAAAGCACAAACAGAUAAGGGGAGAGAGGAUCCCCUUGUCUAAAACCCCGCUGCCCUUUGAAGUGGCCAUAAAUGGAUCCAUUGACUGCCACACUAAAGGAAGUGGAAGAAACACAUUCCAUGAUCCAAGUACAGAACUGGGUUGGGAAGCCAAUGGACUUAAGCAUCCAAUCCAAGAAUUCCCAGGAAAUGUAAUCAUAAGCUUUAUGCAAGUCAAUUUUCAGGAGGCAUCUUAGAGAGGAUCUUUUUCGUGCAUAUUUGCACAAAAUCUCUUGAACUAGGAAGAUGUUGUCCACCAUCUUUUUGUUCUUAAUGAAGCCAGUUUAAGUUUCCCCAAUAAUAGUCUCAAGCACUAGGGCUAUGCGGUUGGCCAGAAUUUUAGACACAAUCUUGUAUAACAAAUUACAACAAGAUAUGGGUCUAAAAUGGUUAACCUAGGAGGCCUGAUCGUGCUUAGGAAUAAGCGCAAUAAUAGCAUGAUUAAUCUGCUUUAAAAAAAUUUAAGUUGUAAAGAAUUCAUUAACCGCCUCAAAGAUAUCAUCACCAAUGAUAUUCCAAGCCUUCUUGAAGAAUAAAGCAUUGAAACCAUUUGGCCCUAGAGCUUAAAUAAUUAUUGCAAAUCGUUAGAUAGUACGAAUAAUUUUGAUACGAAUGGAUUACGAGAGAUAUUUCCGUACGAAUCAUUAUGAGACAACGUGGCAAAAUUUUAUUUAGUUAAACAAUAAGUUAAAACUUUUAAAAGAAUAAAAAUAAAAGCAAAGAAGUGGGACAAGACCCAUGGUGUUCAUAUACAGUUUUUGCUAUAAAAAAAUUCCAUACCAUAUAGCCUUUGCAUAAUUAUUUUCAACCAUUUGUGCAUAAUUAAAAGAUCAAUCUUAGUAUUAAAAAAAAGACUAAUCUAUUUUCAACCAUUUAGUAACUUUUUUUAUCAGGGAUAUUAAUUUGUUAGGAAGAAAAAUUAAACUCACCACUUAUCUCUUCUUUCUUCGGCUUCAACUUUCAAAUUAAAUUUGUAAGUCUAACCAUUUUGUGUAACAGUAUUAUAUGAUCUUUAAAUUAUGAUAAAAUUCAACAAUUUUACUACAUAUAUAAUAAUAUAGGAUUGGACUGUGGUGCUAACACACACUACUAAAAGAAGCCCUUUUUACCACACCAAUUCUAUGACGGUUGUUUACAACCGAUUUGGAAAGUGGUAGAAUGACAUUUUUGUAAUUAUUGUCACUAAAAAUGCAUUUUACGACGCACAUUCUAAGACAGUUAUUGAAAACCGCCUUAGAAUGUUAUACGAAUUAAAUUUUACAAUGGGUUUUACUGAAUAACCGUCGUAAUUUAAAAAUAAAAAAAUCAAAAAACCGCAAACCCGCACGUACUAGCUAGCCACCUGCUUGUUUCUCCUUUCGCAUUCAAGCCCUAGCUACCCUGUUCUUCAUUCUUCCGGUCCAUUGAACCCUACCCUCUUCGUUGUUCACCAUUGAACCCUUCAAUCUUUGACAAUCCAGCAACAUACCCUAGCCUCUUCUCCUUCCAUUCAACCCCACGACGUCGAGGAACUUCCCGGCUCGAACUUUCAAGUUCGUGAAGAAAUUAGUUUGAAUGAAGGAGUGGUAGUUCGUGAAGAAAGACAUUGGAGUCACUGCAAAGAAACCAGGUUAGUGAAAAAAUUAGCUUAUUUUACUCAAGAUAAGGUUGUCGUGGUGUUAAAUAAAGGUCGUGGGUUCGAUAUAACCUAGUUUUGCUGAUGAUGUUUGGUAAUGGUGGUUGCAGGGAAGAUAUUUGAUGUAUUGAAUGAGUUAUUGGUGAACAACAGUUGAUACGUAGUUCACUGGGCUGCAAACGGGUCAGUGGGCAUUUGUUUAUUUUCUCUGGUUCAUGCAUGUUCGUAUGGUAUCUUGAUAUAUAGUUGAUACUUAGGUUGGUGUUGUUUAAGGGACUUGAGUUGAAUGGAUUGAAGAUUAAUUAUGUUGAUCUUAACAAUUUUUUAUUUCCUGUCUUUAGGGAAAUUUGUGUUUGCCUGCAUUUAUGUGUUUAUAGUGUAUGUAAUUUUAAUUUAAGGUACUAGAUAUAAUACUGUAGGUUUUGUAUUAUAUGAAUGAAUGCAAGGUAUAUGGGUUGGGUUUUGGUAGCAAAAGAGCCAUCUUUCUUUGAUUUUGUGGAACUGAAGUCUGCAUUUUGUUCAUGGUCCUGACCUUAAUCAUAUUUUAAUUUCCUGAGUUCACGUCAGUGUCUGUAUUUGCCUCUUCCAUAACUUCAUUUGGAGAGCAAGUCUCUUCAUUUUGAUUCCCUUCAUUUCUAUUCUAAGGUAAAUGAACUUGCCCAUCUGGUUCUCCAUCUCCAAAAUCAUGCAAAUGAAGCACUUAUGCAAACUUAGAAAUCUCGUAAGUUGUGUGCGCCUUGCAAAGACAAAGAACUUGUUGGGUUUUUUUAGAAGAAAAGAUUUUUCAAAAGAAGUAGUGAUAUGUUAGGCAUUAGGCAAAUGAACUUAUUAAACUUUUAUUCUUUAGCAUUAUAUAUGGAGUCAAAGGGUAACCUAAAAUUAAAAAAUUUCAACAGACAACAGCACUGUAAUCUUAAAAUCAAAGUGAUUGUAUCCUUAAGUCUAAAUGAUAAAAAUAAUAUCCUAAAAAUUUGAAAUAUAACAAAAAUUCCUAAAAACUAGGGAAUUGCAGAUAUUUAGGCAUAUUUUCAACCAGACUCCUAUAUCAAUUGUAAGUGCCUAUAAUUAACCAACAUCCAAAGUCAUGUCUUUGGCAUCAAGCAUUCAAGCUUCUAUGUAUAAAAUGCAAAAGUUUCCCGUUUUGAGUCUUGAAUCCUUGUAAUAUGUAUAUAUAUAUAUAUAUAUAUAUAUAUAUAUAUAUAUAUAUAUAUUGUUGAAAAUUCAGAACUACAUUGCUUAAGGACUUGAGAUACUCUAGAACUUGAAUUUGAAUGAAUGGAGAUAAUUGUCACACUCAGCCCUUAGCUUUUUAUUAACACACACACACACACACACACACACAUAUAUAUAUAUAGUACAAAGAAAGAAAAAGAGAGAGAGAGAGAGAGAGAGAGAGAGAGAGAGAGAUGGGGAAAGCUGCCUUUGGAUAAGGAUUAGACACUCAGCUUCCCACACACUCAACAUGACAACACAUAAAGCUUAAUACAUACUCAACCUCACUCACACACUCAAAACAACCUUUUACCUACACAGUUGUCUACACAAUACAGUUGUAUACAAUAUAUAUUUAACACUCUUCCUCAAGCUGGAGCAUAUAAAUUAAAUGCUCCAAGCUUGGAACAUGAGCUGAAGCAUAAGAAAGAUUCUUCUUCUAAGUUAGAUGAUGCGGUGAAGCUUGAUUGCUUGAUUGAAACCCCUGAUUGAAACUCAGUUGACUACCAAACUGGAAAGGACUGCCUCCAGAUGAAGUUGAUGAUUCCAAAUACAAAAUUUGAUUUAACUGGGGCAGGUUGCUGACUUGUGUGGAUGUCGAGGCUGCUGCUGUCGGAGUGAAUGAGGAUUGAGGAGUUGAUGCACUGGAGGUUGAUCAAAACAUUGAGGGAGAACUGUCAGAAGUAACAAACACAGUGGAUGACGAUGAUGUACUAAAUGUGGAGCCAAAUGCAGACUUAGUGGGCUGCCAACUAAAGUAGAACUUAGACCACAUUGGCAGCCCACUAAGAGUAGACCACCGAAGAGGAAGCAGGGGUGCCAAGUUCAAAAGAUGUGGCAAGACUUGAAGAAGGAAACAACAAAUUCCCAAAAACAAAAGCUGCACUUGCUCCAGGGCUAGACUUCAAAGUGAUUAGUAUUGAUUAGGAGACCACACACUCCCCCUCACGAGAUGGAAGGUGGAGUCAACACUUCCAGCUUGGGAUGAACAAUAAAGUACAAAAAUAGACAAUGAAACAUGUCAAAAAUACAUUGGCAGCAGAUUGAAAAUGACUGAAAAACAUUCAAAGACAAUUGGAAUAUGUUAAACCAUUAAGCAGAAGCCACAACACAAUGCUUAACCACUUAACAGAAGCAAACACACUUAACCACCUAAAAGGUAGAAGCAAACCAAAGCUUAACCAUCAAGAGCAGAAGCUAAACAUGGUGCUUAACCACUCAAGACAGAAGCAAAACACAAUUUUUGAAUGCUUAACCACUAAAGGCAGAAGCAACACAACAAUGUUUAACCAUCCAUGGUAGAAGCUUGACAUCAAUGUUUAACCACCAUGGAUAGAAACUUAAUGACCUUUUUUUAAUAGUAGGGGUUCUUGACCAGAUUGAACCCCCGGGAACAACAAUUGCUUCAAGGACAGAGACAAGGAAGAAAUUGCUGGACAACAGGAUCAACAAAUGACUUAUAAUAGGGUUCUUGACCAGAUUGAACCCUAGGGACAGGGAUAUUAAUCAGUAGACCACACAACAAAUGAAUAAAAGGACAUGAGACAAUGGAGCUGCACAGUAAAGGGUUAAGAGAGACAAACUAAAAGAAGCCUUGUGAGCACUUCUGGCCAAACUAAAAGAAAACUUAAAAAAAAAAAAACAGUAGCAUCCCUACCAAUCUUUCUUCAAAAGUACAAUGGAGGAUGACCAAGGAACAGAAAGAACAGGGUCUAAAGUUGACAUUUUUAGAACCAUAACACAAUGGAACUUCAAAGGCAGCUGGAAGGGGAACCUUGGCAACAUUCAAAACCAUACCAAACUGAGUAACUGCUUUUAAGGAAGCCAAAGCAAUGGGUAACGACAGUGGCCUUAAAUAGGACCAGAACAUGCCAUAGUUCUGUAGACAAAGAAGAAGGGCCAAAAGGAGAGGUUUGAGCGGCUAACGACGGUGGCUGACAGUAGAGAAGGAGAAUACGGGAUCAACAGAGGCCAUUUCUGAUCAAGGAGAAGAAGCCCUAAUGGAGAAAGAGAAGGGAACGCAAGGGCUGGAACAAUCAAGUUGUCAAUACCGGAAAACAGGGAUUGAAAUGUGCCCAAAAGGAGACAACAAAGCUGUUAAAACUGGGUGCACAGUGCCGGAAGAAGCCAUUUCUGACCAAAGAAACGAAACCCUAAUAGAGAAAAAGGAGGAAACACGAGGCUGACACGUUCCAGGUGGUCAAAAUUAAAAAACAAGGGCUGGACCGUACCCAGGACUGGCCGACGAAGCGACUGGAGGUGGUCCGGAGAGGUUCCGACAACAGGAAGGCAGCACGUGGCCUUCACGUGCCGGAAAUGAUGCGUUGCUGAUCACGCGACGUGCAGGGGUCGGUCGCGCUCUUCGAGGUGCACCUAACCCUGGUUUUGCCAGAAAAUUUGACGGCGACCGGAGGCAACGGCGGCAGACAGCGGACGGCGGCCAUAGCAGGUCAUAACGGGAUCGUUCCUGCUCUGAUACCAUGUUGAAAAUUUAGAACUACAUUGCUUAAGGACUUGAGAUACUCCAAAACUUGAAUUUGAAUGAGUGGAGAUAAUUGUCACACUCAGCCCUUAGCUUUUUAUUAACACACACACACACACACACACACACACAUAUAUAUAUAUAGUACAGAGAAAGAGAGAGAGAAAGGGAAAACUGCCUUUGGAUAAGGAUUAGACACUCAACUUCCCACACACUCGACAUGACAACACAUAAAGCUUAAUACACACUCAACCUCACUCACACACUCAAAGCAUCCUUUUACCUACACAGCUAUCUACACAAUACAGUUGUAUACAAUAUAUAUUUAACAUAUAUAUAUAUAUAUAUAUAUAUAUAUAUAUAUAUAUAUUAAAUAAAAGUUGCAUUUUUUAUAUAUGUAUACUUUAGUUGUUUUAUCCUUGAGUCGGCCCUGCCUUUCAACUGGAUGAAAUUCUUAAUUCAAGAGUCAUAACCAGAAAUGUCAAGCUUAUUUCCCUCAUUCUUGUGAAAUGAUGUAUUCAACCAAUCAUUAAAGCUACUAGGGAAGAUGCAGAUGUUAUCAAAGGACAAUUUCCUUGUUUUAGCCUUAAGGACAAGGCUGCUUCUGCACCUGGGAGUAUUGAUAGCCUAGUCCAACAUGAUAUGACUGAAUUUUUGGAGACUGAAGGUCUUGUCAAAGUCUAUGUUAGAAGAAGAAAAAAAGGUGAUUGAUGGUUGUUAUGCAAGAGGACAAUUAUGUGCCUAGAAGGACAAUUUUGUGUGUUUUAUUUAUGUGUAUGGUGUGGUAGUUAUUAUUAUUCUGGGUGUGGUUUUUUUGUUGUGUGUUUGUGAGAGGACCAAGAGAACUCUCUAUUAGGGCUUAAACCUAUGUAAAAUGUUGCUUUACUUUAAUUCUGGUUUAAUCCAAACUUUCAAUAAAUAAAAUUCUUGUCUUAUUUGUGUGUUCGAACUCUUGAAUUUAAGCAAAAAACUCGAAAGAAUGAGACAAAACUGUGUUCUUUCGGCUGGAGAAGUCUCAUUAAAUCAGCUAAACUAACACAAUUAAGGGAGUCUAACUUAGUUAGUUAAGGAGGUGCAUGAGUUGUUAUAAAAAAAAUAACACACAUAUAGGCACAAACACAUAACAUACAUACAUCCUAAUUAAGGAGAGAAUAAAACAUUUACACAGUCCAAUUUUAGGUUUUGCUAAUUUAGCUACCAUACUAAAGCUUUUCUACAUAUACAUGAUAUAUAGACCCAAUAUUUGUUAGAGAAAACUUAGCUAGCAUACUAAAUGCUUUUCUGCAUAUAUAGAUUAUGCAAAUACAAAAUAGAAAACCUUUCCCUGACAAGAACCCAGGUACAAAUUAGAAGCUGCAAGGGCUGGGGCAGGGACAAGGAUAGUGUGUUUAGCAAUUUUCCCAUUGAAGAGUGUUGUCUUCCACCUCACUUUCUUAGAACUUGUAGUUGGGCUUGGGCUCCUUGAAGGAGAAAGAGUAGUAGUAGAACAUGAAGUUGCGCAGCCAUCCUCAUCUUCUCAAUCAGCGCUUCAGUAUUCACUUGCUUAGAUAAAAUUUCCUCAAGUUGUCUCGGGUCAAUCAACAACUUCACUCUCCACACCCCAUUCUUAGCUUUUGGCAGCACUUCAAGCGCUGACCCAUGUGACAAAUUGUCAACAUAAUCACAUGCUGCAGAUUUGCACAUUUCCUCUAAAGACGUGCUUCUUAAAGGGAUGGUAGCCUGUCAUGACCUCUACAAAUUCCUUGGCUUGCUUUAGUCAACUGGACAACAAUGCAAGGCCUCUUUCAGUGUGAAUACCAUUUCCUAUGGUAGCUCAAAACCUGUGUGAAGUGCUUGUUCAUCAAAUUCUACAACUUUUGUUGAUAGAAUGUGUCCUACUGUGUCUCAUGUAAACAUUGCCUUUACUAGCGCUAUUUGUUUUGGUAGUUGGCAUUUCAGAUUAGGUCAUCCAAAUGUUCAUAGUAUGAAAGUUGUGCUCAAAUUGUGUAACAUACUUUUUUAUCAAUACAACAGGUUCUGAUUUCUGCAUUGGCAAGUGUCAUUGUCUUCCCUCUUUCCCUUCCCUUACUCAGUACUCUAGUACCUUUGAACUCAUUCAUACAGCUUUGUAGCAUCCAUCCCCUUUCUUAUCCAGCGCUGAUUAUAUAUAAUAUGUAACCUUUGUUGAUGGUCACACUGACUUGGGUUUUUCUGUUGAAAUGUAAUUAUAAAAGUCUAUAAUCUGUUUAAAUUAUGGUGGGGGGCUAUUGGGAGUUCUAUUGCAAGCUCGAGGUGAGAAGAACAAGAUGUACUAUCAGCAGCACACAGAUUCUCAAGUUGUUGAUAAUCUCAUUGGUGUCAUCUUUGCUGCACAUGACACCACAACAAGUGCUCUAACAUGGGUCCUCAAGUACUUGCACGAUAACACCAAUCUAUUGGAAGCUGUGACGGUCACACUCUUUCUCUCUUUCAUUAUUCAAUUUUAUUUUCUCCAAUUAUUGCUUAAUUUCUCAUUUUUAUACACAUUUUUUUCAUCAUAUCAUCUAUAAUGUUUAGAACUUAAAUCAUAAUUAAUAUGAAUUUUAUAUUUUUUAUUAUUAUUAUCAAUCAAUUUACAUUAUAUGAUAAUAUGUGAUUGAUUAUGUAAAAAUUAAUCAUCUUUGUAUAUGUUAUUUACUCGUAAUAUUAAUUAUUAUUCCAAUUUUUUUAUAUCUUCUCUCUCACUUAAAGUACAUAUGCCCCCAAAGCUUGUCAACUCGUAAUAUUAAUUAUUAUUCCAAUUUUUUUAUAUCUUCUCUCUCACUUAAAGUACAUAUGCCCCCAAAGCUUGUCAACUCGUAAUAUUAAUUAUUAUUUCAAUUUUUUCUUUUCCUUUUUAUCUUUUGUGGAAAGUAUGGUUAUGAUAACUUCAGCUCAUCUCCAAGGCCUGAUUCAAAUUUAAUCUAGUUUUUAUUCUCAUUUUUUAAAAAUAAGAAUUUAAUUAAUAUCUCAAUCAUGCAUGAUUAAUUUUGUUAAAUAUUAGAAAGGUUGUGAAAUAAUUAUAAUACUACUAAACUGAAUUUCAUCAGGUGAUCCAAGAAACAUUGAGAAGUGCAAGCAUUUUGUCAUUCACAUUCAGAGAAGCAGUGACAGAUGUUGAGUUGGAAGGUUACACUAUUCCAAAUGGUUGGAAGGUCCUUCCACUCUUCAGAAGCAUUCAUCAUUCUGCUGACUUCUUCCCUCAGCCAGAGAAGUUUGACCCUUCAAGAUUGGAGGUAAAAUAUGUUGGAAAUUUAACAAUGAGUUUUAAAUUAUGAUAAUGGAGUAUAAAAUAAAAUAACUCAUGCAUAUAUAUCCUUAACAUAUAUGUGAUGUCAAAACCCAUUAUUGCAUUCUUUUUCUAAUCUUAUUGAUGAAUAUCUCUCUCCUUUUACACAUCCAACAACAAAAUAUCUCAUUUAUCUAACUUCAUAUAUAUAAGUGUGCACAAAUUAAAUAAAUGAAUAAAAUAAUACUACAUUAUAAUAAGAAUUCAAGCAAUGAUUUCGGGACUAGGGGUUAUAGAGGGUGGGGGGGGGGGGGUUAUAUUUUAUCUUUUACGUCAGAAACAUAAGGUUAUGAAUGGUUAGAGAUUAUCCUGCUGUAAAGUCCCAUUCGUUACCUAUUUGAAUCUUCCCCUUCUAAGGUGAUUCAGUGUUUUUCACAAUCUUGCGAGUAUCAGAGGCACGUGAUAUAAAUUUGUAGGGUAGUAGGAUAAUUAAUUUAUUUCUCUAUCCUUUUUGCUCAACAGCAGACAAAUAUUGCUACAUAUAUGAUAUUAUAUUAUUUAAUAAUAUAAUAUCAAUGCAUAAUUUUUUCCACUAAUAACAUACAUCAUAUUCAUCUGUAUGACAUAGUGACAUUAUCCUUAAGGUAUUUGUGUAGAAAUUAAGGCUGAGACAUAUAACCACGAGCAAAUAAUGCCUGAAAUAAAAACUUUGUAACUUAACCUUUCUUUGUAGGCAUGAUUAUUGUGACCAAUUAUAUAACAUUUUCCGUUUAUAGAGUUCAUUACAAGCUAAGAAUUAGCAUGGGUCUUGCAUGAACUUUUUUGCAAAAUUAGUUUGUUAGCUACGAUAGAGAUCUCUCAAUUAUAUAGUGCUAGCUGCAUGUUCCUUAAUAUAUGGAAAUGGUCCUUUUUGACGCAUUAAAAAAAAAGGGUUUCUUUUAGAGUGUACAUUCCAAAACAUUAUAGCCACUACUAGAAAAGUGAUUUUGAUAUUUGAGUUAGAUAUCUUUUGAUUUUGACAAAGGUUGAAUCAUAUAUGUUUCAGAUCUAUUGUUGUAAAUUUAGAUUUGGCUCAGAUCUCUUUUAUUUUGAUGAAGUUUGCUUCUUUUGAUAAAUUUUUGUACUUAAUUAUGUAAAUUGUUGUAAUAUGUAAUUAAAUGAUUUUAUAAUUGUUGAAAAUGAUGAUUAGAUUUUUGGUUUCCAUCAAUGUAUAAUUUGUUGCUUAAAACUACCUGACAACAAGGACAAAAAACCACAGAAAAAACCAAAAAAAUAUAAUAAAAUAGCACCAAUAAAAAAAAUUCAACUCUAAGACAAUUAUUAUAUACUUGUCUUAGAAUGGUGGACAAACUAAGUCGGUUAUUAAAUGAUCGUCUUAAUUUGUCAACCAUUCUAAGACGGUCAUUUUAAUAAUUGUCUUAGAUUCACAACUAUGAACAGGACAAUCUAAGACGGUUAUUAUUUAAUCGUCUUAGUAUCUCUAUCAUUCUAAAUCGGUUAAAGAGAAAAUCGUCUUAGAAAGUAGAGUAUACUAAGACGGGUUAGGUGCAAAAACCGUCUUCGUAGAUCUACCUAAAGGUCUUAGAAUAAUCAUCUUUCUAAGACGGUUCAACAACUGUCAUAGUAUAUGUGAUGCCAUUUUACGACAUGCUCUUUCAAGACGGUUAAAAACCGAUUUAGAACGACCUAAUCAACCAACUUAGAAAAUGCUAAUUCUAGUAGUGUUUGGUCAUCCAUGCAUCUGUUUUUAGGGAUUAUACAUUGAGAAAUGAUAAUGUCUAAAAGAAUUGGAAAAGAGCAUCUCAACAUUGCAUUAUUAGGGAUAUAAUGACUUUGUUGUGUCUUUGUAUAUAUCUUCAUACUUAAUUUUAUUUAUGAUUCAAUCUUUACAAAGGGAUUUGGGAGAGAUAAUACAUAAAUUAGUAGAUGUGGGUGAAAAUUGGAAAAGCAGUUAAUAGAGAAAAAUAUUAAUAUUGCAUCAAUGAUAGUUAGGCAUGCUAGGCUUCAACAUAAUUGCAUUUUGAAAUCAUCUUUUGUUCUCUUCUUGUUUAUUUUCUUGUUUAUUUUAUUAUUCUUGCCUUUUUAAAUUUAAUUUCUUUCUUUCUUCUUAUUUCUAUUCUACUUGCUCUUCUCUUGCUUAUGAAUUGGAUAUUUAUCAACACAAGUACAAACAAAGUCCUUGUGGACUUGAUACUCGAUCUUUCAUUUUAAUCUUUACUACUUGUGAUAAAAUUGGUACAUUUGUCAAUCUGUUAACAGUAACUUGAUAAUGCGAUUCGCAAGGCGUUCGAAAUUGGUUAGGUAUUCGUUCACUGUACCCCUCUAUGGCAGCUUGAACAACGAACCCUAAGGGUCAUCAUAAAAAGAUGGUGCAAAUCACGAUUCCAACACUUGAAGCAUGGUUGGCCAAGAGUAAGGAAACAAUUCUUGUACAUCCACUGAUACCACGAAAGGGCAGGGUCUUCCAUAUAGAAUGCGGCUACGGUGAGUCGUUCUGCUUCAGGUAUGCCUUGGUAGUCAAAAAAUUGUUGAAUUUUAAAAAUCCACCCAAGUGGAUCUUGCCAUGUCAAAUUUGGGGACCUCUGGCUUCAUGUGUGGUUUGGUGGACAGAGGAGGACGUGGUGGUGUUUUGGGUGAAGGUGGGGGAAUGGUGAGGGUGGCAAGCUGAUCCAGGAUGAUUUCAAUCUUGUUGUUCAACUCUGUGUGGCCUCUGGUGAGGUGAGCCAUUGCUUCUUCCAAACAUUCAAUUGAAGCUUGGCGGGUAUUGUGUUUCAGCAUAAAGGCACGGAAGGAGGAGCAGGUCGAACCAAAACCAAAAUGUUAGGUAAUUUUAUUCCACUGAUAAGAAAUAAAUUGUAAAGAUAAUUUUCCUGUCUAUUCUUAUUGAAACUUCAGAUAUUUAAAGGGUAACACAAUACUGCAAAGCACAAAACUAUAAAGCCGAUAAUGGACAUAACAGAAAUGCCACCUAAGGAAUAAUAGAAUUCCACUAAAGGAGUAACAGAAUUCAACUAACAGCCUAAUGGUUGUCUAUCAAAGGGAGAGGGAAUUCUCUAGCGGUAUCAGACAUAAUCCUCUAAAUGAGUGGGCCUUCAGGUUAUACUUUUGGGUCUGCUAUCUCCCUUGUUAGAAUUCCAAACAGUAAGUUGUAAUCUAGGAUUUCUCCAUGUCAAAGAUGAUGGAAGCUUGCUUGUGGGGCUUCUAUGGAGGCUGGAUCUUUGAGCUUCAAUGGGGUCCUUUAAUGGUGAUUUUCCACCAUGGGGAUGCAGCGGAAGACAAAGGAAAAGAGGUGAGAGGAGGCGCCAUCCAUUAAGGAAUAAGCCAUGGAAGAAAGAGCUUCACCACCAUGAUGAGCCUUGGAUAAGAAGCUUGGAGAGGAUGCUUCAAUGGAGGAAAAGAAAGAGGGAGAGAAAGAAAGAGGGGGGAGCACAAAAUUGAAGGAAGAAAAAGGGAGAGAAGUUGAACUUUGUGUUGUGUCUCACAAGACUCUCAUUCAUCAAAGUUACAACAAGUGUUACACAUGUUUCUAUUUAUAAACUAGGUAGCUUCCUUGAGAAGCUUUCUUGAGAAAACUUCCUUGAGAAGCUUCUUUGAGAAAACUUCCUUGAGAAGCUAGAGCUUAGCUACACACACCCCUCUAAUAACUAAGCUCACCUCAUUGAGAAGCUUCCUUGAAAAGAUUCCUAAAGAAGCUAGAGCUUAGCUACACACAUCUCUCUAAUAGCUAAGCUCACCUCCUUGAGAUGAGAAGCUAGAACUUAGCUACACACCCCCUAUAAUAGCUAAGCUCACCCCCAUGACAAAAUAUAUGAAAAUACAAAAAAAAAAAGUUCCUACUACAAAGACUACUCAAAAUGCCUCGAAAUACAAGGCUAAAACCCUAUACUACUAGAAUGGCCAAAAUACAAGGCCUAAACGAAGGAAAAAACCUAUUCUAAUAUUUACAAAGAUAAGCGGGCUCAUACUUAGCCCAUGGGCUCAAAAUCUACCCUAAGGCUCAUGAGAACCCUAGGGCCUUCCCUUGGAUCUCUGGCCCAAUCUACUUAGAGUCUUUUAUCCAAUGCCCUUGCGGGGUAGGGUUGCAUCAUUCCCUCCAUCUUGGAAAGGAUUUGAACUCAAAUCCCGAGGUUCUUCAUACUUUGGGCUCCUUCCCUCAACACCUGUAAAAAGAACAAAAACAUAUGUAUUAGUGGUGUUUGGUAUGUUGAAGUAAGGUAAGGUCUGAAAACCCAUUUCCUGGGCAUCUUCCCAUGAAGGAACAUGGUUUCUCACCAACUCAAUGAGUGGUGCUACAAGUAUAGAAAAAUAUGGGACAAACCUUUUGUAAAAGUUUGUUAAGUCAUGGAAGCCCCAAAUUUUUCUUAUACUUGGUGGAGUGGGCCACUCAGGAAUGACCUUUAUUCUCUUAGGGUUCAUGGGAACCCCUUGAUCACUAUUUGAAAAAUUAAGAAAAGUAACGCAAUAAAACAUACCUUUUUCUGUAUUUUCAUAUUGAUUAUUCCUACCAAAAAGUAUGGCAAACCUAAGGUGUCCCAUAUGAGUACCUAAGUUUGUAUUGAAACUAAAAAUAAGAAAAAACCUAUCUAAUGGGUCCCUAUGUACACACACCAUGAAGAUGUUAGGUGUACGAGUGAUUUUACAAAAGAGGGUUGUACCACUCAAAACAUUUAUCAUACCACCUAUUUUAGGGACUUGGUGCCUAAUAAUACCUAUUUUAGGCACCAAAAAAGCACAAGGAUUUAAGCUCUUGCAAACCAAACCCUCAUCCAACAACUUCUUUACUUGAGGAAUAAACUCAAGUCCAAGAGGUGUGGCAAUGCUAGCAAGUGUCUUUAUACAAAAGAGAAAAUGUGGAGAUUGUCUAAGAGGGAAAGUUUCUUUAAUGUUUGUCUUUAUUGUAAAAUGAGUUUGCUUCUUAGCUAACCUCUUGGAGGAGACACUUACCUCCUUACACUUCUCUUUAACCACUAAUGGUUGUCCAUCUUCUUGGGGGUAGAUUUCUUCACUAGAUUCUUCCCCUUUUGCUUCUUCACUUUCACUAGAGGAAGGUGAAGUAAUAGCCUCAUCUUGGCUACUAUAAAUGUCUUGGCCCCUCAUAAUCAUGGUUUUUGUGGUGGGGCAUUGAGAAGUAAUGUGUCCUCUUCCAAGACAUUUAAAGCACUUUAUAGAGCUAGUUUUCUCUUGCAUACUAGCCUUAGGGGCUUGCUUUUCUAUUGCCUUCCCCUUAUCAUCUUUGGGCUUAGAAGGUUUCACCCCUAAGAUGCCUUGACCUUGGUCUUUCUUUGGAUAAGAGUGAGAGCCAUAAGAUUUUGAAGUAGACUUCUUUUUAAGUUGUUGCUCUACCCUUAUUUCCCAAUCUAAGUUAGCCUCUACAUUGUCCUUCCCAUGGAAGUAUGAGAGGUUAAUGUUAGCCUCUUGAGGCUUUCUUUCCUUUUCUCUUCUAUGGGAGUGAGGUCUAAGAUGUGACCUAUGUCUUCCUUCGUAAUAGUCACGAAGUUCUUCACUUAGGCUCUUGCAAGAGUUAUGACUACUAUAGGAGGCAUGUUUUUCUCUUUUCAUUUCUUUCAUUAUUUUUCUUCUUUCUUCCUCUCUUAUUUUCUUUCUUUCAUCUUGACUUAUUUCUUCCACUCUUCUUUUUUCCUUUUUCUUUUCUCUCUUGUUUUUCUUUCCAUAACUUGAGGGAACUUAAAUCAUCUAAGAUUCUAGAUAAAGGGUCUUUAUGACUAGUACCCUUGCCAUUAACACUAGAUGAAUGAUGACUCAUGUUGGUUCCUAAGUUGUGGUUCUUUCUUGUUGGAGGUUUGAAAACAAAAGGUAAAAGAAACUAUGGUUGAAACUAGCCAAAAUAAACACUAAAAGAGGUGUGAAAGAUAAGGUAAAAACUAAUUGGUAAAAUGCAAGCUAUCUAGGCGGUUUGACAAUGGAAAGUAAAAGAAAUAAGCUACGAAAGUAAGCAAGAAAUGUAAAUUAGGCGAAUCCUAAGAGUGUUUGGAUGACCACAUUUAAGGUUCCCAACAAAACACUCACAAUCCUAAGGGAAAAUUGCCUAAAAUUAUUACACACAAAAAGAAGUAGGGUGACCUAUUGGAGGCUCCCAACUUACUUCCAACGAAAGGCCUUUUUGUUACAAAAUUUGAAAGCAAUGAAAGUAAAGUAAAUUGUCAAUUACAAAAUUGCAAAAAGGUCCUCAAUUUUGGUGGUUUUUCUCUCUUUGGUGAUUCACUCAAUUUGGAGUGCUUCUUAGUCCAAUAGCUCAUAAGGUGAUUGGCCCCUUGCUUCUUGACUCAAAUUCUUCAAGGGAUGGCACCAAUCCUCCUUUCCAAUUCCCUAUAUGGCAACUUACAAACAAGGAAACAAAGAGACAACAAUAACCAAAGACCAAAAAAUGAAAUGAAAGUUAAACCAAUGGAAUUUUAACAAGACAUUUUUUUCUAGGAUUAUUCAACAAUUAAAGCAAUGAAAAGGACAUAGAAGCAAGUUAGGACUCAAAGAGAAACUUAGAAUGGCUCUAGAGUAGAGUAAAAAAACUAAAAAAAAGACUCAACAAAACUCUAGCUUUGGCACUUGUUUUCACACUAAUUUUCUAUUGAAAUUUCGGAACUAAGAUUGGUAUAACAUAGGCACCAAUUAUAGAAUAAAUUUUGAGCCAAAACAACAAGCACACUUCCCUUUCACUUUUUUUUUCCUGGAUACUGAUUUUUCUGCCAACUUGUGUGAUUUUUAGUAUUUUUUCCUUUUAUCCAAAUCACUUUUUUCUUUUUGUAUAAAUUUUUUACAGAUGUCUAGAAAAUUCAGUAAAAAUUUCAGCUCAAAAUUCGAUGUAACAAAUUCUCAGUAAUUUUUACAAGUUUAUAUGUCCAAGCUGCCAGCACCAGCGAUUUUUUUUUAAGCAUGGUAUAUUGAUUGCCUUGGGCUUACUUUCAACCUUACUAUGUAUGUAGAACUCACUAAUCUUGUUUACCACAGUUUUAGGAGUUCAAUAUUCACUUAGGAAUAAAAUUUCAGCCAGCAAUUCAAUCACCAAAACUCAAAUUCACAAUAGACACAAUCAUAAGGAAACCUAAAAGUUCAAGAAAAGGUUCACAAUCAAAGACUUUCUAAGAAUUUUGCAUGAACAUGUUAAGGACUAAUUAACAUGCAAGAUUUGACUCAAAUCAAAUAAUAGGCUAAAAGAAUUUCAUACACUCAUGAACAAAUGAGUUAGACAAAGAAACAAGAAAAUAAAAUUCAGCACAACAUAAGAAAUCUUAUGUGACAAGUUUCAUGAUAGACAUGACUUCUAUGACAAAACUACAAUAGGUGAACAAGUCACUCUAGAUUUUUGAGGUUUUCUUCUACUUUAAUAUUUUUGUAAGAAUUUUAUGGUUUAGGUUUCAGCCAAAAAAAAUAACAAGACAAAACUCAAAGGAACCUAAACUCAACAUAAUUCAUGGUUCAAGAACAAGAACAAGAAAUUUGAACCAUAGAAAAUCAAAUCUAGCUUCUAUAGCAAGUUUAAUCGGUGGAAACUCUAAAGAAUCAUGUUAACAACAUUUAGCACAAGACAUGUGAGGAGAUACAUGGAGAAAAAUGAAGAAACAACAAUGGAAGAGAAGGUAAAGCAAAAAAUUUAAUGGAGGUUUAAGGAGCACCUACUUGAAGCUCUUGUGCUCUGAUUACCACUUGAUGGAAGCUUGCUUGUGGGGCUUCUAUGGAGGCUGGAUCUUUGAGCUUCAAUGGGGUCCUUUAAUGGUGAUUUUCCACCAUGGGGAUGCAGCGGAAGACAAAGGAAAAGAGGUGAGAGGAGGCGCCAUCCAUUAAGGAAUAAGCCAUGGAAGAAGGAGCUUCACCACCAAGAUGAGCCUUGGAUAAGAAGCUUGGAGAGGAUGCUUCAAUGGAGGAAAAAAAAGAGGGAGAGAAAGAGAGAGGGGGGAGCACGAAAUUGAAGGAAGAAAAAGGGAGAGAAGUUGAACUUUGUGUUGUGUCUCACAAGACUCUCAUUCAUCAAAGUUACAACAAGUGUUACACAUGUUUCUAUUUAUAGACUAGGUAGCUUCCUUGAGAAGCUUUCUUGAGAAAACUUCCUUGAGAAGCUUCUUUAAGAAAACUUCCUUGAGAAGCUAGAGCUUAGCUACACACACCCCUCUAAUAACUAAGCUCACCUCCUUGAGAAGCUUCCUUGAAAAGAUUCCUAAAGAAGCUAGAGCUUAGCUACACACACCUCUCUAAUAGCUAAGCCCACCUCCUUGAGAUGAGAAGCUAGAACUUAGCUACACACCCCCUAUAAUAGCUAAGCUCACCCCCAUGACAAAAUACAUGAAAAUACAAAAAAAAAAGUCCCUACUACAAAGACUACUCAAAAUGCCUCAAAAUACAAGGUUAAAACCCUAUACUACUAGAAUGGCCAAAAUACAAGGCCUAAACGAAGGAAAAAAACCUAUUCUAAUAUUUACAAAGAUAAGCGGACUCAUACUUAGCCCAUGAACUCAAAAUCUACCAUAAGGCUCAUAAGAACCCUAGGGCCUUCCCUUGGAUCUCUGGCCCAAUCUACUUGGAGUCUUCUAUCCAAUGCCCUUGCGGAGUAGGAUUGCAUAAAAAGAAAUGCAAGAUUGUUCAUGUGUUGAAAUUUUGCUAUUUCAAUUAAUAAAUAUAUAAAAGCAUCUUUGUAUUCUUCGAAGUUAUUACUCCCUAAGAUUAAGAAACUUGAAGCACCGCGCACAUAAUAUGCAAAAGCAGCAACUCUUGCCGUGGAAUAACUGGGUUGGCUUUACGUCAAUAUUUGCUUAUUAACUAGUGUUUUUAUUAUAGGAAACAAGCUCUUAAUUUGGACAAAGAACAUGGGACAGGACCUAAACCGAAGUGGGUCACUGAAAUGGUGCAAUCCAAAUGAAAUGCAAAAGCUGAAUCCCCUGUAAUAAUUACACAAUCUGUCCAAUUGCUUUUAUCUAGAGAGCCUUAAAGCAGUCUUUCUAAUUGUUACUUUAUUGCAAAUGAAGUGCACGAUGGAUCUGUAAUUGAAAAUGCUACUGCACAGUUUAAUACAAAUACAAUGGAUAAAAACAAAAUGAAUGUAAAAGUAAGGAUUCUAAUCGGUUGACAUAAUUAUCUUUGUCCCAAAUGUAAUUUUGUAACUGCAAAACAAAACAUAUUCAAAUUUGGCCAAAUAUCAAACUUUGAGAAAUUAUUAGGAAAUUUAAGAGCAACAAGUGUCUAUGCAUGUUCUCAACCAAUGUUUGCGCAACACAUUCAAAAUGUAUAAAUUAUAAGAAAUAAUUAAUAACACUUUGCUUGCUUCACGUCAUGUGACGUUUAAAGAGUGAUUAUGUGAUUCAGAAUUGCUUAAUUUCUCAUACAAUGCAUGUAAUUUUUAGAAGAAACAAAAUAGUACGUAAAGACCAUUUCUCUUCCUUUUAUUCCAGGUUGCCGUAAUUUUGUGUGAGUAAUUAUCGCUUUUCGAUUUCUCGUUUUAUUCUCUUUCACAAAGAUAUAUCAGAGUUUGUCUGUGGCAUCAUGCUUUAAUCAAACCAACUUAAAAUUCAUGUAUAUAAAAAGAAAAACCAACUUAAUAUUCAAAAUUUUCAUUUGCCUUUUGUUUCUAAAACUGCUACCUUUCUUUCCUUUUUUUUUAUCUUUAUCCAAAAUUUAUUAAAUAACAAUCUCGCGUAGUUUGGGGAGGCACAAACACACCCAUUAUUUAGGCUCCUUCCCUCUAUCUUGUUUUUAUUCUCACUUACACUCUAAGGCAACUUUUCUCUCUUUACGUAUACUCUCCUUUCUCUGCCCAUAAAAAAUUGACACACUUUAAUUAAUCACCCACUCACAUGCGCAUGUUCUGACACACACACCAAAAUCUCUCAUCAGUAAACUUCAAUUCAGAGCGUGUUUGUCCCCGUUCAAGACACAGGAUCUCCGUCCAAGCACAAGCUAUCAAGUGUGUGUUUGAUUUGAUGUUAGAAAAUAUUAUAAAUCUAAAAUUGAUAUUAGAUUGAAUUUUACAUGUUUAAUUUUAUGUUAAAAAAAUUAUAAAAUUAAUUUUAGAUUUAGAAUUGAUUCUAAAUUAAUUAAAAUAAUUUUAAAUAAUUUAUUAAAUUAAUUUUACCAACAGUGUAAGAAUAGCUUCCUAACUUUUUUUCAUACCAAAUGGGAAGUUGACGUGGUUUUGAAGUGAAAGUAUAUAUGUUGACAGUAAAAAGUUUCCACCCACAGCACUCUCACUGGCCUAACAAUAUUUACUGACCCUCCCACGUACUUAUUGUCUUGGCAACCAUUUCUUCAAUUCGAAAUGUCUCAUUUUCAUGCACAUAGUGAUCAUAGUGCUGCUGUGCAAAUGCCACUAGCAAGACUUCAUCAUUGCACCAGUAGCAACCAAGGCAUGCAUAUAUGUCCGUUUAGUUUUGGUACCAAAGAGCAACCAAAGUCUGAGAAUUUAUGCCUUGGAGAAGCUUCACGAAUUCUUUUGGAAAAAUCCGCUAAAUUAACAAUCUUCAAACACUCGAGAUCAGAAUAUAAAAUAGAGAAAAUUUGUAUUUUCUGAUUGAUUGAUUCUGUACAAAGGGUCCUCAAAUAUGUAGGUACAAGAAUCGGCUUAAAAAUUCCUCAAAAAAAUCGGCUAAAAAAUCCCUCAAAAAAAAAUAGGCUAAAAGUGAGAAAAGAAUAAACUAAAUCUAAAGGUAUGAUCCUAGUUAAUUGCAUAAUAUCAGUAAAUCUCCUUAAAAUAGGCUAUAAUAAUGAAAACAAUAAAAAUAAAAUGUAGAUAAAGCAAAGCCAACCAAAUCUAUACCAUAUCUCCAAAUGAGAGUCCCUAUCAUAUAAUAUCCCAUAAUUUUCAUAUCUCAAAAAAAAAACAAAAAGCAUAUUAGCCCAAACAUCACCCGUAGUCCCCACAUGAGCACAAACCACUUUUUAAGUGGUGAAAUCCCUUUCGAAGCAUCAAUGUUAAAUUGUACGUUAAUGUAUGUCCUUAUCACAUAACUAAAUGCAUGUUAAAUCAUGUGCAAAACCAGGUUAGAAAUCGGAAGUACUUUCACCCACUAAGACACACAGGGGAUCUUUAUAUAUAUAUCGUGAGAGAUGAACUGAAAGAACAAUAAGACACGAGAAACUAUAGGUUCAAAGACAGGUUGUCUUCAACGAUAGAUUAUUCGAAAAUUAUCUUUAUCAUCAUUUCCUAUAAUUAUAAAAACUAGACACACAUUACGCGUGGCGCGGGUUUAUAAAUAAUUAAAGAAAUAUUUAAAUAAAUUAUUUGUUUGAUAAAUUAAAUUUAAAAAUAUAAUUAUCAAUGAUAUUUCAUAUCAUUUUUUGUUAAAUGCGACAAAAGAAUUAUGUAUAAAUUAAAAUAUUUUUUAUAUAUUAAUAUAUUUAUAAGAAAUAUUCUAAAAUCAGAGAUUGACCAUUCAAUUAAAGUUGAUUAACGCGAAAAUAAAAAUAAGCGUUGAGUAUAAAUUUUAUGAGGGUAAUAUAAGAAUAAAGUGAAAUUGACAUAAUAAAGCAGUCAAAGAAAUAUAUUUAAUGAAAGAAAAAUAAUCAAUCAUAAUGGUAAAAAAACAUAAAAAUGAUACAAAUAAAACACCAAAAAUUAUUCAUUUAAAUAGACUUUUUGUAUCUUUUGAUGAUGAAGAUGUAUCUUUUGACUUCUUGGAUGGUUGUACCUUUGGACUUUGACUUCUGACAAUUUGUUUAUUCGCCUUUUUUUUUAAUGGACUUUGUGAAAUUUGAUAGACUUGUUCAUUAGAUGAUGAAGAUGUACCUUUUGACUUAUUAGAUGUUUGUAACUUUGGCCUUUGACUUAUAAUUAGUUUUUCACCUUACUCAUCUGAUGAUAUUUGUUGUGGUGAAGUAGGCUUCUUUUUUAAUAAAAAUAUUAAUCAGUGUACAAAACUAUUAAUAUUUUGUACAAGAAGUAAAAAUGAAAAUAAAUUAUAAAUAUGGUUACAUGUUCUUGAGGAGAGAAUCAUGUUGAAUGAUAUUUUUUGAGAUAAAAGUACUUGUGACGGUUUCAAAUCCUUCCUUCAAGUUGUGAGCAUGAUUUCAAAAAUAGAAGUAUAUUUGCAAAGGAUAUACGAUAUUGGGGUAUGUCAGUCUUAUUUGCACUUUGGGUGUGAAGGAAUUCAAAUGUUGCGAUGUUUAUAAUUUGUUGUGCAUCUCGAUCAAACAUUCUGAAUGUUGCUACAGCUAUGUCAUUAGAGACUUUCAAUUGUAUCCUCAACCUAAAAGAUAUUUUUAAAAUUUUAAUAUUUAUUUAAUUAUGUUAUAAAAAAUAAUUCAUUAUAUACAAAAUAUUAAAUCUUGUUGUUGGAUACUUGGAUGGUUGUUUGCAUUCUGUACAAGUGUAUUGAUUUUCCUCUUUUGUAACUUUCUUUUGGCAUCUCUCACAUGCAACAUAAUUCCAACCAAACGUAUAGUUGAUCUCAUUGAUUGUUGCAUGAAUUGUGAACAUAUUAUCCUGUUAUUUUAUAUAUGUUAAAACUAAGAAAAAAAUAAAGUAUUAUUAAAUAUGAAUAUGAAGGUCAUGGUAGGUUAGCAUACUUGUGAUUCUUAUAUUCAUUCUUAUAUCUUGCAAAUAUCUUCUAUUUUUUUACAUUCUCUUGUCAAGAUCAAUCUUGACCGAACUUGAAGAAUUAUAUACAUAAAGAAAAGAAAAGAGAUAGAGUAGUAAGAUAUAUAAAGUGUAAAAUAUAAAUUUUGUUAAAGAUUUUAAAUGUGUGAAAGUAAUCAAACCUCUGAAUUUCUUAACUAUGAUAAAAGUGAUUGUAAUUAUCUUUGAGUCUUCUUCUUAGAUGUUGAUUGUUUUUUCAAAUCCUAAGACUAUGUUUGCCACAAGUAACUUUAACAAUUUCAUUCUUGAAAAUAACCGAUAAAAAAAAGAUGUGAAAAUAUAAUGUUCUAUAUUACAUUCUUCAUUUCCAUGUGAAAAUAUAAAGAAAUAUAUAAUGAAUUCUACAAAAUUAUUACUUAAACAAAAUUUAUAAUUAAUGAUAAAGAAAGGGUAAUUUAUUUACUCUUUUAGUAGCAAUUUCAAUCUCCUUAUUUUUGUUGGUUUGUCAGUGACAAGUACAUCUUCUUCAUUUCCAAGUGCAUGAAGUGUACUAAUAAUGUCAAUAAUAAAAUAUGAGAUAUGAUAGAGUGAAAUAAAUUAGUAAUGCAUUUGCAAAAUAUUAAUGUUGUACUUGUUAAGACAACUCUAUCAUCCAUCUUUGAUCUAGAGUUUUCAUUGAACCAAACUCAACAUAGUGUAUUGGAUGCUAAUGGAUAUGUUAUUGAUUUUCUUGACAAUAGUAGUAAGUAAAAAUAAUCUUUUGAACGAAAAUGCAAAUCGGAUUAAAAUUAAAAAUAUUAAAUAAAUUUAAUCAAUAUAAAAUCUGUUUAAAGUAAUUUAAUUCAAUUUUUUUUUUUUGCAUUUUGUAAUGUGUAAUAUUGGAGAUAGCAAAUAAAAUUAUAUUUGUAAUACUUAAAGUUGAUGUGAAAUAUAUUUCUUUAAAGACUAAUGUGAAAAAUAAAUAAAUUUCAACUUUGUUUAACCAACAUAUUUUUUUAUAGAUUAGUUUGAAAACUAAUUUUAGAUCAUGAACUUUGUUGAUGUGAAAUAUUUAUUUUUUAUAUAUCUUUAUAGAGCAGAAAAUAUAUUAGAAUUUAGAAAUUACUAAUAUGAAAAAAUUGAAUGAUAUGUAAAAUGUAAAAGAAAGUGAUUAUAAAAUACAAUAUAGAACAUUGAAGAAUUUGGGUCUUGAACAUGAGAAGCAUUUGGAGAUCAGUAAGAUUGAAUUGAAAUGAUUUGGUAUAGAUUUUGUUAUGUUGUGAGUAACAUUGAAAAAGAAAGAAUGAAAAGAAAAGAGACGUGAUAAGUACAAAAGUAUAAUGUUCUCCUUCCUCCAUAUCAAUUUUGCUGACAUGACAAUAUAAUAGUCAGGAGGUCAACUUUUAUAUAAAUUAAUUUUAGAUCAUGAACUUUUUUUAUGAGAAAUAUUUAUUUUUAUUUAUAUUUAUAGAGCAUAAAUAUUAAAAAAUAGAAAUUACUAAUAUGAAAAAAUUGAAUGAUAUGUAAAAUAUAAAAGAAAAUGAUUAUAGAAUGUAAUAUAGAACAAAGAAUGAGAGUCAUGAACAUGAGAAAAAUUUGAAGGUCACUAAUAUUGAAUUAAAAUAUUUUGGUAUAAAAUUUUAUUAUGUUGUGAGUAACAUUGAAGAAGAAAGAAAAAAAAAGAUUGACCGACACAAAAGAAGAAUAUUCUCGUUCUUCCAAGUCAUUAAAUUUACUUACUUAAUAUGAGGAAUUCAACUUUUAUAUAUUAUAAAUAAAUUGUCAAUAUAUUAUUUUUAAGAGAUUUAUCACAAUCAUAGUUGGUACUUCCUAAAUAAUAUUUUUUAUAGUAGUGUAUUUUUAGUUACUUAGAUGGCAUUACUAGGGAAUAUUUUGGUUAAAUGAAAUAGAAUAAAAUAAAUUUUAAAAAAAUAUUUAAAUUAAAAUAACAUGAUUAAAGUGUGAGACUCGUUGAAAUUUCUGAAAAUUUUCCUUUUUUUCUUUGUAGAGAAAGUAUAAAAAAACAAAUUGACUUCUAAAAUUUUUCAUAAUUUCUUUGACUUUCUUUCCCAUUAAAAUUUGAAACUUUUUUUUUCCUCUUGUUUUCCUUUCUUCAAAUCAAAAGGAUCAUAAGGUCUAAUAGCUUGAAUAUUUCAUCACAAUUCUGCCACCCGUGAAGACGAUAGAUGGAGAAAAAUUGUAAGAUGUAAUAACGUUCCCACGUACGGGGACCAGUGCUAUUGUAUACUAUUUCCAUGUUGUACAGUUCAAUUCUAUUAUUACGAUUUGUGAUGUAAUCCCUUACAUCACUUCUAAAUACUAAACUCUAAGCAAUUAAUUAACGAUGGAAGUCUUCUCGACAGCGAAGGUAUUUUUUUUUUCUAUUUGUUUCUGGAUUGUUCUCAUGAUUUUAGUGCAAAAAAAAAAAAAAAAACCUAAUACAAAAUAAUUCUUAGUCAACAUCGCGUAGGCUGAAUAUUAUAUUAUACUAAAAUAUUGUACUAAAAUAAUCUUUCUAGCUCUAUAUAUAGCCCACCAAGCCUUAGCAAUUUGAGAACAAAACAAGUGUUUCGAAUAGAUUAUCCUAAGUCUUUGGGAAUAGUGCUGCAAUGGCUUCAAGUCAGGAGGAGGUGACCCUUUUGGGAGCUACUGGAAGCCCAUUUGUGUGCAGGGUUCAUAUUGCCCUCAAGUUGAAGGGAGUUGAAUACAAAUAUGUCGAAGAAAAUUUGAGGAACAAGAGUGAACUGCUUCUCAAAUCCAACCCAGUUCACAAGAAGGUUCCAGUGUUUAUUCACAAUGAGAAGCCCAUAGCAGAGUCUCUUGUGAUUGUUGAAUACAUUGAUGAGACAUGGAAGAACAACCCCAUCUUGCCUUCUGAUCCUUACCAAAGAGCCUUGGCUCGUUUCUGGUCCAAAUUCAUUGAUGAUAAGGUAAUUCAACUUUUCUUCUUUCCUUGUUUUGUUCUUAUUUGUCCCCUAAACACCACCUUUCAUGAUAUCUAUUUGUAUGUUGGAAUAAGUUAGAGAAACAUUUAAAAAAAAAAUUGAAUAAAUUCUAUUCAUUAAUUGUAACAACUUUGUCUAAAAUCGUAUUAAUUGGGGUGGGGUAUUAUAUAUGUUUCACAGUUGGUUGUACAGAAAUAUCAGCAACACAAUUUUUAACAUGCCUUUUUUUCAAUCAUUUUCUAUUAUUAAUUAAAAUUUAUUAAAAAUAACAAGUUUAAGUGAAUCACACUUUUAAAUCUUUCCUAAUCUUGUAAUUUUUAAUCAACUUUAUUCAAUAGUAUAGUUGUUAGAAAGAGUGUAGAGAUUGUUUUGCUAGCAGUUAGCACUACUUUUUAUGCUAUAUAUAUAACCCAGUUAAGUCUGUCCUAAUUAUAAUAUAAAUUAAGCACUAAUAAAUACUGUGAUUUAUGAAAUAGGUUUUUGGUGCUGCAUGGAAAUCCGUUUUCACAGCUGAUGAGAAAGAGCGUGAGAAGAAUGUUGAGGAAGCAAUUGAGGCUCUGCAGUUUCUUGAGAAUGAGAUAAAGGACAAGAAGUUCUUUGGAGGAGAGGAGAUUGGGUUGGUAGAUAUUGCUGCUGUCUACAUAGCAUUUUGGGUCCCUAUGGUUCAAGAAAUUGCAGGGUUGGAGUUAUUCACAAGUGAGAAAUUUCCUAAGCUCCACAAUUGGAGCCAAGAAUUUUUGAACCAUCCAAUUGUCAAAGAAAGUCUGCCCCCUAGAGAUCCUGUUUUCUCCUUUUUCAAGGGUCUCUAUGAAAGCCUUUUUGGUUCAAAAUAGAUUUGAUGAUGUGGUGUGAGACUUAGUAUUUCUAAGAAUUAUGUGUUUGUUAAAGGCUUCUAUGAAAGCCUCACUGCUUCAAAAUAGAUUCAUGUAUGUGAGACUCAGAAUCUCUGGGGAAAAUUGUGUGUGGUGUGGACUACUUGUUUUGUUUGUCAUUGAGCUAUAUUGCUGUUAAUUAGGAUUUUGUUUCAAAAUGAUGCUUAUAAGUUGUAAUCUAGGAUUUCUCCCUUUGAAAUCCUAGGUUGUUCUUGACAUUUGCUAUUUCAAAGAAUAAAUAUAUAGCAUCUUUCUAUUUCUCAAAGUUCUUUCUCUUUAUGAUUUAGAAACUUGAAGCAAAGCUGUGUUUGCAAUGAUUGGAAUUUCUUUGCCAGAUAUUAUGAGGGACAUUGCGUAUAAUAAUGUACUAAUUGCAGUGGUAAACUAUUGCCAUGGAAAGAAUAAUCGAUUAUUGAUUCAUACUAGAACCCAAAAGUUCUAAAGAUCAAAAGAAUCAAUUAUAAUUAAAAAUAAUCAAUUAAAUAUGUUUGAAAUUGUUGCAACUGGUUUUCAAACUUGACUUUUCCUUUCAUUUUUCACUUGCCUAUAAAAGGUUAACUUUCAUGUGAUAGUGAGAGAGAGUAAUUUCAAAUUUUACAAAAGAAAAACUUCAAAAAAAUGAAAAAAAAAUAUUUUAUCAAAAUACAAAAAAUAAAAGAGACAAAAUUAAAUUUUACAAAAGAGAGAAAAGAAUGAAAAUUUGUAUUUUAUAAAAUUUUACCAAAGAAACACCUUCAAAAAGAAUAUAUAAAAAUAAAAGAGACUAAAAAAAACACAAUUUAUUUACAUAUAAUUUUAUCAAAGAGCGAGAGACUGCAGUUUUCUAAUUACACAAAAAAAAAAUGCACCCUUACUUAUAAGUAAGUCCACCACUGCCUUCAACAUUUCUGAAUAAUUAAUAACUCAAAACCAUUGUAUAGCAAUACAGAUAAUUAUACCUUUAAUAUUUUUAGUUACUUAAGAAUCUUAGAUGACAUUAUAAAGUUUAAAAUGAUUAUUAUAAUUUAAUUUGGUAAUUAUAAUUAAAUUCUUUUUUCAUAGGUAGAAUAAUUUAUCACAAUUCUGCAGACAAGUGAAAACGAUAGAACUGUACUACAUAAGAUAACGUUCCCACGCUUAUAAUGUGAACCAGUGUUACUGUGUACAAUUUCCAUUUUGUACGGCCCGAUUCUUUUAUUAGGAUGUUGCUGAUGUGAUCCCUUGCAUCACUUCUAUUCUAUCGACAAUGGAGUCAUCCCCACGCUGCUUUUUCAAUUAUUGUUUCUGGGAACAUGCGAAUAUCUAUUUAACUAUUCACAUCUGUAUGCAUUAAGUUAUGAGAAAAAAAGGAAGUAUAUUUACUUACAAUUCUUUUUAACACAAACUAAAUGAAAAGGAAAAAUUGAAGUUUGUGAUAAGAUAUCAUAGCAGUGUGUGGAAAGUGGAAACACUAAAAAAAAUUAUUACAGAAUGUAUUAUAAUGGUUUUAGAAUAUGAUACUUAUUCUUAAUUUAUCGAUGCCUCCUUACCGCACUUUAUAGUCAACAACGCGUAAACUGAAUAUUAUAUUAAAAGUGAAUUAAGUUUUUAGUCGUGAAAAAUAAGGGUUUUGAAUUUUUUAUCCUAAACUAUUUUCUUAAAAUAUUUGUUCCUUAAAUAAUUUUCAUUAUUAUAAAUAGUAUCUACAAUUAAUAAUUUUUGUUAAGUGUUGAGUUAUUAUUUAAGUGAUCACAAACAUCAUCAUAGAUUAUAGAUGAGGAAAAUAAAUUCUUGUUCAGUGUUGUACAUCUUCUCGUGAGUAAUUAUAGUAUAUUCAUAAAUGUUUAAAGCGUUCGAAUUUAACAAUAAUUCUUCUAUCUUUCUUUUAUAUUUUAAUAAUAUAAUAUUUUAAUUAUUUAUUUAAACAUAAUAAAUACGUGACAUGUAUGUGAUAUUUAUAUUUCAUGAUAUUUUAUCGGUUAACAGAAAUGUUAAAGGCAGAAAUUAUUUUUUGAAAGAUAAAUAUUUUAAGAAUUAAAUUUUAAAAAAAUAAUUUGAGAACCAAAACUUUAAAAUCUGAUAAAGGAAUAAAAAUUUAAUUAAUCCUUUAUUAAUUUAAUCUUCCUAGCUCUAUAAAACCAGAAGCGAUGGGAGUCUAUGACCAAAAUAAAUCUCUUGAAUUGAUUGUUUUAAGACUUUGGAAUUGAGGUGCUGCAAUGGCUUCAAGUCACGAAGAGGUUACCCUUUUGGGAGCAAUUGCAAGCGCAUUUGCUUGCAGGGUGAAGAUUGCCCUCAAGUUGAAGGGAGUUAAAUACAAAUAUGUGGAAGAAAAUUUGAGGAACAAGAGUGAACUGCUUCUCAAAUCCAACCCAGUUCACAAGAAGAUUCCAGUGUUUAUUCACAAUGAGAAGCCCAUAGCAGAAUCCCUUGUGAUUGUUGAGUACAUUGAUGAGACAUGGAAGAACAACCCCAUCUUGCCUUCUGAUCUUACCAAAGAGCCUUGGCUCGUUUCUGGUCCAAAUUCAUUGAUGACAAGGUAACUCUACUUUUCAAAAAUCUUCUUUUCUUGCUUUGUUGAUUUGUCCCCAAAACAUCACCUUUAAUGCCAUCUAGAAGUGAAAUCUUGGAAUAAGUUAGAGAACCAUGAAAAAAGUUGAAUAAAUUCCAUUCAUUAAUUGUAUUAACUUUGUCUAAAUUCAUACUACUGAUUGGUCAAGUUCAUUUAAGAACUACCUCCGAUUAUCAUGAUUUAUAAUCUUUAUGGACUCAGUAUUUUGGGGGAAAACAAUAAUUUUGGGGUGGGUUAGAACUUAGAAGGUAUUAUGUGCCAUAUUUGAUUAUAGCAAAAAUGAUACUAUGAUAGUAAUACACGGUUUAAUAUUGACUAAAAUUAAUUUAAAAUUACAAAUUUUGACAUAUCACACUUUUUACUUAAAGGUUUGUCACCUGAUUUUGUAAUAUUAGUAUAGUAUGUGUUAGAAAGAAUAUGUUAGAGAGUAUGUUGGUAACUCGAUUAUGAUUGUCCUUAUAACUUUAUAAAAAAAUCACUAAUAAAUAAUGUGAUUUGUGAAAUCAGAUUGUGGAUGUUGCACGGGAAUCUGUUUUCACGGUUGAUGAGAAAGAGCGUGAGAAGAAUGUUACAGAAACGUAUGAGGGUCUGCAGUUUCUUGAGAAUGAGCUAAAGGACAAGAAGUUCUUUGGAGGAGAAGAGGUUGGGUUGGUAGAUAUAGCUGGUGUCUACAUAGCAUUUUGGGUCCCUUUCAUUCAAGAAAUUGCAGGGUUGAAGUUAUUAACCAGUGAGAAAUUUCCUAAGCUCUACAAGUGGAGUCAAGAAUUUGUGAACCAUCCAGUUGUCAAAGAAAGCCUUCCCCCUAGAGACCCAUGAAAGAGAAAAACUAGAAAUUAUAGAAUGUAUUCAUUUUAUUUUCGUAUUGAAAAUGAGAAUCAAUAUCUAAGAAUACAGGGUGUAUAAUUAGAAGGACAGUGUGUAUAAUUAGAAGGAUUAAGUACAAUAGUCACCAAAGAAAAAGAAGAAGAAAGAAAGAUGUUUACACAUUACCACUCCCCUCACUACACAUUCUCUCUCCUCUAAAUACCACUAUUAGUUGGUUACAUAAUCCACCAAUUUAGAGUUGGGUUUUCUCUCUCACACACUCUUUCUAUUACCCAUAGUAGGUAUGUAAGAUUUGUCAAAUAUUCUCCUCAGCUGAGUUGUUUCAAUUGAGUCAUUUUUUCCUUCUAGAAGCUUUUCUUUAUAUGAGAUCAUUACAACCCAGUUUUUGCCUUUUUCAAAGAAGGCUAUGAGAGCCUUUCUGCUUCAAAAUAGAUUUGAUGAUAUAGUGUGAGACUCUCAGAAUUUCUAAGGGAAAUUAUGUGCACUAGAUGUUUGACAUUGAGUUGUUAAAAUUUCGUUUCAAAAUGGGUGCUUUUAAGUUGUAAUCUUGGAUUUUUCCAUGUCAAAGAAAUCCAAGGUUGUUCCUGACAUUUUUCUAUUUCAAUAAAUAAAUUAUGUAGCAUCUUUCUAUUACUCAAAGCUCUUACUCCUGAUUAUUUAGAAACUUGUAGCAAGCUGGUGUUUUGCAAAUUGCAAUGAAUGGCAUUUCUUUGCCAGAUUAUGAAGAAUAAUGUAGUAUGAAAUUGCAGCUGUAACUCUUGCCAUGAAAAUUUCUUUUCCUUAGGUCAAUAUUCACAUAUUGAAAUAGGACAGGGGUUAUACAUAAUGGCGUUAUUGUGAUUUUGAAGUAGUCAUUAUGAUUUUAACGAGCAUCUAAACAUCUUACAAGUAUUACAUUAUUUCAUAAGUUAUAAGGUUAAUUUGGUGAUUAAAAAAAAACUUAUGUAAUUUAGUUAAACCUCAUAAGAGACUUAUAUAAUUUACUCAUAUUAAAAAAAUAUAAUAAAAUGCAUGAAAAAAAUAUCUAAGUGAUAAAACUCACAAAAUAUUAAAUAGUUUUUCUUGAUUUGUCCCCAAAACAUCAUCUAUCAUGACAUCUAUAUGUGAAAUCUUGGAAUAAGUUAGAGAAACAUUAAAAAAAAUGAAUAAAUUCCAUUCAUUAACUGUAUCAACUUUGUCUAAAUUCAUAUUAUGUUUCAUAUUUAAUUCUACAAAAAUAUUAGCAACACGAUCUUUUUUUCAACCCAUUACGAAUUUUAGUGAAUCACACUUUUGAAUCUCUCUUAAUAGUUUCAAUAGUAUAGUCGUUAGCUUGUCGUUGUGUAGUUAGCUUGUGCAGAUUACACAACGUUAUUGUGCUGAUAAAAAAAUAUUGAUUUAUGCAGCACUUAAGUUGUGGUUGUUUUUUAAAUUGGCUCUAUGCGGAUAAAUCAACUACAUGGUGUCGUUGUUGUACUAGGGGUAUCAUAAAUUCAAGGACCCUAUUACAUGAACUAGAAUUAUUUUACUGUACAAUAAAAAAAAUUAGAGGAGCUAGUGUAGUACUACUCAAACACUUCGAUUUAGACUUAAUUAGAAUUUAAAACUAAUUAAAAUAAAAUAAAAUAAAAAACUAAUAGACCUUAUUCAAAUAAAUUGUUUUUUUUUAUACAUCAUUGGCAUGAAGAUUUUUUUUUACAGCAACCAGUGUAAAGAUUUUUAUGCACUCAAUUAACUAAAAAUGAUUUGAGAUAUAAGUUUUAAUAUUAGUUACUACAAAAUCAAACAAUUUUUUCAUACAUAACCCUUCUAUCUAACUAAACCUUUUUCAUUUGAAUACUCUCUUCUCGUGAAGUUGUGAACUAUGCUUUCCAAACAUGCAUCUGAAAUAUUCUUUUUCAUGCUUUUAAUAUCAACUUAAGUAAUAUCAACUUAAGUUGAGCCUGAAUGUGGAAAAACAUGGACCCCAAAAGUGUGUUUGGAUGCGCAUUUUGCAUGUCCCAAAUGCACAGAAUCCAAAAAGGAAAUUUGACAGCACUCUUAAAGCUUAUAUUUAUGGAUCUUCUUCUUACUUAUAUGGUACUCAAUUUUUUUACUUUUAUCCAAUGUGGAACUUAAUCUUACACUUGUACUACAAUAAUAUAGUCUAUAUUGCUGAUGCAAUUCCUUACAUCACUUCUAAGCCAUUGACCGAGCCAAGUUUUCUGUAAUAUUUCUUUUAUACAUACAAAAUUAUAUUCAAGAACUCAUAAAUUAAAUAUUAUAUUAAGUUCAUCUUAGCUCUAUAAAAGCCUGAUGCCUUGUGACUCUCGAUACCAAAAUAAGACUUUGGAAUUGAUUGUUCUUAGGAGUGGGUAAGCGGGUCGGCCCAGCCCGUCCCGCGUAAGGUCCACCCGCAUAAGUCCGCAUUGGCAGCAGAUCGGGUCAGUCCGUCCCGCUUCAUAUACGAACCAAAUAAAUUGUUUCGCCCCCGUCCCGCGAAUCUCGUGGGUCAAACGGGCCGGUCCGUGGGCCUAGUUUUAAAAGAAUUUCAAUUUUAAUAAAAAUAUAAUACAAUCAAAUUAAGUUCAAUACAGAUGUAAAUAAAAUCUCAAUAAUUAGUCAAUUGCAUCAAUAAAAUAAAUAAUGUCUUAACAAAAGAAAAUCCAAGCAAUAAAUCUAAAAUAUGAAAUUUAAAUAUCUCCUACAACAAAUGAUUCCAUAUUUGAAGUAGCUUGAGCCUUCUCCAUCCCCAUAUUUAAGAGUACAAUAACAAUGAAUCAACCCCAACAAAAAUAGGAUAAAAAUAAAUUCUAGAGAGAGAAGAGAUGUACUUUGCGUGGUGGCACGAUGGUGGGCCGAGGCUGUGCCGCUGUAGUGUGUCGCGUGACUGUGUGAGUGUGAGUCGCGUUUUGUUUUCCUUGUAAGGGAACGAGUCGUAUGACUUGCGCGCGUGCAUGACUGUGUGGUGGAGAAAAACCGUGAGGAGAAAAAGUGUUCUUAGCCUGCUACAAUGAUAACGGUUAUAUAUGAUGUGAGCUAUUUUUUAUAAUAAAAAUAUAUUGAAAUAUCGUUAAAAAUAUUUAUUUAACAAUUAUUUUUAGCUUAAAUGAUAAGAAUUGACAUUUUUAUUAUCUAUGACUUACAGAUAUGAAAAUGAUAGAUUAAAAAAAAGAUCGAGAAAAUAUCAAAAAGGAAGAUUUUUAGCAUGUUAUCUCUUAUGUUUUUUUAUCUUAAUCUUUUAUUUUUGUUAUCUUUUAUUUUUCUUAUCUUAUCCUUUUCUAUCUUAUCAUCUUUUAAUUUAAAUAUUUUAUUUUUAUCUUUAAAUCUUUAACUUAUCUAAUAUAUUUCUUUAUCUGUUAUUUUAAAAGAAAAGUUUAAAGUGAAAAAGAGAAAUCAAACCUAAUAUAAUUAGGUCAGGGUCACACAAAUCAAACCUAAUGCGGGCUGCGGGCAACCCAUGGAUCCCGCGGGCCAAACCUACAUAGUUCGCGGGUUAAGCGAGGUGGGCCCAAAAAUAUGACAUAACCAUGGACCGUUUAAAAAAAUUGGUUCGUAACCCACGUGGACGAUGGGCCCCGCAGGCCAGUCCAUGGACUUGGGCCCAUUUACCCACCCCUAAUUAUUCUAAGUCAUUGGAAUUGAAGUGCUACAAACAAUGGCAGCUAGUCACGAAGAGGUUACCCUUUUGGGAUUUAGGGGAAGUGCAUUCAUUAGUAGGGUUCAAAUUGCUAUCUAGUUGAAGGGAGUUGAAUACAACUACGUUGAAAAAACUUUGUUCAACAAGAGUGAUCUGCUUCUCAAGUAUAACCCAGUUCACAAGAAGGUUCUAGUGUUUGUUCACAAUUAGAAGCCCAUAGCAGAGUCCCUUGUGAUUGCUGAGUACAUCAAUGAGACAUGGAAGAACAAUCCCAUCUUGCCUUCUGAUCCAUACCAAAGAGCCUUGGCUCGUUUCUAGUCCAAGUUCAUAGAUGACAAGGUAUUCUAAUUUUUUUAUGUACUGUUUGUCCUCAAAACAUCACCUUUCAUGACAUCUAAAUGUGAAAUCUUGGAAAGUUGGAAUAUGUUAGAGAACUCAGUAGUUAAUUAACUCUCAAAACAAAAAAGAAUUUUGAAUAGUUUUCAUUCAUUAAUUGUAUCAACUUUGUGUAAAAUCAUACUUAUGAUUAACUUAUUAAGGGAGUUUAACUCAAUUAGUGAAGCAGGGGUGUGUAAGUUGUUAUAAAUCCUCUCUGAUAUAUGUCUUCUAUGAUACACUUAAGAACUACCUCAAGUUAUUAUGAUUUGAAGAAUUCUUGUACCAUAUUUGUUUCCACAUUACUCAAUCUAAAUUCUGAUAGUCCUAAUUAUUUUAUAAAAUAAUCACUAAUGAAUACUCUGAUUUAUGAAAUCAGGUUGUGUUUCCUGCAUGGAAUGUUGUUUUUAAGGUUGAUGAGAAAGAAUGUGAGAAAAAUGUUGAAGAAACAUUUGAGGCUCUACAGUUUCAUGAGAAUGAACUUAAGGACAAGAAGUUCUUUGGAGGAGAGGAGUUUGGGUUGGUAGAUAUUGUUGUUGUCUACAUAGCAUUUUGGGUCCCUAUAGUUAAGAAAUAGGGAGAUUGGAGUUAUUAAGCAGUGAGAAAUUUCCUCAGCUCUACAAGUGGAGCCAAGAAUUUGUGAAUCAUCCAAUUGUCAAAGAAAGUCUGCCCCCUAGAGAUCCUAUUUUUUCCUUUUUCAAGGGUCGCUAUGAAAUCCUUUUUACUUCAAAAUAGAUUUGAUGAUGUGGUGUGAGACGUAGAAUUUCUAAGAAUUAUGUGUUUGUCAUUAUCACAUAACUAAAUGCAUGUUGAAUCAUGUGCAAAACCAGGUUAGAAAUCGAAACUACUUUCAACCCCUACGAAGACACACAGGGGAUCUUUAUAUGUGUGUGUGUGUGUGUGUGUGUGUGUGUGUGUGUGUGUGAAUGAUGCAAUAUGUCAGCUGGAAAGUAGGAAUGGUGAAUGAUUCAAUAUUUUUAUGGAACCAUAUGAUAGCAAAGAUACUAGAGGAUGAAUUUACCUUGUCUUGCCUUUUACGUUCCUUUUCUCGCAUUUCAUUUAGAUCCAACUCGUCUCUAUCCUCUUCUUCAAUGAAUUCACUCAAAAAUAACAAUUUGCUCAAUGAGCAUGAAAACCAGACCCACGAGGUCGCCCCAAAACACAAUCUCUUCGAUAAGGAAGUUCGAUUCGAAGAUAUAAAUCAAAACCAUGGAUGACUGGAACAUUCUAGAAAUCCCUCAGGACACACUGUAUGUUCCUGAGACAAUUAAAGACAAACACAACUUUGAUUACAUAAUCAAAACUGUAGAAAAUAACAUUUCUCUAGGACAAGAUAUAGGGGAAGAAUUUCAAACUCAAUUUAUGAACAUAUCUGAAAAUAUAAAUAUUUACACAUCGGUUGUGUACAAGUAGCCAUCAAGCCCUUAAUUGAUAUGGGCAUAGAUGUAACAGUUUUAAUGUGCCUUAGAGACAUUAGGCAUAACAAAUUUGAAUAUUCCUUAAUAUGAACAGUAGAAACAAGCCUAGGACAAGGACCAGUAUACUUCAAUUGUUACCCAAACAAAACAGUGAGUCGGAUGGAUAGAAACAUUCUUAACUCUCUGUUCUUGAACAUCCACUUUCAUGGUCUCGACAUGAAAGAAAGAUUGAUCCCUGCAGCUCUAAUCUAUAGGAUCCAGUACAAGGUCAUGAACACUUGUGCAUCUAGAGUCCUAUUAAAACCUCAAAGAGGAGAAACAACUUUGUUUAUCACUGAUAUGACAAAGGUCAAUGUUUCUCUUCCGAGAACAAUAAAAUGGGAUGAGGUAACUCUUCCCAAAAAAUGGGUCAUGGAUAAGGCCACGCCCGUCUGUUCCCUGACCCGCUCUGACAAUUGAACAAAUCAAACAGGAUAACUCCAGUAAGGUAGAAAUAACCUUCAAUAGGAGAAAUUAUUUUUCAUCAAGAAUAGAAGCCUCUAGGUCUGAAUAUGAGUCAGCCAAAAGAUCUUUUUUAGUUAGAACUUGUACAAUCCCAGUAGGAUUAACCAGAUCUAAGUCCCACAACCAGUUUCCUACGGUAAAUCUCCAAGGAUUAGAUACCACAUCUAGUAUUCCUAGAACAACUUACAACCAAGAAUAGGAGGACGACCAAAAGUCGAUCCAUUCCCCAACUUAUUCUUCUAUGGAACCUUAUGAUAUUAUCUGACAACUUUAGCAUUGAUAAGGAAAUCCUUAGGAAAGACUUUUAUUCUCCGGAGAAUAAACCUCAAAGGAGAUGGUUUUUCCAACACUACAAGGGUACAAACAGAAAACAGAUAAAAGACAGGUUCUAUGAAUUUGUCGACAGAGUCAAAAUUAAUGUCCUUUUCUUUGAUUGGUUGCAUGCUUAUACCAUUAGAAAGGAUAUAGAUUACCCAUGGAAGCAAGACAUCAUAGGUGAUCCAAUGACAAAUGUUAUAACAAACUAGCAAAUGAAGGAUGGUGAGUUAAUCCAAUCGGAAUUACCUCCCACAACACAAUACCAACUACCAAAUGUCAAAGACAGUAAUAAUAAACUUGUCAUGGCCAUUCCGUUCAAAACAAAAGAUGUCAACGAGGAAGCAACCUCUAAAGACAUUAAAAGCCUAAUGGAACAGGCAAAUUAUACCAACAAAUAUUUACAAGUUUUUGGAGAGUCCAUCAAAACUAAGGUAAUUCCUAAACAUAAAACAAUUGAGGAAGCAUCAACAAGUAUUCCUAUUGAAAAACCACUAUUUAAACCUUUUAAAAUUAGUGAUAAAGCAAAACGAAAAAUUAGGGAACUUAGAAAAAAUAAGUCCUUAAUUGAAGGAGUAGGUGACAACAAUAGCGAAUUACUAAAUAAAAUUGAUAGUUUACUUAAAGUCAUCCCAGAAACUCCUCAAACCUUAGAAAAUACAUCAAAAAUGGUAACAAGGAGUACCUCCAAAUUAAUUAAUGUCAUUAAUGAAGAUAGUGACCAAAACUCAGAAAACACAACUAAGAUAGGUUCCGUAUCAGAAAAAGAUAUAAAUCCAAUUAAUUCUAAACAUUGGAAAACACCUUCUAAGUUAUAUUAUCAGCGUACAACUGCCCCUGACCUUCUAUUAGAAGAAAGAGGUGAAAAGAAUUUUAAGAGUUUUAGUGCAAACAACAUCUAUGAAUGGAACAUAGAUGCACAAACGGAGUAUAAUAUCAUGAAUACACUCCAACAUAUGACUAUGGUAGCCACAACCUACAAAACCUCCCAUGAGUGUUCGGAAGAAACAAUCAUAGAUAUUUUAGUGGCAGGAUUUUUCGAACAAUUGAAAGGAUGGUGAGAUAAUUAUCUCACAAAUGAAGAAAAAUAAAAAAUUUACAGCGUAGUAAAGACAAAUCUCAAUGGAAAAGUCAUUACUAAUGACGAUGAUAAAGAGAUUCAUGAUGCUAUUAAUACAUUAAUAUUUACAAUAGCCUAACAUUUUAUUGGAGACCCGUCUCUCUAGAAAGAUAGGUCUGCAAAAUUAUUAUAAAACCUUAAAUGUAGAACUUUAGCAGAUUUUAGGUGGUACAGAGAUACCUUCCUAACUAGAGUCUACACCAAAGAAGAUAGUCAACAACCUUUACCUUCCUAACUAGAGUCUACACCAGAGAAGAUAGUCAACAACCUUCCUGAAAAGAAAAAUUUCUAGCCGGUCUUCCAAGAUCAUUAGGAGAUAAGGUUAGAGAUAAAACCCGUAGCCAGUCUGCUAAUGGAGACAUUCCAUAUGAAAGCUUAAGAUACGGUCAAUUAAUUUCUUAUGUCCAAAAGGUAGCCUUGAAAAUUUGCCAAGUUGACAAAAUCCAAAGACAGUUAGCAAAAGAAAAGGCUCAAACAAAGAAGGAAUUAGGUUAUUUCUGCGAACAGUUUGGACUACCAGCUUGUCCAAAACAAAAGAAAAAACAAACCUCUAGGAAAGAAAUCCAUGAGAAUAAACCUGUCCACAAAAAGAGAUUUCCAAGAAGGAGAUACUCGCAUAAACCUUCAACCAGUAAGGAAAUAGAGAAUCCUAGACAAAAAUUAAAAUAAAAAAUAACAUGUUACAAUUGUGGAAAACAAGGUCACAUUAAUAAAUAUUGUAGGUUAAAAAAGAAAUUAAGAAAUCUUAAGCUAGAACCAGCUAUUGAAGACCAGAUAAAUAAUUUGCUCAUAGAAACUUCGGAGGAAGAAACAGAAACUUCAUCCUCUAUGCUCUCUGAUGAAAAUCUCAAUAUGGUCCAACAGGAUGACCAAUUAUCAUCAACUGAUGAUGAUGGACAAAUCAAUACUCUAAUAAGAGAACAAGAUCUUUUGUUUGAAAUAAUCAAUUCCAUACCUGGCCUCUAGGAAAAGAAGGUUUUCUGGAAAAACUAAAGAAAACGUUAGAGGUAAAACCUAGACAAAAGGAUUUUAUUACAAAUAAUAAAUUCGAUGUUAGUAACAUAUUCAAAUGAUUAGAAAAACACUUCUGUCAAACCAACAACAAUCUAGGAUCUCCAAACAGAGAUUAAUAAUUUAAAAAGAGAAGUUAGAGAACUUUGUCAACAAGAAGAAAUCCACCAAAUUAUCCUUUCUCAUCUCGAAGAAAGCAGUGAUUCUGAGAAUACUGAAACGGAUAACGAAAAUGAAAUCGAAAAUCUAGAAGAUGAAAUGUUUAUGGGAUUAAUCAACAAGAUUAAAAUCCAAAAAUUCUACAUAAACAUUAGAAUCAUAAUUAAUGAUUUUGUCUUAGAUACAAUGGCCCUAUUUGACAUAGGGACGAAUUCAAAAUGUAUUUUGGAAGGUCUAAUCCCAACAAAAUUCUUUGAAAAGACCUCAAACAAAUUAAGUACAGCAAAUGGUUCGAAAUUAAAAAUUAAUUUUAAACUAUCAAAUGCAAUCAUUGAAAAUCAAGGCCUUAGGAUUAACACAAACUUUCUUUUGGUAAAGAACCUUAAGACUAAGUAAUCCUAGGUACCCCCUUUAUUAGAGCAUUAUUUCCCCUUCAGAUAUCAAAAGAGGGAAUAACUACAAAUCAUUUGGGUAGGAAAAUUAUAUUCAAUUUUUCCACUAAACCAAUUUCCAAAAAUAUAAAUUUUAUAGAAAACAAGAUUAACCAAAUCAACUUCUUAAAAGAAGAAGUGUCCUUUAAUAAUAUUCAACUGUAACUAGAAAAACCUCAAAUAAAAGAAAAAAAUCUAAUCUUAAUUAAAGCAUAUUGAAUCCACAUUAUGUUCUGAUUUUCCACAUCCAUUUUGGGCUUUUGCUUUUUAUGUCAAUAAAUAGGCCAAACUUGAGCGAGGUACGCCUCGCCUAGUCAUAAAUUACAAACCUUUAAACCAAACAUUACAAUGGAUUAGGUAUCCUAUUCCAAACAAAAAAGAUCUACUCAACAGAUUGAAUUCGGAAAAGAUAUUUUCAAAAUUUGAUAUGAAAUCUGGAUUUUGGCAAAUCCAAAUCCAAGAAUCAGACAGGUACAAGACAACGUUCAUUGUACCUUUCGGGCAAUAUGAGUGGAACGUAAUGUUAUUCGAAAUAAAGAAUCUCCCUUCAUAAUUUCAAAAAAUUAUGAAUGAUAUCUUUAAUCCUUACUCAAAAUUUGUCAUUGUCUACAUAGAUGAUGUUUUAAUCUUCUCACAAAAUAUUGAUCAGCACUUCAAACAAAUUCAGAUUUUUAUCAAUAUUAUCAAACAGAAUGGAUUGGCAGUCUCCAAAUCAAAGAUCAAUCUGUUCCAAACUAAAAUUAGGUUCCUUGGUCAUAACAUAUAUCAAUGUAUGAUUAUUCCAAUAGAAAGGUCAAUAGAGUUUGCCAACAAAUUCCCAAACCAAAUAACAGACAAAACCCAGUUACAAAGAUUUCUAAGUUGUAUGAAUUAUGUAGGAGAAUUUGUUCCCUACUUAAAUAACAUUGUCAAACCAUUACAUGAUAAGUUGAAGAAAAAUCUACCUCCUUGGUCUGACAUCUAUACCCAAACAGUAAAAGAAAUCAAAUUCAAAGUCCAUUCUCUAAAAUAUUUGUAUCUUCCCAUUCCACAGGCAUUUAAAAUUGUCGAAACAGAUGCAUCAAACAUAGGCUAUGGUGGUAUCCUCAAACAAAGAGUCCAUACCCAAGAACAUGUCAUUGCAUACACAUUAAAGCAUUGGAAUUCUGCACAAGAAAAAUAUUCAACUGUUAAAAAAGAAGUUUUAGCAAUUGUUUUGUGCAUUUCCAAACUCCAAUCUGAUUUAUUAAAUCAAAAAUUUUUAAUCAGGGUUGAUUGCAAAUCAGCCAAAGACAUUCUUCAAAAGGAUGUUAAAAACCUUGCCUCAAAACAAAUUUUUGCAAGAUGUCAAGCAAUUUUAAGUGUCUUUGAUUUUGAAAUAGAAUAUAUUAAGAGUACCUCAAACUCUCUGCCUGACUACCUCGCACAUGAAUUCUUACAGAGAAACACUAAUGCCACCUAAGGCGAAGAAUUCCUCUGGUGGAGGAGGAAGGUCUAGCAAAGGAACAAUACUGGCUCUACCAGAGCCAAACACCAAAAAGGCAUCCUCAACAUUUUCUGGGUCAUCUACCCAGAAAUCAAAGCUUGAAGAGUCAUCAACUCAGGACUCCCCAAAACCAAUCACCACCAAACAGAUUGUGGCAAACUAUGUCUGGUCAAUCCAAACCCUCCAAGCUCUUAAAGAAAUGGGCCUCACCAAAGUUCUAAGGUUAGCCAAAAAGACCUGGGCAGAAAUGGCUUCAAAAUCAGAUGAUGAUUCUGAAAUAGAACUCCAAAAACAAAUCCAAAUUGCCAAGAAAACCAAGACGGUUAACAACCCCGAAGGCAAACAAACAAUGGUUCAACAAGACCCAACACCAAAACCAGCUAACAGCUAUGUUUCAAAGAAUAUUUUUUUUUUUGUUUUGCAGAUGGAGUCAGAGUAUUGGGACAAGAAUCCCUUUAAGGCAACUGCAAAAGCUUUCCUGCAGGGAUUCCAUUACAAGCCGACGAGCCUCAACAAAACCAGAAAAUUCUAUGAGUUCAUCUUAGUGGAUACAAAUUCAGUAUCCAUUAAACACUUCAAAGACUCCAAAGAUCCAAACCCGAAUACCCAUUCAACCAUUCAAAUCCUAAAAGUAAUGCAACCAUGACAUUAUGGAUCAAACCUAAACCAACCCAAGAAAUUCUCUGCUCCAUUUGACCAAAUAGGAUAUACGUAUUGGGAUUACAUUGAUGCCUAGACCAAUGUAUUUUGGCAUCAAAAUAAUAAAUUUAAACACUCAUGUUUGAUUUACUUUAAAAACAACACAGUGUAUAAUUUCCCAAAUUGGUUCCUCCAAUGGAGGAAUUAUUUCGGACCAAUUUCACAAAUUUAUCCAGAAGAAGUCCAACAAGGAUUUAACCAAUUCAACAAAAUGUUUAACCAGGAAUUAAGAAUUCCAGCUGAUUUAAUGUAUUUCUCCAACUUUGCUUUGUCAUGGAUUUUCUUAUGGCAAUAUAGAUAUGGGAAGACAGAAAACAUCAAGCAAUUUUCACCCCUGUAAAGACACGCUUUUGUCAAAUGAUGGACUCAAUUCGACACAUCAAAAGCAACUCCAGACCAAGUCAAAACUUGGUUUCAGGCCAACCCAAAAUUUUUAAAACCUGCUGAUCCGAAAACAUUAUUGUUUCUAAAUCAAAAGUCUCAGCUAGUAGCAUUCUUGGCUAGCUCCAAAUCCAAAGAAAGUCUGGCAAAGAAUCUAAAAGAGGUUCUCCAUCUACUUCAACAAGAAGAAGAAAGUAUCACAAAGAAGGAAGUUGAAUCCCCAGAAGAAAAUGAUGAUCAAGAUGACAAUCCCUUCUAUCAGAAUGAGGAUUAUUGUUUUGGCAUCUCUUUAGAAGAUGAUUAAUUAAUUAAGAUCACUCAACUGCUUAAUCAAUGUAAUUUAGUUUUUCGGUCAAGUUACCGGUAUUUUGCACCAAUCAUUGUAGUAGUUCCGGUCAAGUUACCGGUACUGUAGCAAACAGUAAAUCCUAUGGCUAUAAAAGGAGUCCUCGUCCAUAAUGUGAGGCACCCUUUUCAUUUUAGUCAUUUUUCAAGUUUCUGAGGCUAGAGGUGCUCUGCUUAAGAACAACUUUUGUAAGCACUUCUUCCAAAGUUUAAUAAAUUUCAAGUUUCAAUUCAUCUCCCUUCUCCCUCUUUGUCGAUCCUGUGCGGCUCUGCCGCCGUUUCGGUUGCUUCUUUUGUGAAAGCCUGGGAUUUGUAAAUCGUUUAACGGUGUGUCCUUGAUGAUUGUUUUAAUAUUUUGAUCUGUACUUGUCAUAUUGCAUCAUUCACCAUUCCUACUUUUUAUCUGUCUGUUUGAUCUCUUUUCGCUGAACUCUGGUAUCAUAUAUAUAUCAUGAGAGAUGUACUGAAAGAACACUAAGACACGAGAAACUAUAGGUUCAAAGACAAGUUGUCUUCAACGAUAGAUUAUUCAAAAAUUAUCUUUAUUAUCAUUUCCUAUAAUUAUAAAACUAGAUACAUAGUCGCAUGUUGCGCGGGUUUGUAAAUAAUUAAAGAAAUAUUUAAAUAAUUUUUUUGUUUAAUAAAUUAAAUUUUAAAAUAUAAUUAUCAAUGAUAUUUUAUAUCAUUUAAUGUUAAAUGAGAUAAAAUAAUUAUGUAUAAAUUAAAAUAUUUUUUAUUUAUCAAUAUAUUUAUAAGGAAUAUUCCAAAAUUAGAGGUUGACCACUCAAUUAAAGUUUAUUAACGUGAAGAUAAAAACAAGCAUUGAGAAUAAAUUUUAUGAGAGAAACAUAAGAAUAAAGUGAAACUGACAUAAUAAAGCAGCCAAAGAAAUAUAUUUAAUGAAAGAAAAAUAAUCAACCAUAAUGGUAAAAAACAUAAAAAUGAUACGAAUAAAAUACCAAAAAUUGUUCAUUUAAAUAGACUUUUUGUAUCUUUUGAUGAUGAAGAUAUAUCUUUUGACUUCUUGGAUGAUUGUAGCUUUGAACUUUGACUUAUGACGGUUUUAUUCGCCUUUUUUCUUAAUGGACUUUGUGAAAUUUGAUAGACUUCUUCAUUAGAUGAUGAAGAUACACUUUUUGACUUAUUAGAUGCUUGUAACUUUGGCCUUUAACUUAUAAUUAGUUUUUCACCUGACUCAUCUGAUGAUAUUUAUUGUGAUGAAGUGGGCUUCUUUUUUUAAUAAAAAUAUUAAUCAGUGGAUAAAACUAUUAAUAUUUUGUACAAGAAGUAAAAAUGAAAAUAAAUUAUAAAUAUGGUUACGUGUUCUAUGAGGAGAGAAUCAUGCUGAAUGAUAUUUUUUUAGAUAAAAGUCCUUGUGACAGUUUCAAAUCCUUCCUUCAAGUUGUGAGUUGUGAGCUGUGAGCAUGAUUUCAAAAAUAGAAGUGUAUUUGCAAAGGAUAUACAAUAUUGGGGUAUGUCAAUCUUAUUUGUACUUUGGAUGUGAAGGAAUUCAAAUGUUGUUAUGUUUAGAAUUUGUUGUGCAUCUCGAUCAAACAUUCUGAAUGUUGCUACAGCAAUGUCAUCAGAGACUUUCAAUUGUAUCCUCAACCUAAAAGAUAUUUUUAAAAUUUUAAUAUUUAUUUAAUUAUGUUAUAAAAAAUAAUUCAUUAUAUACAAAUAUUAAAUCUUUUUGUUGGGUACUUGGAUGGUUGUUUGCAUUCUUUGCAAGUGUAUUUAUUUUCCUCUUUUGUUACUUUCUUUUGGCAUCUCUUAUGAACACAUUAUCCUGUUAUUAUAUAUAUGUUAAUACUAAGGAAAAAAAUAAAGUAUUAUUAAAUAUUAUGAAUAUGAAGGUCAUGGAAGGUUAGCAUACUUGUGAUUCUUAUAUCCAUUCUUAUAUCUUGCAAAUAUCUUCUAUUUCUUUACAUUCUCUUAUCAAGAUCAAUCUUGGCAGAACUUGAAGAAUUAUAUACAUAAAGAAAAGAAAAGAGAUAGAGUAGUAAGAUAUAUAAAGUGUAGAAUAUAAAUUUUGUUAAGGAUUUUAAAUGUGUGAAAGUAAUCAAACCUCUGAAUUUCUUAACCAUAAUAGAAGUGACUAUAAUUCUUUUUGAGUCUUCUUCUUGGAUGUUGAUUGUUUUUUCAAAUUCUAAGACUAUGUUUGCCACAAGUAACUUUAACAACUUCAUUCUUGAAAAUAACCGAUAAAAAAAGGGAGAUGUGAAAAUAUAAUGUUCUAUAUUACAUUCUUCAUUUCCAUGUGAAAAUAUAAAGAAAUAUAUAAUGAAUUCUACAAAAUUAUUACUUAAACAAAAUUUAUAAUUAAUGAUAAAGAAAGGGUAAUUUAUUUACUCCUUUGGUAGCAAUUUCAAUCUCCUUAUUUUUGUUGGUUUGUCAGUGACAAGUACAUCUUCUUCAUUUCCAAGUGCAUGAAGUGUACUAAUAAUAUCUAUGAUAAAAUAUGAGAUAUGUUAGAGUGAAAUAAAUUAGUAAUGAAUGUGCAAAAUGUUAAUGUUGUACCUGUUAAGACAACUCUAUCAUCUACCCUUUGAUCUAGAGUUUUCAUUGAACCAAACUAUACAUAGUGUACAGGAUGCUAAUGGAUAUGUUAUUGAUUUUCUUGAUAAUAGUAGUAGGUAAAAAUAAUCUUUUGAAUGUUCCUUUGAUAGGUUUGUAUGUAUCAUUUCUUGAGACAAUCCUUAAAUUAUGUAUGGUGCAUAAGUUUUCAUCUUGUAAAAUAUCAUUGAAUUUUGAAAUCAUAUUCUCCCUUAUCACUACAUUUUGUGGAGUUGAAGUUUCCUAUGCAAUAUAUUUAAAAGUGAAAAUCGGAUUAAAAUUAAAAAUAUUAAAUAAAUUUAAUCAAUAUAAAAUGUGUUUAAAGUAAUUUAAUACAAUUUUUUUUUUGCAUUUUGUAAUAUGUAAUAUUGGAGAUAGUAAAUAAAAUUAUAUUUGUAAUACUUAAAGUUGAUGUGAAAUAUAUUUCUUUAAAGACUAAUGUGAAAAAUAAAUAAAUUUCAACUUUGUUUAACCAACAUAUUUUUUUAUAGAUUAGUUUGAAAAAUAAUUUUAGAUCAUGAACUUUGUUGAUGUGAAAUAUUUAUUUUUUAUAUAUCUUUAUAGAGUAGAAAAUAUAUUAGAAUUUAGAAAUUACUAAUAUGAAAAAAUUGAAUGAUAUGUAAAAUGUAAAAGAAAGUGAUUAUAAAAUGCAAUAUAGAACAUUGAAGAAUUUGGGUCUUGAACAUGAGAAACAUUUGGAGGUCAAUAAGAUUGAAUUGAAAUGAUUUGAUAUAGAUUUUGCUAUGUUGUGAAUAACAUUAAAAAAGAAAAAAAAGGAAAAGAGACGUGAUAAGUACAAAAUGAUAAUGUUCUCCUUCCUCCAUCAUCAAUUUUGUGGACGUGACAAUGUGAUAGUGAGGAGCACAACUUUUAUAUAAAUUAAUUUUAGAUUAUGAACUUUUUUUAUGAGAAAUAUUUAUUUAUAUUUAUAUUUAUAGAGCAUAAAUAUUAAAAUUAGAAAUUAUUAAUAUGUAAAAAUUGAAUGAUAUGUAAAAUGUAAAAUAAAAUAAUUAUAAAAUGUAAUAUAGAACAAAGAAUGAGAGUCAUGAACAUCAGAGAAAUUCGGAGGUCACUAAUAUUGAAUUAAAAUGUUUUGGUAUAAGAUUUUAUUAUGUUGUGAAUAACAUUGAAAAAGAAAAUUAAUAUGCACAAAAGAAGAAUAUUCUCGUUCCUCCACGUCAUCAAAUUUACUUAUUUAAAAUGAGGAGUUUAACUUUUAUAUAUUAUAAAUAGAUUGUCACUGUGUUAUUUUUAAGAGAUUUAUCACAAUCAUCGUUGAUACUUCCUAAAUAAUAUUUUUUAUAGUAGUAUAUUUUUAGUUAUUUAGAUGGCGUUACUAGGGAAUAUUUUGGUUAAAUGAAAUAGAAUAAAAUAAAUUUUAAAAAAAUAUUUAAAUUAAAAUAACAUGAUUAAAGUGUGAGACUCAUUGGAAUUUCUGAAAAUUUUCUUUUUUUUCUUUGUAGAGAAAGUACAAAAAAAAAAAACAAAUUGACUUCUAAAAUUUUUUAUAAUUUCUUUGACUUUCUUUCCCAUUAAAAUUUGAAACUUUUUUUCUCUCUUGUUUUCCUUUCUUCAAAUCAAAAGGAUCUUAAGGUCUAAUAGCUUGAAUAUUUCAUCACAAUACCCGUGAAAACGAGAGAUGGAGAAAAAUUGUAAGAUGUAAUAACGUUCCCAUGUACGGGGACCAGUGUUAUUGUAUACUAUUUCCAUGUUGUACAGUUCAAUUCUGUUAUUACGAUUUGUGAUGUAACCCCUUACAUCACUUCUAACUACUAAACUCUAAGCAAUUAAUUAACGAUGGAAGUCUUCUCGACAGCGAAGGUAUUUUUUUUUUCUAUUUGUUUCUGGAUUGUUCUCAUGAUUUUAGUGCAAAAAAAAAAAAAACGAACACAAAAUAAUUCGUAGUCAACAUCGCGUAUGCUGAAUAUUAUAUUAUACUAAAAUAUUGUACUAAAAUCAUCUUUCUAGCUCUAUAUAUAGCCCACCAAGCCUUAGUAAUUUGAGAACAAAACAAGUGUUUCGAAUAGAUUAUCCUAAGUCUUUGGGAAUAGUGCUGCAAUGGCUUCAAGUCAGGAGGAGGUGACCCUUUUGGGAGCUACUGGAAGCCCAUUUGUGUGCAGGGUUCAUAUUGCCCUCAAGUUGAAGGGAGUUGAAUACAAAUAUGUCGAAGAAAAUUUGAGGAACAAGAGUGAACUGCUUCUCAAAUCCAACCCAGUUCACAAGAAGAUUCCAGUGUUUAUUCACAAUGGGAAGUCCAUAGCAGAGUCUCUUGUGAUUGUUGAAUACAUUGAUGAGACAUGGAAGAACAAUCCCAUCUUGCCUUCUGAUCCUUACCAAAGAGCCUUGGCUCGUUUCUGGUCCAAAUUCAUUGAUGACAAGGUAAUUCAAUUUUUCUUCUUUCCUUGUUUUGUUCUUAUUUGUCCCCAAAACAUCACCUUUCAUGACAUCUAUAUGUAUGUUGGAAUAAGUUAGAGAAAUAUUAAAAAAAAUUGAAUAAAUUCUAUUCAUUAAUUGUAACAACUUUGUCUAAAAUCGUAUUAAUUGGGGUGGGGUAUUAUAUAUGUUUCAUGGUUGUGCAGAAAUAUCAGCAACACAAUUUUUAACAUGCCUUUUUUUUCAAUCAUUUUUUAUUAUUAAUUAAAAUUUAUUAAAAAUAACGAGUUUAAGAGAAUCACAAUUUUAAAUCUUUCCUAAUCUUGUAAUUUUUAAUCAACUUUAUUCAAUAGUAUAGUUGUUAGAAAGAGUGUAGAGAUUGUUUUGCUAGCAGUUAGCACUACUUUUUAUGCUAUAUAUAUAACCCAGUUAAGUUUGUCCUAAUUAUAAUAUAAAUUAAGCACUAAUAAAUACUGUGAUUUAUGAAAUAGGUUUUUGGUGCUUCAUGGAAAGCUGUUUUCACAGCUGAUGAGAAAGAGCGUGAGAAGAAUGUUGAGGAAGCAAUUGAUGCUCUGCAGUUUCUUGAGAAUGAGAUAAAGGACAAGAAGUUCUUUGGAGGUGAGGAGAUUGGGUUGGUAGAUAUUGCUGCUGUCUACAUAGCAUUUUGGGUCCCUAUGGUUCAAGAAAUUGCAGGGUUGGAGUUAUUCAC
This 90754-nucleotide long non-coding RNA is filed under the name Glycine max (soybean). RNAcentral describes it as "long non-coding RNA (GMAX_LNC001493)". Lineage: Eukaryota; Viridiplantae; Streptophyta; Magnoliopsida; Fabales; Fabaceae. The record is from RNAcentral.